RNAcentral lists this long non-coding RNA (151297 nucleotides) under Vitis vinifera (wine grape). Its description in RNAcentral is "long non-coding RNA (VVIN_LNC000885)". The record is from RNAcentral. Lineage: Eukaryota; Viridiplantae; Streptophyta; Magnoliopsida; Vitales; Vitaceae.
AAAAAAAAAAGUGUAUGAAAUACUAAUUAUUUUUAGAUAAUUAUUUGAAAUUUGUAUUUUAUAAAUUUGAGUUUUUAUUUUGUGGUUUUUUUUUCAUAUAAGUACAUGGAAAAACAUGUUUAUUCUUCAAGUCAUGUCAAACCUUUCACUUUUUUCCUAUAGAAUGUGAUGACCAGCUCCUAACCAUGUAAAUAUAUAAACAAGAUAAGGAGAUCACUUGUUUCUUUUGCAAGAAGGUUGGUCAUAUGAAGAAUACAUGCACCAAAUACGCUGCUUGACGUGAAAAGAAAGGUACACUUCUCAACUUUGUUUGUUCAUAAAUUAAUUUAGCUAUAGUGCCUACUGACACUUGGUGGAUAGAUACGGGUGCAACUACUCACAUAAGUGUCACGAUGCAGAGUUGCCUAAGAAGUCGAAUGCCAAUUGAUGGUGAAAGAUACAUCUAUGUGGGAAAUGGCAACAAGGUUGCAGUCAAGGCAAUUGGUCUUUUUAGAUUGCAGUUAGACUUUGGAUGUACUUUGGAUUUGGAAAAGACUUUUGUAGUAUCGUCACUUAGAGGGAAUUUAAUUUAUGUUUCAUGUCUGGACAAAUGUGGAUAUUAUUGUUCAUUUAGAAAUGGAAUGGUUAGUCUUUAUCUAAAUUAAAAUGUUAUUAGUACAAGUAGUCUAACAAAUAAAUUAUACAAAUUGAACAUAAAGGCCUCGAAUGGAAUUGAAACCUUGCAUUCAAGUAAUUAUGGCAUUAAGCGAAAAUUAACAAAUGAGAAUUCAUCAAUGUUAUGGCAUAGGCAUUUAGGUCAUAUUUCAAAUCAACGUAUUCAAAGGCUUGUGUCAGAAGGAAUUCUUGAUCCACUUGAUUUCUCAGACUUUCAAGUCUGUAUAAAGUGUAUUAAGGGUAAACAAACAAAUAUGAGGAAAAAUUAUGCUAACAAGUGCGAUGACGUCUUGGAAUUGAUACAUACGGACAUUUGUGGUCCAUUUCCUACCCCUUCUUGGAAUGGACAAUAAUAUUUUAUCACUUUCAUUGAUGAUUACUCACGUUAUGGCUAUCUUUAUUUGAUUCAUGAGAAGUCUCGGCCAUUGGAUGUGUUCAAGAAUUUUAAAGCUGAAGUUGAAAACCAACUAAGCAAGAAAAUAAAGGUCGUCAGAUCUGACCGUGGAGGUGAAUAUUAUGGUAGAUAUGAUGGAUUCGGUGAACAACAUCCAAGGCCAUUCGCCAAAUAUUUGAUAGAGUGUGGUAUCAUUUCUCAAUACACCAUGCCAGGGACUCCAAGCCAAAAUGGUGUAGCAAAGAGGCGAAACCGUACUCUUAAGGAUAUGAUAAGAAGUAUGAUCAGUCAUUCCACCUUACCAGAAUCACUUUGGGGCGAAGCUAUCAAAACUGCAAUUUACAUUUUGAAUAGAGUCCCAAGCAAAGCAGUAGCCAAAACCCCAUAUGAGUUAUGGACUAGCAAGAAACCUAGUAUUAGGCAUUUGCAUGUCUAGGGUUGUCCAACUGAGGCUAGGCCUUACAAGCCAAAUGAAAAGAAAUUGGACUCUAGAAGAGUGAGUUGCUACUUUGUAGGGUAUUCUUAAAGGUCGAGAGGUUUCAAGUUUUAUAACCCCUUAACUAGAUCCCUUUUUGAAACGGGCAAUGCUAACUUUAUUGAGGAUGUUGAGUUAAGUGGGAGAGAAUCAUGAAGAAAUGUGGUAUUUGAAGAGGAAUCUAUUAGUAUUCCUAUUAUUACAACUAGACAUAGUCAUAUUAUGUUUGAUGACACUAUCCAGAAUGUAUAGCCAAUAACAGAGAUAGAAGAUACACCUGAUAUUCUUCCUACUCAAGUUAUGGAACCAGUUCAAGUUCAUGAAGAGGUAACUCAAUGACCUCAAGAACCUCAAGUACAAGUGCCACUGAGGAGAACCACUGGAGAAAGGAGAAGUACAAUUUCAAAUGAUUAUGUUGUAUAUCUCUAGGAACAUGAGUUUGACAUGGGUCUGGAAAACGAUCCAAUUUCAAUUAGUCAAGUCAAACAAAGUUCUAACUCUGAAAAGUGGAUAGAAGUCAUGAAGGAUGAGAUGAAAUCAAUGAAAGACAAUGGUGUUUGGGACCUAGUAGAGUUGCCUAAAGGUGUAAAACCGAUUGGUUGUAAAUGGAUUUUUAAGACUAAGCGGGAUUCAAAAGGCAACAUUGUUAGGUAUAAGGCACACCUAGUAACAAAAGGUUUCACUCAAAAGGAAGGCAUUGAUUAUAAGGAGACCUUUUCACCGAUUUUGUCCAAUGACUCCUUUAGAAUCAUCAUGGCACUUAUGGCUCAUUAUGAUUUAGAGUUGCAUCAAAUGGACGUUAAAACUGCAUUUCUUAAUGGUAACAUUGAUGAGACAAUAUACAUGGUGCAACCGAAGAACUUUGAGUUUAAUGAUUCAAAGCAACUUAUAUGCAAAUAAAAAGGUCCAUAUAUGGUUUAAAGCAGGCAUCCCGACAAUGGUACCAAAAGUUUGAUCAGGUGAUUACUUCAUUUUGUUUUAAGGAGAACACCGUUGAUCAAUGCAUAUAUCUCAAGUUCAGUGGGAGCAAAUUCAUUACCUUGGUGCUAUGUGUAGAUGAUAUUCUACUUGCUAGUAGUGAUGUAAAACUCUUGCAUGAAACCAAGCGAUUUCUAUCUAGUAAAUUUGACAUGAAGGAUCCUGGUAAUGCAUCUUUUGUGCUAGGUAUACAGAUCUAUAGGGAUCGUUCAAGAGGUAUACUUAGGCUAUCACAAAAGUCCUACAUCGAUAAGGUGUUGAGUAGAUUUAACAUGAGCAAUUAUGCACCAGGGGACAAGCUUGUGGCAAAAGGCAAUAAAUUUAGUUUGCACCAAUGUCCGAAAAAUGAACUUAAGAAGAAGGAUAUGAAAAGGUUUCCCUAUGCCUCGGCAGUAGGAAGUCUCAUGUAUGCACAAGUUUGUACGCAUCCAGAUAUUGCAUACAUUAUUGGAAUGUUAGGUAGAUAUUUGAGUAACCCAGGUAUGGAUCACUGGAAAAAGGUAAAAUGGGUUAUGCGGUAUUUACAAAGAACUAAAGAUUAUAUGCUCACAUAUCGUAGAUCCAGUAAUUUAGAGAUCGUGGGAUAUUCGAACUCCGAUUUCGCGGGAUGUCUUGAUAGCAAGAGAUCCACUUCAAGCUACAUCUUCAUGAUGGUUGGAGGAGCAGUUUCAUGGAAAAGUGUUAAACAAACACUUAUUGCUUCUUUCACCAUGGAGGUAGAAUUCAUAGCCUGCUACGAGGCAUCAAACCAUGGGAUAUGGCUGUAGAAUUUUAUCACUCAGUUGCGAAUCGUUGAUGGGAUUGAGAAACCAUUGAGAAUCAAUUGUGAUAAAAAGGUCACAGAAUUAUAUUCUAAAAACAAUCAAAGUUCGUCAAAGUCCAAACACAAUGACAUCAAGUUCUUGGUUGUGAAAGAAAGAGUUCAAAGUCUUCAAGUAUCAAUUGAACACAUAAGCACAAACUCCAUGAUUGCGGAUCCGCUCACUAAGGGUUUGCCACCCAAAAUAUAUCAUGAGCAUGUCACACAUAUGGGUAUCAUACAUAUUGAUGAUGUGCUAGUAUAGUGGGAGUUUGUAUUUAGGUUUUUUAUUUGUUUUCUUGAUGUGAUAUUAUGUUUAUGUUAUCUGUACAGACCUUGAUUUUAAAGACUAUUGUAUUUGAAUACUCUAAAUUGAAAUGAUGACUUUCAGAAGUAAUUUAGCAUCAAGUGUUGAAAGUGGAAUUUGACUAUUUUUAGUCAUAAAGUAGGACCAAUUGGAAAUAGACAUAUUAAAGAUCACAUUCUAUGUAAUUUCCAUACUACACAUCCAUACUUGAUCCAUGUUGCUACUUUUGUUAAUGUUGUGAUCAUUUAUGGGUCUAGUUAUAAUUAUGAUUAACAAAGGCCGCUUUAAUCUUGUGUUAGCAUAAUUAGUAGACCGGAUUGUUUAAGGAUAUUUAGAUAGAAUAGCAAAUAUGAGCUCAAUAAAGUACUAUCAUGAACAUUGUUCUGUAAUAAAUGUGGUCCAAGUGGGAGAUUGUUAAAAUAUGGACGCACUAAUGUAACAUAGUUUAUGAUUAAGUUAUUCGCAUUUACGUAUUUGUUUUGUAUCAAGUUUCUAAAGUAUGGGCCACCUCAUGUGUAGAGCCCAUUACCAUAUGUGUCUUAGAUGAUGGGCUUGAGACACAUAUAGCCCAAUAUUUUAAAGGGAAUGGUCCCUAAGGCAUAGAGGGUAUAUAAGGCUAAGUGUCUGUUCAUUUUUCGAAUGAUUUCUUUAAUAGACAAAAAGGAAAUGUUCUCUCUCGCUUCCCAUCGCCACAGAGAUUACAGAGAUGGUGGCUUCCCCUCUACAGCCUUAGAAGUUCCAUACCUUAUUCAUCACCAGAAAAAUGGACUCAGGUAUGUUCUAAAUCCGUGGACAGUAAGGUAUAGUUUCUUCACAUGACUGAACAUACGAUUCAUGUAUGAUAUUAUUGGAUUUGCAAUGGAGUCCCCAUCAAUCCCUACUUAGCUCACUAGUAGCCCUUUAAUUCAUGUCACAAGGAACCUUAUAUACAUUGCCAAUUUUAAGUUUUUGGUUCUUUCUAGAGCUAACAUUUUGCAAGAAAAUAGAACACUAAAAGAGAUAGAAACAAAGCAAAAUUUAGUCUAGAUAAUGACAGUGGGUUGCACCAAUACUAAGCCUUUCAUGCUGGACAAACUUGUAAGAUAAUGACAAAUCUUUUUAGGCUUGAGGAUUCCAACUUGAUUCAAGGUCUUCCCAUUGUAAACCCCAACAAUGUAGCCAAUCAUUUCAAGUACUAUGAUCAUGUUGUAGAGGUGAAUUCUAGUUUGCUUUGGGUUUUCACUAGGUAUACUACCUCUUGUUUUCGUUUUUAAGACAUCAAAACACCAAAAUGAAAUUAACAUUAAUAAAUAACCCUCUCUUUCUUAGUCGUUUACUAAAAUGAUUAAUCAUUAAUAGAAAUUAAAGCUGAAAGACUUGACCUUGCUAAAUUCCACAAGGCAAAGGUUUGGUAAUCACAUGACCUUAGUAAUCUAACAACAGUUUAUCAGCACACAAAUACAUUUUCUGAUACCAGUUAUAUUAUUUUUAUCAAUAUUUUCAUAAUUGGACCGAUCAUUAAAUCGAAAAAGUUACCGGUUCAUUCGUUGAACCGACAAUCGAACAGAUGACAUCAUAAAUAUACAAUUUAUAAAUUGUUAAAAUUUAAAAUAAUUAUAAAAAAUUAAAAUAAUAAUUUAUAUAUUAUUUAAAAAUUAAAAUUUUAUUUGAAAAUCAGAAAAUUAGUUUUCAAAUUAAAAUUUUAAAUUAAAAUCAUUAUUUUAAUUUAAAAUUUAAAAUUUUAAUAUUUAUUUUUAAAUAAAAAAAAACUUAUCUUAAAAUCAUAAAUUUAUUUAAAAUGGUAAUGUUUUUAAUUUUACCAUUAAAUCAUAUCUCAUAUCAUCCAUAUAAAUCCAUAUAAAAGGCAUUUUUUACUUUAUCAGCUCCCAAUUUCCCACUCUCGCACAUCACCGUUGUUGUGAAGACCCACAAAUGACGACACCACCUGCAAUUGCAAAUUUGCAACUAUGCAAGACCCAACACUAAAGGGAGAGCAAUCUAACUAUGAGGGGGUUGUCUUGUCUACAUCGUCGUUGUAAGAUUCAGUCCACUUGACAAGUCACCACCGCCGACACCAAAGCUUCUCCCUCCAGCAAUACUCGAUUUUCAGGAAAAUCAGGUAAGUAAAUCCUAAAUUAUGCCCUCAUCCUUCGUUGGUUUCUCCUCUUAUUUCCAAACAGGUCAUAGGUUGGGUUUUUUCUUCUUCAUCUUCUCUGAUCUUCUGGGUUAAAAGUUCCAAUUUCAAAAUCCUGGGUGUUUGCUUUUGAAAGGGGAAUCUUUUAUUUUUAUUUUUUAUUUUGAAAAUGUUUUGAUAUGUUAUUAUGAUUAGGAAGAAAAAAAGGUUUGAAAAUUUUUCUGUAACCUAACUGAGUCGACUGUGGGUGGGGUAACAAUUGUGGCUAGGGGGAAAACGUUCUAGAAAAAUGAAGAAGAAAGGGAAGGCAUCAUUUUGGAAGCCAAUAAACAAAAAGGAAAAAGUUCAUUUAAACCGUUUGGUUCGUUAAAAAUCGGUCGGACCGGUCUGUCCGCCAGUUCCAAUGAUUUGAUGUCGGUUUAGAGGUUGGUCGAUUCAAAGGGGUGAACCGAACUGAAAUGAUGACCAGUCGGUGAUCAGACUGAUCGAACCAGCCGGUCCGGUCCGGUUUUUAAAACGUUGAUUUUUAUUAUUAUAUCAUUUUACCAAUACUAUUAUUAAUUAUUAUUAUAUAUAUCAUUAUAAUUCUUAUUCUUUUGAGUGAACAUAUCUAUGUGGAAGAUGAAUUAAAUAUUCAAUUGAGUUGCUAAGAAGACAGAUAUAGCUUGUUGGGGGAGAGUGGUUUUAUAGGAUUCCAAGAGAAGGACUAGAUUAAGUCUUAUAAGAAUUGUUGUAAGUGGCAUAUGGAUACUGAAAUCGACUUGAAAGAGUACAAAUUAUCAUAAAUUUUUAGAACAUUCUAGAAGAAAUAUAAGCAUUACCUAGUUAAUUUUCUUUGUAAUUAUUUGGUUGAAUUUAUAUAUAUAAUGGAUUUAAGGAUUCUUACUAGUCGAGUUAAUGAUUCUUAGAGUGUGUGUGGCAGUAAUUCUGAGAAAUUUUUAUAGUAUUUCUAAUACUUGAAAAAUAAAAGUUUUUAAGUGUUAAAAAGCUAUAAACACUUUUCAGAAUCACUAUCAAACGCACUCUUAAUGUUCUUAUCCAAUCAUAAUCCACUAUGGAAGGGCUACUAGUUUGUCAACAUUAUGGCAAGCAAAUAAACUUUACCAAGUAAACAUGUCGAGCUUUAGUUUCCUUCAUGUAUAAUACUAUAUAUAAUACAUGGAUAUCUAACAGUCUUACAAACAAGGAAUUUGAUUAAUGUAUGUACAAAACCAGCGUGUAACUUGGAAAUGAAAAUUUUCAAACUCGGUGAAAAGGAAGAAUUAUGAAAACCAAAAUUAUUAAUCUCAAAUUUUGUAAUUGAAUAGAGCUCCAAAAGUUGAUUGGUCUCCCAACCAAAAAAUAAACCAAUUUUACUAAAAUUCAGUGAAUUAGAGAAUUUCAAUGUCAGUUCUCGCAUCAUAAUCAUAAAAUUAAGAAUUUAAGAGAAAUGCACUAUAACAAAUAUAUGCUUUUACCAUAAAUUAAUUUGUGGUUAAAAAGGAGUAUUUGGUUGUAGAAGGUUUUUUUCCACAAAAAAUUAUUUAUGGCGAGCUUGUGGCCAUAUGGCAGUAAUUUUUCACCAUAAAAUAAAACUUGUGACCAUAUAUUAUUUUUCAUGAACAUAAUCAUGAUAACAGGUCAUUUUUUGCCAUGAAAAAUCACCCUUUUUAUCUUGAAAUACAAUUUUUUGUGAAAUAUAUAAUACAAUUUUUUGUGAAAUAUAUUUUACAAUAAAAAAUUAUUUUUAUGCAUCUCACAUAUUUAACUUUUAAUUCUUCUCCCUUGUUUUAACUUUAAAUAUCAUUUUUAAUAAAUUUAAUAGUAAUAUUUCAAAUGUAUUAUGUUUUACAAUAAAAAAAAAAAUUAUCCUUUAAAUUGUACAAGAGAGAUAAGUCGGGUUAGGCUAUUUGUCUUAAAGAUCACUAUUUUCUUCCUUAUAUAUAAUUCAUUAUUUGUCGAUUCUUAGGUCCAUAACAUGACGUGAAACAUGAAUAACAAUAAUGAUACAUGUACUUGUAAUUUCUAAAAUUAAAAAUUAAACCACAACAUAUACUAAUUUGGAUCACUAGUUAUAGCCAACCCAAAGCUGUGCUUCAUCCCAAGACAUGUUAGGGUGACUCCAGUACUUGAUCCUUGCAAUUCCUUCUCCUUUAGGGUCCACAUGAGGAAAGACAUUGAAGUCAUUGCCACCAACUAUUAUUUUAGGCUCUGAAUGGCAUGUAAAAUAAAAUAAAAGGAGAAAAAGAAAAGAGGAAACAACAUUUAUCAUUAGACUCUUACAACUUGUAAGAGAAAAAACAACAUUUUUCAUCAAACUAUAAUAAGAAUAACGACUCAUCUCUUAAAAUUAAAUCCAUUAGAAGACAGUUGAAAAUGAAGUUUGGGGCCAAAAACCAAUAGGAACAGCAGAACAGGAAAAUUGUGUGCAAACUAGAGAACCUACAAAUACGGUGCAUAUCACAAAGACCCUAGAAGAUCAGAUGUAGAUAGCAUUUGACAUGGUUGACAGAACUAAAAUGGUCAAAUAUUUAUUUCCAAGCCCACAAAACUGAGAAGGAGCUGGGUCAGGAUCAUGAAUACAAGCCCCAACUCUAGGACUUCAAGUUCCCAAAAUCAAAACUUUGACUUUAAGUAGCUGUCUUGUUGUAAGGAAAAGUUCUUCUGUUGAAGUCUACAUUUUGAUGAAACAUAUAUUGAAUUAUAGAACAAAUAUAUUUCUAUCAGCUUUCGAUUUUCUUAGCAAUGAAACAAACCAUUAACCAACAAACAAAAUGUAACUAAAUCUAUCACGCCCCAAAACCCACUCCAAGGGCAUGACGGUCAUUUCACACCUCAAGCCCAAAGGCUUAAAGUAGAAACAAUACAAGCAUUCAUAUUGUAACUAAAAAUUUACCAAUUACCAAAUUCAUGUUCAGAGUAGUAGGACAAAAUUCUAAAAUCUCCAAGUAUCAACUUUAAAAAAACUAAUACAUCAACCAAAGCGUUAUUGUCUAAAUAACUCCAAACUCAAAAUAAUUCAAACGAGAAUUAAGUUUUAACAUCUAAAUAAUGUCCAAAAUAAAGAGAGUUUAAACAAAUGUCCUAAUAAAGCCAAAUUUCCCUCCUAAAGGUCACUCCUUUCCCAAACUAAGGUUACAUGAAAAAUUAUCAACAAAGGGGGAUGAGCUCAAAACCUAAUAAGGAACAUUAACACAGUUUCAUGGAUCAAACAUUUUCAAUCAUGCUUGCAAAUAGAAGAUAUAACAUAUACUUAUUUUCAUAAAAACUUUUAAGUUCAAAAUACUAAUACAUUCAAACUUUUCAACAAAACUUUCUCAUAUCCAUUUCAAAACAAUUUCUCAUCAAAACCAAAUCGAAUACAUUCCAAAUAUAUUCACGUUGGUUAUCGUAUGAUAAAUGGUACCCAAUUAGGUGGGACUUCCCAAUUGAGUAACUAGUUUCAAAUUUGUUUCAUUUAAGGUGAACAAAACCAAAUGUCAACAAUUAUAACUCGUUGACUAGGGUCAUAAGGUCAACUAUUAUAAUCCGUUGACUAGGGUCAUAUAAUCCAGAGUCAAACACUUUAUUUCAUUAAUUCACUUACGAAACAAAAUCUCAUAUCUCCUCAAUUUUUCAUUUUUCAUAAACAAAGAAAAUUCUCAAAUAUACUUUCCAUACAAAACACAUAUUUGAUCCAUGCAUAAAGAUAAAAAUAAUAUUUUUACAAAUUUCAAAAUACAAUAUAAAAAGAAAAUUAUUUUCUUUUAUAAAAAUUUGCAUUAAUUUCCCUUACCUUGAAGAAGCGCUCAAAAACUUGAAGUAUUUAGCUUGACAAAUUUACUCCUCACCUAACAUAAUAUCAUACACAAUUAUCUAACUCGUAUUUCUAAAAAUAUUUUAUUUAGUAUUAGGGAUCCUAAUUAAUUUUUUAUGCUAAUAUUAUUACUACCCAAUAUUAUUUUCAACUUCUUAAACAAUCAUAAUAUAAUUUAAUGAAUUUCCAAAUUUUUGAUAAACUCGUAUUUCUUCCAAAUCUUAUUCUAGCCAAUUAUUUCUUUUGUAUACUUGAACUAAAUUAAAACUUUUAUUAAAAACAAUUACUAUUAUUAUUACUAUUUUUUUCGAUACCCCGCAACAUCCAAACGGCCCUACUAUAUGUCACUCACGAGCAUCCAAAUCACACAAUUUUUACUAUUACUAUUAUUAUUAUUAUUAUUAUUAUUAUUAUCAUUAUUCUUAUUAAUCUCAACUAUUAUUAUUAUUAUUCUUAGUCAUUAAUCUCAACUAUUAUUAUUAUUAUUAUUCUUACGUCACUUACAAGCAUCCAAAUCACACAAUUCUUACUAUUAUUAUUAUUAUUAUUAUUAUUAUUAUUAUUCUUACGUCACUUACAAGCAUCCAAAUCACACAAUUAUUAUUAUUAUUAUUAUUAUUAUUAUUAUUAUUAUUAUUAUUAUUAUUAUUCUUACGUCACUUACAAGCAUCCAAAUCAUACAAUUAUUAUUAUUAUUAUUAUUAUUAUUAUUAUUAUCAUUAUUAUUAUUAUUAUGAUGAUGAUUAUUAUUAUUAUUAUUAUUAUUAUUAUUAUUAUUAUUAUUAUCUUACUAUUAUUAUUAUUAUUAUUAUUAUUACUAUUACGUCACUUACAAGCAUCCAAAUUACACAAUUAUUAUUAUUAUUAUUAUUAUUAUUAUUAUUAUUAUUGCUAUUAUUAUUAUUAUUAUUAUUAUCAUUAUGAUUAUGAUUAUUAUUAUUAUUAUUAUUAUUAUGAUCAUCAUCAUCAUUAUUAUCAUUAUCAUUAUCAUUAUCAUUAUCAUUAUUAUUAUUAUUAUUAUUAUUAUUAUCAUUAUUAUUAUUAAUCCCAAUGUCCCCUCUUACUUAACAAAACAUGCAAUUCUUCUUCUUAUUAUUUUCCAAUCCCUUAAUCCACAUAUAAUCAUAUAUUUAUUUACUCAUUUAAUUUUUAAAAUUUCAUUAUUUAGAUAAUCUAAAAAAAAAUCGAAUUUUCCUAUUUUCAUCAAUGAAACAACCUAUAUUCAUAAUUUCAAUUUUUUGAUCUUAAAAUAAAUUAACUAAACUAACCCUAAUCUAAAUUAAAAUUUUCUAAAGAAUAUUUAAUUUGUUCAAAACUAACUAACUAAUAUAAUAUAUUAAUAUAGAGUUAGAAUCUUACUUGGAAAAAUCUGAACUUCAAAGUCUAAACCUUCAAACCUUUAGCCCUACAUUCUCCAAUUCUCUAAUUUUUUGUUAAUAGAGUUUUCUGAAUAAAGAAGACAAGAGGAAAAUCUAAUUUAUACCAAGGAUUAUUAAUUGUAAAAGGACUCUUUUACCUUUAAUGAGUUUAAUUAAUAAAUUUGUAAUUUACUGUUUUGCUCCUAAAGUUUAUUUUGGGGUGUUACAGAAUCAUUUCUUUUUAACAUGGAGAACAAUAUUGAAGAAACUCAAAGAAAGAUCCAGCCUGCAUUUUCUUUUCUCCCAAGUGCAGAAAACCCCAAGCCUUGAAUUUUCACUCUCGUUCCUUACAUCUUUUCAGCAACCAAACAGAGCACAGUAAACCUUAAUUUACUUAGUAGAUGAAUUAACAAUGCCAAACCAAACGAACACAUAAUAAUAUCAAAACAUGUAUAGAAAUUCAAAUUUUCUUCUAAACCUAUGUUAUGUUGGUGAUAAAUCAAGAGGGACCAGUAGAUGAAAUCUUGGAAGCAAAGUUAGUCCUAAGAUCAGUUUUUCCAAAGCUAACUCAAUCCUUAUCUCAGUUAUAAAAACUUCAAUAGUCCAUUUCUAUUACCACAAAUGGAAAAUUAUUAGCUAUGGGAUUGGCCGACAUCCUUCUGUUUAAUGCCUUCUACUGAUGUCUCCCACAUUAAAUUCCCUUCUGGAGAAAACCUGUCCCACUAUCAUGCUUCUUCACUUGUACCUCUAUUCACGAACCCCUCUCCAAUACUCGGACAACUCUGAAAGCCUCUGCUCCUCUGCUUCCAAUCUGAAGAAAACCCUUCUUGCAAACAAUAAAAGGAAGACCAGAGGCUACUUUCAAGAGAGAAAAUCUGAGAUAAUGUUUCAGUCAUAGAAUAGUUGCACCCUUACAUAUAGAGAUAAGACAAUACAAUAGUUCUAUCCUUGAAUUCCUGUUUGCUUUGGUGGCAUACCAAAUCAAGUCAUGCAGCUGUUAAGUAUUUUCAAGAGUACCCACAUAAAGACGGGUGAAAGAGGAGAGUGAUGCUGAAAGAGUUGUCUCAUUUCCACCGUAAUUUACCUCCGAUUGACAUAUCAGGAACCACCCUAGUAUUGUGGAAUCAACAAGAAGGCUCUGCACCAAAUCCCAGCAAUGGCCAAGGAUGCCCAACUUGACUACAACCAGGAAACCAGAUGGAAGAUGGCCAGAGCUCACUUAGAUUACAAUAAACCCAUGAAAGCUACACUUGUUUUUGUCAUUCUUUCAUAAUUAUGGCUUUUGUUUAAUCCUCAAAUCAUUCAUCUCCUAAAGUUUCUACCUUAUCAAAUUUUCUUUUGUCCUAUUCAUAAUGGGUGAAAAAGGAUGUUUUUUUUAAUGAGAAAAAGGAGAAAAGGAGAAAAAAGAGAAGUCGGUUGAUUGCAUAUUUAUGAGCCAACAUUGAGUCAUUAAAUUAAUGAGUCUAGCUUGUGCCUCAAUUGGAUCAAGUCCUGAACCAGCCCUAUGUUCCUCAAUCAUUGAUGUUCAGAACCACCACAACCAUAAUGAGAUUAGUGUUAAGAUAUGGACUCACACAUAUUUAACAAUGGUACAUGACUAAGCUAUUCGCCUUUGAUAUUUAUUUUGUAUCGGUUUUCCACAGUAUGGGCCACCUUAUGUGUAGAGUCCAAUGCCUUCACGGGCCUUAGAUGAUGGGCCUAAGACUCGUGAGGCCCAAUAGCCAAAGGGUAUGGUCCCUAAGGUAGGAGGGUAUAAAUCCAAAUACUGUGUGUCUGUUCAUAAUCAUCACAUCAGUUUUGGAAUAAGAAUAGACCCGUUUCUCUUCGACUCCCAUCGUCUGAGAGAAUUCAGAAAGAGGUGGUGCCCUCCACAGCCUUAGAAGAUCCAUACCUUGUUCAAAGGAAAAGCAUAAUGGAUUCAGGUUCGUUCAUUCCCUAUCUAGAGAUCAUGGCAUGUUAUCAGGAUUGAUAUAUAUAUUUUCAGUUUCUAUUGUUGGUGAUAAUGGAAAUCAACAUGAAUAACAAUUAGCACAUGUAUCAUAAUGAUUUGGAAGACCUCAAAUAUUUGCAUCAAGAAGGUCUUAAUGGAUUUGCUUUUGUCUAUCACAGUCUCGUUGCCUACUUCCAACUGACUAAUCUGUUUUGUGUCAAUCCCAUAUUUCUCGAGGAGGGAGGUAACAACUGUCGAACUGUUCAAUGAAGAAGCUGUUAUAAAAUGGCUAUCAUAAAAAAGAUGUUAUGGCCUAUGAGCACUCUUGCAGCCAAUUUUUUUCCAAUAUAAUGCCAAACUGCUUGAUUAAUUCAAGGUCCAAUGUCAUGUCACAACUUCAAUGUUAUAAUAUAUUUUAACAUGAAGAUGUUUAAGCUCCACUAUUUAUCUUCCUAAUAUGAAAACUGCAAGUUGUGAUAGUCAAAGAACUUCCAUAACUUCUUGAAAGAUAAUUGUCACCUUACCAAAACGUCCACAAUUUUAUUUUUUUUAUUUUUUUGAAAAGAAAAGAAUAAGUCAAGAGAGAUCUUUAAGAAAAAUGCAUAGAAGCAUUGUAAUGAUAAAGCAGCUCCUUUCGCAGUUCUAUCGAAAAAGGACUAGAGCCUCUCAAAACAUGCUGCACACAUGAUUAUCUACACCUUUCUGACCAAAUGUUACCUUAAGGAGGCUUCAGUUGCAAUCUAUAGGAACAGUGAGGAUCAAAUGGAGAGUCAUAGUCACAACCUCAUUGAGAUGACAUCUUCCACCUCCGAACAGAAUGCCUAACACUUACCCUUCUAUUUCAAAACAAAAUAAACAUCAUUCCACAUCAUUGAGAUGCACCUUUUAGUGACUGAUUCAUGAGUAAAGUAUAUUUCAAAAAAUAAAAUAGAAAUUUUUUUUAUAUAUAUUUUCCAAGACUUAGAUUUAAAUCAUGAGAAGGAUGCUAAUAAUGGUAAUACCAUAAACAAACAACCUUAGAAUAUAGUGCAAUUUAAACCAACCACGACCAGAACGAUUCACACAAAAGAAAAACACAGAAAACGCAUCAAAAUCCAAGGUUCACAAAAGAGAGAAAGAGAGCGACCAAUGAUCCAGAUUCAUUUGUCUCCAUUUCACUUCUGAGAAAAUCCAAGAAAGUUAAAACAAUUAAAAUUUUGAAUCUGAGCACACUUAGCAGACACUAUUUAAAACCAGAAUAACUCUCCUUUCUUUCUCUCAUUUUCCCUCCAUUUUCUCGGAAACAAAAUAGAGGGCAAAGUCACUGGCAAGAAAAUUAACGAUAAAAAGAGAAAGCAGAGGCUGAGACCAGUCACCUGUUGAACACAACUAGGAGGGAAGUAAAUGUCCAUGGCCAGAAUUCCCACAUUUUUCGCCAUUUUCUCUGAGCUCAGUUUCUCAAGAAAGUUGGUAAAUGAAAAAAGCUAGAAAUUUUUUCUCUCUCAAUGUAGAGAGAGAAAGAGAGCGAAAGCAGAAUCCUUGGAAAGCAGCAGAAAGGUGCGAGGAUGGGUCACAUAAUUUUAUUUGUGCCUAAAAUUAUGGUAGCAAAAUGUGAAAUUUGUGGUAGCGAGGGAAUGUUAAAUACGGCUACAAAGUAGCAGUAGAGUAAUAAAAUACAUAUAUGGUGUCUUCAACCAGGAUCCAAGAUGCUAAUUGGCAGAGGGAUACAGGGAUACGUUAUGUAAAACUCUUUACUUACACCAUUCAAAAUAGGAGAAAAAGUCUAGAGAUAGUAUCAAUAGAAUAGCAUGGAAGAACUUCAAAGUUAUAACAAACCUUUUAGCCUAAAUUUUAAACUAGAUCUCGAGCCAACUCUAGUGUGAAAUUGGUUCAGAAUUUAAAUUUCAACAUUUAAAGUUUUCUCAAUAAAACUAACUACGAUCACCCACUUCCAUAGAGAUUAUGUAAUAUUUGAAAAAGAAAAUGGGGGAAGACAAUAAAGUUUUAAGUCUCCCCCAUUUCUAUCUUCUUUUAUAAUUGUUUGUGUUCCUCCUUUAACCCUAUUACAUCAACAAAUUAAUUGAUAUCAAAGCUUUUGCAUACCCUACAAAUUGGUAUAAAAGUCAUAUGAAAGGAUGGUAAGUGGGAUGUAACCAUUUCAAGUCCCCCAACUCAACAAAGACAAUUACAACAAUUGGAGUAUUAAGAUGAAGGUUCGACUUGGUUCAUAAGAUACAUGAGAGGUUGUAAAGAAAGGCUACACAGAGUCACAAGAUGAAACCACUUUAUCCCUAAAUCAAAUGGAUUUUUUGAAAGAUAUGAGGAAGAGAGACAAAAAAGCUCUUAUCAUCAUUUAUCAAGCAAUGGAUAAAGGUAUUUUUGAGAAGAUUUAAGUGCAAUCACCUCGAAGGAAGUCUGGAAGAUACUACAAAAUAGACACAAGAGAGUUGAUAAGGUACAAAAAGUUCAUCUUCAAGCUCUUAGAGGAGAACUUGAAUGUUUGAAUAUGAAAAAAUUAGAAUCAAUCUCUAAUUAUUUUUCUAGAGUAUUAACUAUCAUGAAUUUAUUAAAAAGAAAAUGUAAGAGUUUAAAUGAUACUCAUAAUUUAUUAUAAAGAAAAUAUCAGAUUUUAAAUGAUAUUCGUGUAAUUGAAAAAAUAUUUUGAUCUUUAGAUUCGAAGUUUGAUGUUGUGGCCAUUGAAGAAUCUAAAGAUUUAGAUUCUAUGACCAUUGAUCAACUAAUGGGAUCAUUGUAACCACAUGAAGAAGAUAUUAAAAACGAAGAACUAAGAAAAAAUUAAAACAACUUCUUCAAACAAAAUUUCCAAUAAAACAGAAUUGAGAAAAUUUUGAUGAAAGAAGUCAGAAUAAUUGUAGACACGACCAUGCACAUGGUCAUGAACGUGGCCAAUGCAAUAGAGGAAUAGGUGGUUUUGAUUCAUCAAACAAUGAAGGAACAAGCCAAAAUCCAUAUUCCUCAAAAAUACGUGGAAGAUGGCAUAACUCAAGGCAAAAUGAAAUGGGAAGGUAUGAUAAAUCCCAAAUUCAAUGUUAUAAUUAUAACAAAUAUGAUCAUUACGCUUUUUACUAACAAUAUGGAAAGACAAGCCAACUAUAUUGGAAAGAAAGAUCAAGAAGAGCCUACCGUAUUAUUGGCAUAUAAAGGAGCAAGUAAAGAGAAAAACAUAUAAUAUCUUGACACCAGAGCAAGAAAUCACAUUUGUGAUUUCAAAAACAUGGUUGUAGAGCUUGAUAAAUUGGAAAGUGAUCAUGUUACUUUUGGAGAUGCAUCCAAAAUUCAAAUCAAAGGCAAAGGUAAAAUCUUAAUUCGUUUGAAAAAAGGAAAACAUCAAUUUAUCUCAAAUGUCUACUUUAUAUCUAACAUGAAAAAUGAUAUAUUAAGUUUAGGUCAACUCUUAAAAAGAGUUUAUGAUAUUCAGAUGAAAAAUCGAAGUCUUUCAAUAAGAUAUCAACAUAAUUCAGAAUGAUAUUGUAAAAUGUCUAAAGUCAAGGAUUUGUCUUGGAUUUGGGACUUAAGAUUGAACAUCUUAAUUUUAGAGGAUUGUAAUUGUUGAGCAAGAAAAAUAUGGUGAGAGGAUUGUCCUCUAUAAAUCACCUGGAUCAAUUAUGUGAAGGAUGCCUACUUGGAAAACAUGCCCAAAGUAGUUUUCCAAAAAAAGCAACUACAAGAGCAAAAAAGCUCUAAAGCUUAUUCAUGUGGAUGUAUGCAGCUCAAUUCAUCUAAACUCUUUUGGUAAGAAUAAAUAUCUUUUGCUUUUCAUUGAUGAUUUCAGUAGAAAAACUUAGAUCUAUUUUUUGAAGGAAAAAUCUAAAGUACUUAGGUUUUUAAGAAAUUUAAAGCACUUGUUGAAAAAGAAAGUGGACACAAUAUAAGAGUGAUGAGAUUCAAUAGAGGAAGUGAAUUCACAUCAAAAGAAUUUAAAGUUGUUGGCAUAUCAGAUCUAAGCAAUGGAAGCAAUACUAAUUCUUUAAAAAACAAAUGAUAUUUAGGGUUAAAAUUCUAACCUUUAGGUUUGGAUGUUCCCAAACCUUGAAUCCAAGUGUUGAAGAAUCAAAUCAAUGUCAUCGAAAGUCUCAUAAACCCACAAUCUUCCACCCAAUGACUCAACCUUGUUUCUUAGCACACAAAUGGUGGGGAGUUUGGGAGAAUAGAGGCUAGGACUAUUUUCUUUUAAGAUGGUAGACGAUAAAAAGUGGUAGAAACCCUAACCUAUAUGAGUAUUUAUAAGAUUCCUAACUAGGCUUAAGUGACUUAAGCCCACAUAGGCUUGGGUCACUUAAUCUAGCUCAAAUUGGAUCCUAAUUGAUUAAUUAAUCUAACAUGGCCUACUAAUUAAUUAAUUAACCCAAAUCCAAAUACCUUGUUCACUUACUCCUGUAUAACCUUGCAUAAUUACCAAAAUUCUCUUAUGCACAAACGCAAAUUUAGAGCUAAUCCGACCCUUAAAACCUAUGCUAACAAUGUAUGUGAGCUCAAAGUGAGGACCAAUAGGACCCAUAGGAAUACUAUCUCCCUCAGAAUCCAAUUCUGAAGUUGAUUCAACAUUCUACUACACAAAAUCAACUGAACUCUAAUAUCCUUUGUAAGCAACAAUGAGACAUUAUGUGCUCAAGUUCAUGACUUUCUACCCAUUGUAUUCAGUCUCCCCAUGAACUGGUAUCCAUAGUCUAACAAGGCGAUAAUUAUCAAUAUUUCAAUACUACCUCUACUAUCCUUGAGUUACAGAUCCUCCUAUUGUAUGUUCAACUAAAAGCCUAUGUCAAGUUCCACUUAAAGAACUACUAUGACCAUAGUUUCCAUGAACACACAUCCUUAUGAUCACCUAAGGUGACUCUCUAUCUCAAUCUCAUAAAAUAUCAUGGUGUCUCUAUUAAGAAUAUCUAUUGCUACCAACUUCCAUCAACAAUGACUCAAUCCAUAAGGAAUAUAUGAUUAACUUACGAUCUCACCCGUAGGUCAAAGCCACUACUAACUUUAGCACAAACUCAAUAUUCUCUUAAGGUUAAGAGACAACAUAAUGAAAAAGCUUUGUGAGGUCAUGACUACUUGAUAGCCUUAAGUCAUGACUCACCAUAAGUCCUGUCCAAUGUGUAAUCAUACACACUAGCACACUUACCAAGGGAAACUCAUCCCAAUAGUCAAGACUAAUCAUCCAUCUGAUUAGGAGGUGGUGCACUACAACCUCUAAUGGGUUACCCAGACCCACGAAUCGGUUGUGACCAAGUCAUCUAUUUACAAGGAACCUGUGAUUUGGUUCUUUCUUGCAACUCUUAAUGCACCCAAAUCACGUACAAUGCAAAAUAUGUUAGAUGAGAAUGCACAUAAAGUACAAUACAUGAAAUAAGGAUAGAUAAAAGUGAAAAUGGAAUAUCAUUAAAUAAUGAAUUCAAAAUUUAUUACAUCAUGCCAUGCCUUUAAGGGCUCUAUACUAACAUUCUCCCACUAACCCUCAAAGCAUAAUGCUACCAAACCAUAUCAAAUACUCAUCUAAAAUCGAUGGUAUCCCUAUGACCAACAUAGACUCUCCCUAUCAAUGUCUUGGUGAAGGGAUCCACCAGGUUCUCCAUAGAAGGUAUCUUGUCAACCAUCAUGUCAUUUGAAACACAAGCACAUAAUCCUUCAUUCUCGAAAGAAACUUGAGUAUAUGUUUGACAUAGCACAAUUUUCUAUACUUUUAGUCUCUAAGGGCUUUAAACCCACAAAUAUAUUGCUCUCCUUCUAGACUUCCAUCUAUAAUCGAAUAGACAACUAGAUCUUGACCGAUGACAAUAUCCCUACAUUAUUCUCAAUUAGUAGAUUGUCAUCUAUAUAUAAAAUCCUAAAGCACCACUAUGCUUCCUACACUUUCUAAUACACACAAAGUCUUUUGCUAUGAAAAUAUCUUGUUACAUCAUAUAGAUGUUAAUAUCAAGAUAAUCAUUUAAGAACACUACCUUGACAUCCUAUUGCAAUAUCUCAUAAAUGAGAUACACCAUAAUGGAUAGGAGUACUUCGGUUGAUUUACGUACGACUACUGGUGAAAAGGUUUCCUAUAGUCAAAACAAUGUUUCAAACUAUAACCUUUAGCUACAACAUAGGCACAUAAAUCUCAACCUUCUCAUCUACUCCUUUGUUCCUUUUAUAAACCAACUUACACCUAUGGGUUUUGAUCCUUUCAAGUACUUCUAUAGGAAUUUAGACUAUGUUAUAAUACAAAAAUUCUAACUUUCCCUUCAUAUCUCCUUAUUGAGUUAUGAGCACCAGCACACUCAUUUCUUCAUCAUAAUCUAUGGGGUAUAUGAAAGGAAAAACCAAAAUAUCUCUGUUUCCCAAGUUCGGAUCAGGUUAGGAAUAUGCAUAAUUAUCCUAGGCUUUUUCUAAAUCCUAUGCACAGCGGAAAAAUAACUUUUUUAUACUUUAAAAGGAUUCAGAAAGUGCUAAUGAAAACCAUACCUCAAAUUCGGAUUUUCCCGAAUCAAAUCCACAUGGUGAAGAUGAAGAUCAAAAUCGCAAAAGUCACAUAAACCCAAAGUUUUCCGCCCGAUGACUGGAACCUUGAUCUUAGCACACUUCUAGUAGGGAGGAAAAGUGGGUGGAUGUUAUGGUUGUCUAUCUCUCUGGAUGAUGGAAGACAAAAUCUAUGGAAACCCUAACCCCUAGGGGUAUUUAUAGGGGCUCCUAAGUGGGUCUAAGUGACUUAAGCCCACAUGGGUUUAGGUCACUUAAUUUAGCCCAAAAUGGGUUCUAAUUGAUUAAUUAACCCAAUAGGGUCUAUUAAUUAAUCAAUUAGCCCAAUCUAGAGACCUUGUUUAAUUACCCCUAUGCAACCUUGCGUAAUUACUAAAACACCCUUAUGCACAAAAGUGAGUCUAGAGCCAAUCCGACCCUCAUAACCCAUGCCAAUAAUGUAUAUGAGCUCAGAGCGGGGACCACUAGGACCUAUAGGAAUACUAGCUCCUUCAAGAUCCAAAUCUAAAGUUGAUUCAACAUCUCACUACAGAGAAUCAACUGAACUCUAAUAUCCUAUGUAAAUAAUAACGAGACACCAAGUGCUCAAGUCCAUGACCUGCUAUCCAUUGUGUUCAAUCUCCCCACAAACUAGUGUUCAUAGUCUAACAAGGUGAUAGCUAUCAGCCUUUCAAGACUACCUUUACCAUCCUUGAGUUACAAAUCCUUUUAUUGUGUGUUCAAUCAACAUAUCUUAGCUUUCAAAGAGUCUAUGUCAAGUUUUGCUUAAGAAACUACUAUGGUCAUAGUUUCCAUGAACACACCUCCUUAGGAUCACCAAAUGGGACACACUAUCUCAAUCCCAAGAGAUAUCAUGGUGUCUUUAUUGAGAAUACAUAUUGUUACCAAUUUCCAUCAAUAGUGACCCAAUCCAAAGGGAAUAUAUAAUCAACUUAUGAUCUCACCCGUUGGUCAAAGUCAUUGUUAACUUUAGCACAAGUUCAAUAUUCUCUCAAGGUUGAGAAACAACACAAUGAAGCAACUUGGUGAGGUCAUGACUACUUAAUAGCCUUAAGUCAUGACUCACCAUAGGUCCUGUCCAAUGUGUAACCAUACACACUAGUGCACUCACCAUGGGAAAUCCAUCUCGAUAGCUAAGACCAUUAGGAGGUGGUGCACUACAACCUCUAAUAAGUUGCCUAGACCCAUGAAUCGGUUGUGAACACGUCAUUUAUUUGCAAGGAACCCAUGACUUAGAUCUUUUUUGCAACUCCUAAUGGACCUAAGUCACAUACAAUGCAAAAGAUGUGGGCAAGAAUGCUCAUAAAGUAUAAUACAUGGAAUAAUGAUAGAUAAAAAUGAAACUGGAGCAUCAUUAAAUAAAUAAUGAAUUCCAAAUUUAUUACAGCAUGUCAUGCUUUUAAAGGCUCUAUCCUAACAAUAUAAACCUCACAUUAUGAUGAGGUACUCAUCUACUAGAAAUAAUAGGAAUGGUGUGUCUCUCCUCUGGAUCCAUAGUAUCGUAUGCAAUGUGCAUGGGACUCCCAAAUGAACAUGAAAAGUGAUAAGAAACCAAUCAUCAAUCCCACUAUGUCCAUAAAAGUUCAUUUUCUUCUUUCCAUUACUCCAUUAUGCAAUAAAGUCCAUGGUACACACAACUAGGAUAUUGUCUCAUGCUCCUUGUGGAAAGAAUCGAACCUACUAGAUACACCACCUUGAUGUAAUCAAAAUGCGUUGAUAUGUUUACUCAAUAUUUUAUCUGAUUCUACCUUAAAUUCAAUGAAUGUAUCUAAGGCAUCAAAUUUCCUAUCUACAUAUUCAAACCUAGAGUAUUUAUUAGUAAAAUAAUCAAAUACUCAUACUUCCCAUGCAUAAACACAAAAAGGUCCAUACACGUCGUAUGCACUAACUCCAAAUAUUCCUUGGUUCCAUGUCCUUUAGAAAUAAAGGGGUCUCCUAGUCAUUUUACCAUUUAUAUAGGAUUUGCAGACUAAAAGAUCCUCUGGAAUAAAAAGGUUCAAAUUUAAUCAGUCUUUGGAUCUUGUUUAGAUUAACAUCCUAGGCUUUGAAAACCAAAUGUUUGAUUAGUGCUAUGUUCAUACUUGAGAUAUGAUUAUUCUUAGUACUUGGCAAAAAGAUGAUGGAUUCAACGUAAAAGAGGUAAUACUUCCCACUAGCCUGCACAGCUAACCUUGAAACUAAAGUUAAGGUAAGUACAAUCCCAUCAUUUAACUUUCUCACUUGUUGAAAACCUUGUAGAGAACUACAAAUAGUGGUCUUAGAAUCAAUCCACCACUAUUUUUUCAACAAUGAGAAUAUGAUGUGUACUUGUCUAUCUUCAUGCAAUUCACACAUUCAUUUUCUUGUUUCCUAAAAGGUUUACAAAGAAAUCAUUGCCCAUGAGUUUGUUCUUUCAUUCCAUUUUUUGAACUUUCCUUAUUUGGUGUUAUUCUUCUUCUUCUUGAUGGAAGAGCCUAAAAAACAUUGACUUCUAUAUGAACAUACUUCUACUCUUUGAGAAUCUUCUUGCCCAUCCCAAAGGAAUCUGGUGAGAUCUUAAAGAUAACAUGAAUCCCAAUUUUCAUAAUAGUCAUAAGAGUAACUUGUCUAAUUGACUUGCCCUUAUCACCAAAUAAUCCUUGCAACUUUAAAAAGAAUACCAUAGACCAUGACAAUAGACAUAUGUUGCUUUUGCAACAUACUAUCCAAAGACCCAAGUAUAAGACACUUGGUCUUUUGAUUCAUCUUAUGCCACCUUUAAUAUGCUUCUCUUUUUUUUAUGUUAGGUUUGUUUAAAAUAAAUAACAAACUCUAUCUAAAUUAGUUUAUAAGCAAUUAAUAAUAUAUUUACAUUAUUUUCAUUCUAUAACUAGGUCCAAUUUAAACAUGAAAUAAGAGUGACAGGCUCAAGACAUGAUAUUUGUAACAAAUAUUAUAAUUUCAUGCAUUAAUAAAAUGAACUGAGCAUUCAAGGUAAGUUGGUAAUUAGUGCUCCCAAACUACAUGUCCUUUUGCAAGGUAUCCUGGUAUUAUAAGAAUCAAGUCUUUUUGACUCCUAUUACUAGGGUAUAAUUGAUCAACUUUCCUUAAACUUUAAAAGUUAUCUUAAGGCAUUGAUCAACAUACCCUUUUGUUUAGCCCUUAACCCAUGCAGGUGGGACUGCUUAGUUAAUUCUACCACUUCAUGUCUAAAUUAAGUGAGUAAUUAAGAUUCUUAACAUCAAUGUUACAAAGUGAAAAGCUCCAUUUUUAGGAUGGGUCACUCCCACUACAAACAUAUAUGGUCUCAUCUACAAAGGAUAGUCCAUAUCCCUUGAUUCCUUAGGUUAUCUCAUCUUUAGGAUGGUGAUGCACCCAAAAUCAAGAUGAGCUCAAUCUUGGAAGUUAUGGGUUUGCCUAUGGCCCUCUUCUACUUAAUCUCUUGAAACUAAAUAAGAGCUUUUAAAACUUUAGUAAUUAUUUUGGUGAAUAAAUUAUCUUUUUUGAGAAUUUUUAAAAAUAUUUAUCGCUUAAUUAGAAAACCUAGUGUUAUAAGAAAAUGUCUAUAUGAAAAUUUUAAAAUUUUGAUGAGAGUAUUUUAUCCAAAAAUUAAUUUUAAUAAAAUGUCCACUCUCAAAUUUUAAAAUCUAUUUUCACAAAUAUUCUCUUUUUUCACACAAUUCCAAUUAAUAAAUAUUUUGUAUAGGAAAUAUUUUCAAAUUAAUUUAUUUCCAUCAAAUUACUAAAUAUACUUUUGGUAAUAACCUUUAAUGAUAAAUUAUUUCUAAUGAAAAUUUCCAUAAGAUAUUUAUUAUCUAAAUUGGAAACUCUAGUGUAAUAAGGAAACUUCUAAUUUAUAAAAUUUUGAAAACUUGAGAGCACCUUAUCCAAUUAGGAAAGAUUUAAUUCUUCAAGGAUUCUUAAAAAUAAGUUUAAUAAAGAUAUUUUAGAUCCUUAAGAAUAAAUUUAAAAAGAAACUUUAGCUCUCAUAUUCAAAAUAAAGUUGUCUCUAUUGAACAUAUUGAAAAUACACUUAUGUUGGCAAAUCCAUUGACUAAAGGCUAUCCACUUAAGCUUUUUAAGAAUUAUGUUACGCGCAUGAGCUUGUGACAAGUUUGUCAAAUUUUGAUUAAUUGAGAGUGUAAUGUAUGUAAUCACAUUAUAAUAAAAAUAAAAGUUUUUUAUUAUGAUAUAUUGAUGAUUAAUAUUCUGUUACUUUUAUAUAUCAAUUUUGUGCACAAUCUAGAUGUUUAAAAGUUAAUGGGACCAUUAUGUGAAUGAAUUAGCAUUAUCACCUUAAUGUUGGUAAAAGUCAUUUAUUCAUGUUAAUGGAGGUGUUGGUACUAUUAUCUUUGAAGAAUAUUGUAUCGUUGUGUGAUCCAAUCAUUUCAAUGAUUUGGUGUUGGUGAUUCCAUGAAACAAAAUUUUUAACUUAAGGAAUGCCAAUUUUUGGGAAAUUGUUAUAGUCAUAUUAUGUUUUAAUCUAUUAAAAAUAUUAUUAUGUAGGCCAAGUGAGAAAUUGUUAGCAUAAUGUGUUGUCAUUCAUAAUUAUAUUUGUGUAAUGAAUUGAUAUAUAUUAUUUAAGACUAUCAAUUGAUUGGUAGGUGAAUCAAUUGAUUGAACAUCUAAGAGUCUUGUGUAUAGAAGACUAAAAUUAUAAAUAGGGAGUUAAAAUUUUUCAUUUAUCUAAGUGUGGUCACUACAAGAAAAAAAGCCUUCAUUGACAGUUUUUCACUAUCAAUGUAAGGUAUAUCUGUGAAGGUAGGUUGUUGUUCAUAUAUGUUAUUAUGCCAGUGUCAAGAAAAGUUUAAAGGUAACUUAACAUAUACAUAUGUUAAGAUUUUCUCCAUUUUUACAAAUGAUGAAAUCUUAUUAGUAUGUGAUAUGUCAAUGUUUCUUUCAUUUAUGUUAAGGUUGGAUUCAACUUAUAUCAAGAUUACUUAAUCUUAUGUCAAGGUUAACUCACUUUUUUGUUAAGAUUAGUCCUACAAAUGUCAAGGUUAGGUAUCAUAUAUGUCAUGAUUAACCCCACAUUUAUCAAGGCUUUUAGAUACAUAUGUCAAGGUUGGAUUUUAUAUAUAUCAUAAUUGACUUAUAUAUGUCAAUGUUUGGUAUCACAUGUCUUGGUGGGCACCAUAUAUGUUAAGGAUAGGUACCACAUGUGUCAUGAUUGCUCCCAUAUAUCUCAAAUUUGAGUAUAAUGUAUGUCAAUGUAAGGAAUAAGUACUAUCAAGGUUCCCUCAAAAAAUUUUAAAAUUAUUUUUUAAUAUGAAAAAUUAUACCUGUUUCCAUGUAUAAUCAAUUUGAUAUUAUUUAAGAAUGAUAAUGACAAUCAAAUUAUCAUGAUUUUAUAUAUAAUCAAAACAUAUUUAAUAUACAUUUGAUUAUUAAUUAAAGCACAAAUCAAAGAACUUGUUUAAAGUUGUCCCCAAUUUCUCUAUAUAGAAGAAACUCAUAUAAUAUACAACGAAAUUAAAAACACACUAUAAGACAAUAUACAUAAACUUAAAUUAAGUUGCUCAUGUAUAUAUCUACAACCAAGUCUCUUGCCUCCAUCUUGAAGCAUUACUUUAUAGGAAAGCCUUAAAUUUCCAACACCCAGACUUCGAAUCUGUAGAAAAAAAUAUAGAGCAUAUUAACAAAUUAAAAAGAAAAAUGUAUAAUGAGAAGCAAUCAAAUAUCAAGCUUUAUGAAGAAUUUUAAUAGCAAGCUAGCCACUACACCUUUAUUAGACAAUAAUAGAUUAUUUCUUAAUAACACAAGUAAACAAACCAACUCUCAAAUAUUAAAAUAUUGAUAUAGCAAAAACAUAUGGAGACUAAAACUAGGAGCAAAACCUAAAACAAAAAUCAUUUUAACCUAAUGAAGUUAUUGUUUUGGUCCAACCUCAACCAAGAUAUUUAACAAUUUAGAUCAUUAUUAUGAUUUUUUAACCUAACACUUUCCCUGAAAUGUCUAAGGUUUCCAUCAAACUAUACAAGUCAAAGAUAGCCCUAAGUUAUUCAUAGUAUAUAAAUUAGUAUGAAAGCCUCAAAACAAUGAUUUAAUAUCAUGAUAUAUAGACAUGCAAUUUCACAUUCAGUUCCCUACAGGGUUGGUUAAUAUUCGUAGCCUAGACUUCGCCGUAAUAUCAAAUACAAUGAUAUUUCAUUUAAACUUGUUUUGAAAAUGAAUGCAAUGAUAAAAUGACACUUGAAACCUAUUUUAAACUUGAGUGCAUGCCUACAUUGAAUGUUAAGACAAGUUAGAGUGGGGAUCUCUAGCUUAAUUUGACACCAAAGAAAAGACCGAAAAUAAGAAUCACUGAGUAUAUUGAAAUCACAUCUAUAGACAACAAUUAAAAUAAAUAAAAUGAUAUUUCAUUUACAGAAUUGUUUGUUUGGUAUAUGUUUAUCCUGACACUAUGAAAACAUAUGGACAUGUAUUUUCCUAUCCAACAUAUGCCAUGUGCACAGUCAUGUCAGCUCAUAUAUAUGUCUAGCUAAUGAAGUCAUCCGUGAUUUGUGAAGACAAACAUAUAGGCAACAAGAACAGUUAAAUUUUCCAUCUGACCUUUGAACCACUAAAUGUUGUAUGAUGCAACUGGGGGUAAGGGACACUAAAGAUACUUUUAAGUUCUGCAUCAGUACUAUAGCAAUAAUAUACCUUUUUCCCCCUCUCAAGCUGUUCAUUUCAGCAAAGAGAGCCCUGACAAGAUGCUUAUGAGUUAUGUCGCUAUCCAAGUAAAUGAUUUCUAAACCUAUCAAAGCUGAAGGUUAUUCUUUGCCUGCAUCAACAUAUUUCUAUGAUCAAAUUUCUACAGCGGUCUUGAAUAACUUUACAUUUGUUCAUAGUCAAGCGCACUUGAUGAUAAAGGGAAAAAGCAUCACUGGAACAACCAGAAAUUUCUCUAUAACAUAGGAUCUGGUGGGUAGUUUAAUAAAUAAAUAUGGUGGCAGCAACUUUGUUAUGCGAGUGAGCAAGUCGAUAUGCCAACAUGAAAACAUAGACUAUAUUCUACAAGCCUACAACAUGCAUGGGUUGGAAGUCAACCUAGACUUUUCGCUGCUGCUUGUGGAUCAACAUAAUAUGAUUCUCAAAAUCAAAACAAAGACAAAAGACUAUAUACAACAGCUGACCUAAUGAAUGAUUAGUUUACAAAGUGUAUUGUGACAUCUAUAUGAAUAAAAAAUUCACUGCAACAUAAGGACAAAGAAAUAUCACAAGUAUCUUUAUGAUUUACCAAAAUCAAUGUAAGGGCUUUAUGCAUACUCCAAUCAGAAACUUAGCAACAUACUGCACAAGGAUAUGACUAAAAUUUUCAUGAGUCAGACCUUUCUGAAAGCAAUCACAACCAUGCCUUCCACCUCAGCUAUUUUGGAGACAAUUUUAGAUAAUUUUCAGAAGACACCAACCAAAAUAACAAGGAGCUUAGUUGUGAAACCCUUCUAUAUAUCAUUUUUAUUAAUCGUUCUGGCAUGCAGAAAAAAAAAUGAUAACAAGACAUAUCAUUUUCCUUCACUUUCUUGGGAACCAAUCAGAAAUCAAGAACACACUGUACUUCAUUCUUGUUUCAUUAAAACCAAACAAACACUGAGAAAAAGAAAGAAAACACAGUGCAUAUUAAACCUAGAUCACUUUCUUGGAAACCAAACAAAGCAGAAGAGGAAAGAUAAAAACGUACGUUUGAAAACGAGAAACCAAAGUACCAAACAAAAAUCAAGAACCUACUUUACUCCACUCCUGUUUCUUGUAAACUAAAGAUAAACCAAGAAAAAAAAAAACCCAAACAUAAACCAAGAAAAAGAAAGAAACUACUAUCCAGAGUGUUACAACUUUUGUAGCCCUGUCAUUAUGAGAUUUAAUUUGUGCAUAAAGUUUAUGAGUAAUGGAGGAAGAUGAAAAAGUAUAACCUAUACAAUUACAUGAAUGCAUUCAAGUUAAUAACCUACCAUGAUCCAUUAAUUUUUACAUAAUUCUCAUGUAAUCUUUGAUAGGAGGACUAAGAGUUAUAAAUCGAUCCCUUCUAGAAGGUUAAGGUCUCAAAUCACACUCUCAUUUUUAUGUUUUAUUUUAUUUUAUUUAUAACAAUAUACACCGAGUACAAAUGUGACUCAUCCACUAUAUAAGAGUAGUAAGUUGAAGAUCUUGAGCAAAAACAAUUUACAAGGUAACUAAGACUCACUUUAAAAGUUUUAUUGAUAUCAUGGAUCAAGGUAAGAAUAUAAUCAUUAUUUUAUCAUUUCUUUAAUGUUUAUAUCUAUUAUGUUUUAUGCAUCCAAAUUGAUUUUCCAAAAUAAUUAUUCCACAUAAAGUUUUGUUAACAUAUUAUACUCAACCCAAUUUAGUAAAAAAAAAUGUGUCAAGUUCGAGUCAUGUUGACGAAUCGUAUCAAAUUUUGUCACCCCUAACUAAGAAUUCCAUAUUUAUAGUAAUUGUUAGUAAAGUAUAGGGGUUGGGUUUGAACUUCAAUUGCCUAGUCCUGGCCUCAUAUACUUAAUGGGCCUGGAAAUCUAGCCCAACUACACUGUUGGCGGGAGUACAAGGUGAAAAGUUGGGCCAUGUUUGAUGAAAAUAACUCCAAAUAAAAAAUGAAAUUAACUUCCAUAAAUGGAUUAAAAAUGAUUCAAAUAUUUUUCAUUUAUUAAUGAGAAAGUGAAAUUUUUAUUUUCAAAAAUAUAAAAAUGAAAAUGUUAAAAAAAAAAAAAUGGUAGUUGACACAUUUUCAAGUGAAUUGAAAAUUACAUUUUAAAGAUGAAUAAUUUUUAAAAAUAAUAUUAAAUGCUAUUCUUUAUACUUAGAAAAAAAUAUAUACGCAUUUUAACACAUAAAAGUGAUUAAGAAAUUACUUUUAUUUUUAAUAUUAAAAAAUUAUUUCCAUUUUACAUGUCCUUUGAAGUAGAGUUGCAGCUUUGACUAUUCAAUCCAACUCAACCUAAUCUCUUACAAGCAAUUUAAUUUGUAAUUUUGGUUGAGUUUAGGGGAAAAAAAAAGUGCCAACUUGAGUUAAAAUUAGAUGGAUGACACAACUUAAAUCUAACCUCAACCCUAUUAUAUACUAGUAUAAAAUUUAAAUAAUUUAUAUUUAAAUAUAUAUAUCAUUUAAUAAUAUUAUAUUAACUUUUACCCAUAACUAUAGAUUUGCUUAUAAAUGUCAUAUAAUCUUAUAUGAUAGUCUUUUCUUUUGUUUUAUUUUUUAUUUUAGAUUUUUUUAUAUUCAUUUUGGUGAUGACUUGCAUAUGAUUAUAAUUAUUGAAUUGAUGCAACAAUGAAUGUUGUAAGUUUAUAAACUCACAUAUUAAUUUAUAAAUAUUCUAGUUUUACUUAAAUAAUAUUAUUAAUAUUUUAUUUAUUAAAUAUUAAGUUAUUUAGUGAAAUAUUUGGUUAUUGAAAAGUACUAUGAAAAUUUUUAAAAAAAUAUUAAAAAUAAUAAUAAUAAUUUUCUCAUAUUUGGAUAUUUUAUAAAAAAAUAUAAAAAAAAAUCAAAUAUAAUUAAAAUUAGUUUGAAAGUAUGCAUUUUUAAAUUAUUUAAUCUUUAUAUCAAAAAAUUAAAAUAAGUUAAAUGAGUUUAAAAUAAUAUACAAAAAUAAUUUAUUAAUUUUAAUUUUUUUUUAUUUUUCACUUUCUUUCCCUUUUCUUCCCUUUGCAUUUUCCUUUAAAUUUUCUUAAAAUCAAAUAUAACCUUAAUAAAAUUUACAAUAGUUAAUCUAUAAAAAAAAAAAAAAAAAUGUUGAGUUAAACUUGAGUUAUAUAAUCUGAUUCGAACCUCGGAUUGGAUCGGCUUGGAUUAACCAUCAACCUGAUCCGACGUGACAUGAGUUUCACUUGCACCUGCUCAAAUGCAUUGCACCCAUGUUGAGGUUUUACUUAUACAGAUAGGACCCAACUGCUAGGGUUUAUUCAAUAAAUGUCUAUAUGGUCAUAUGAAGCUAGGACCCAACUGCUAGGGUUUAAGCUCCUCAGCCUUCUCUUCUAGACCCCAAACUAAUUUGUCUCUUCGCCCACCACUGCAAACCGGGCUUCCAUGGCUCCUCAGCAUCUCGCUCUGUUCCCUAUACCACAAUACUAUCAAGUAAGAUCUGUCUGCUCUCUUCUUCACUCCUCAUUUCUUCAAAUACGCCUCCUCAUUUAACUCCUACUCCCUAUAUUUUCUUCCAUGUGCUUCAAUUCCCAUGUGGGUUUCUUCAACAAGGUGGGUUUCUUGUAGAAAAUUUAUCACCCACGUUCAAUUAACCCGAUUUAAUUCUGUUUGGGGUCUUGCCCAUUUGAGCCCUGCCGCGCAAUACCCAAUUGCUGAAGAACAAGCUGUUUAUACCUAUAGCAAGGACUCUGUUGGUGAUCGUUUUAUUGAUUUAAAUACAAGUAGAGUUGUUGAAAUCUUUUAUAAUUUGAAAAACGAGCCUAAUCUCGCAUGGUCGUUUUUUACCCAAUUGAAAGAAAGCGGUUUUCAGCACAAUGUUGAUACGUAUGCGGCUUUAAUCAGAGUACUGUGUCGUUGGCGCUUGGAAAGGAAGUUGCAGUCUUUGUUAUCGGAGAUUGUUGGGUCAAAAGAGAGUGUAUUGGGUUUUGAUAUUACAGCUUUGUUUGAUGUUCUGAGGGAGGGAGGGGGGGAAGUUGAGGGUGAGCAUUCGAGUGUGUUGAUUCUGGUGCUUGAUAUGUUGGUUAAGGCUUAUGUUAGGGUUGGUAUGUUUGAUGAGGCCAUUGAUGCUCUGUUUCAAACAAAAAGACGAGGGUUUGUUCCUCAUAUAAUGUCUUGCAAUUUUUUGAUGAAUCGUUUGAUUGAACAUGGGAAGAUUGAUAUGGCAGUGGCGAUUUAUCGGCAUUUGAAGAGGUUGGGUUUGAACCCAAAUGAUUAUACUUAUGGCAUUUUCAUAAAGGCACUUUGUAGGAAGGGUAAUUUUGAAGAAGCUGUUGAUGUGUUUAGGGAGAUGGAAGAAGCUGGAGUGAACCCUAAUGCUGUCACAUGCAGUACAUAUAUUGAAGGGCUUUGUUCCCAUAAGAGGUCGGAUUUGGGUUAUGAAGCCCUCCGAGCAUUAAGAGCAGCAAAUUGGCCAAUUGAUACCUUUGCUUAUACAGCAGUUAUUCGUGGGUUUUGUAGUGAGAUGAAAUUAAAAGAAGCAGAGGACGUCUUCAUUGAUAUGGUAAAUGAAGGGAUAGCCCCUGAUGGGUAUAUCUAUGGUGCCUUAAUUCAUGCUUAUUGCAAGGCUGGGAAUUUGCUACAAGCUGUGGCUCUGCACAAUGAUAUGGUGUCAAAUGGAAUUAAAACAAAUUGUGUCAUAGUUAGCUCAAUUCUUCAAUGCCUGUGUGAAAUGGGCAUGGCUUCUGAAGUGGUGGAUCAAUUUAAGGAGUUCAGGGACUCAGGGAUUUUCCUUGAUGAGGUUUUGUACAAUAUUGUGGUGGAUGCUCUUUGUAAACUGGGGAAAGUGGAAGAAGCUGUGGAAUUGCUGAAUGAAAUGAAGGGUAGGCGCAUGUCUCUGGAUGUCGUGCAUUAUACAACUUUGAUUGCUGGGUAUUGUCUCCAAGGUAAACUUGUUGAUGCUAAGAAUAUGUUUGAAGAAAUGAAGGAAAGGGGCAUUGAACCUGAUAUUGUUACCUAUAACAUACUAGUUGGUGGGUUUUCUAGAAAUGGUCUCAAAAAAGAGGCACUUGAGCUUCUCGAUUGCAUUGGGACACAAGGCCUGAAACCCAAUUCUGCCACACACAACAGGAUCAUUGAAGGUUUAUGUAUGGCAGGGAAAGUGAAGGAAGCUGAAGCAUUUUUAAAUACCUUGGAGGAUAAGUGUUUGGAAAAUUAUAGUGCCAUGGUUGAUGGGUACUGCAAAGCAAACUUUACAAGAAAGGCAUAUGAACUAUUUUCUAGGCUUUCUAAGCAGGGAAUUUUAGUUAAGAAAAAAUCAUGCUUCAAACUACUAAGUAGCCUCUGUAUGGAAGGGGAGUAUGACAAAGCUCUUAUAUUGUUAGAGAGAAUGUUGGCUUUGGAUGUGGAGCCUAACCAAAUUAUGUAUGGUAAACUCAUAGGUGCCUUUUGUCGGGAUGGAGAUAUGAAAAGGGCUCAAUUGGUGUUUGAUAUGUUGGUUGAGAGAGGAAUAACUCCUGAUGUCAUCACCUACACAAUGAUGAUAAAUGGUUAUUGCAGGGUGAACUGCUUGCGAGAAGCCCGUGAUAUUUUCAAUGAUAUGAAGGAGAGAGGAAUUAAACCUGAUGUUAUCACUUACACAGUUGUGCUUGAUGGUCAUUCGAAGGUAAAUUUGAAAAUGGCUCGUUCCCUUCAAUUUUCAAAGGGGAGCGAAGAAGAAAAAAUGGAUGCUUCACCUUUUUGGAGUGAAAUGAAGGAAAUGGGAAUAAAACCUGAUGUUGUUUGUUACACUGUUUUGAUCGAUAGUCAUUGCAAGACAAACAACCUUCAGGAUGCUAUUAACCUGUAUGAUGAAAUGAUUGCUAGAGGACUACAACCUGAUAUUGUGACAUACACAGCUCUUCUGUCCAGCUGUUGCAGUAGGGGUGAUAUGGAUAGGGCUAUAACCCUUGUUAAUGAGAUGUCAUUUAAAGGGAUAGAACCAGAUAGCCGAGCCAUGUCAGUGCUGCACCGUGGUAUUUUAAAGGCCCGGAAAGUGCAAUUUCGGUAGUAGACACUUUGAUAAUCAGUGGCUAGAAGAACCAAAAUUAUUUAUAUUAGCCCAACCACGUGGUGUAAGGUAGGUCGCAAUGAAUUGUGCUACUGAUUUCUAUUCUAAUUUGGAAAUACUCUGAAAACACCUUUUACAGUGUUUAUAUACAAGAGUGAAUUCUUGACGUUGGCACAGGCUUGAAGAAAUGGGAGCUUUGUGGCGGGAUGCUUGGAAGCCAUUUAUUUUCAGGUAUGUGAAAGGUAGAUUGUGUUGGAGCUGGAUGGUGUACAUUAGGUAUCCUUGCCUUAUACUUUAUUUGAUUAUGUAUUGCUAAAUGUUAUGGAGGCUCCUGUCCCAUACUUAUUUUGCUUUCCCCUCUAAUAUAUUCUUUAUCAAUAUUGUUUAAAAAAAAAAAAAGGAGAGUUGUGUUUUAAUGGCUUUUUAGUUAUGGACCCAUCUACUGUAACAUCCAACUUUAUUUUGUCUAUUAUCGUAAAGCACGGUGAUCACAAAAUCUAAUAAUUGACAUUUGUGUUUUACAUUCGUCUAUUAUAGAUAAUAUAAGUUGGGUGAUUUCUCUCGUUCCAAUUUGAAAUCCAAUUUGAACUUUAUGAAAAUUCCACUCAUUCCACCUUUUCUAUCAUUAUCUAUUUAUGCAGCCAAUUACCCUUUCUCACAUAAGUAGGUGGUAAAAGUGACAUGAGUUACAUCUUCCUGCACUUUAGUUGAGAAGACCUCUUAGUCUCAAAUGGCUGUAUACAUUUGAAUCUGAAACAAACAUAGUUGGAGCAGGGGAGUUGUCCUUGUGAGGUUUGAUCAUGUGGGAAGUGUCUAAACAACUUGUAAUACAUUAGCAUAGAAACUCGAAUUUUAAGUUAGGCUUAUUGUUUUGUACUGCAGGUUUGCCUCAAUAAACUUGUAAUUCUGUCACGAUUAGGCUUACAAGGUUCUGAGUUUGAGAAGCACUUAAUCAAUGUUAUGAAGCAGGCAAGUCACCUAAUAUAGGAGGCUAUUGCAAUUAAGGUUUGAUUAACUUUGAUUGGUAAUUGUGAAAUGAUCCUGCAGCAUUACAUAAUCAUAUCAUAGAAAAAGCAUUGAAAUUGAAUAUCAUGAGAUAAAAAUAAUUAAAAGCAUUGUAAUCUAUUUAUGACAUCAUAUAGCCAAAAAAAAGGCAUACUUUGAAAUAUGCUCUAGGUUACAGAUUUGUUUGAAUUGUACUAAUCAUUUUAUUUUUGGACUGAAUGUUUUUAUCCUUUUCUUAAAAUCAUUAAUGGGUAAUUGAGUGAGAUGUCUUCACCCUUUAGUAAGGAGGUUGGUUUUGAUAAUGUAUCAAGAUUAUGAUGUUGUGCUGUAUUAUUUGUAUGCUGUGCAGUUUUAUAACAACCAAUUCUCUUCUGUGUAGAUGUUGUUUGUGUUGGGUCCAGUGGACUCUUAAGACUUUAAAAAGCAUCUACACGUUAAGAGAAGUCCACUUAGGUAUAUUGUGGUAGUGUUAGGAACUUCUUUCUUUAACCAAUGUUCAGACCAUAAAAAAUCAUUCAUUUUUUGUAUGGGAUGUUAGUAAGGAUGAACAUAAUGAACUUUAAAGGAGUAGGGAAGGCUACUCUGGGAAUUCGGAUUAUGGUGGGGUCAUAGGAGAUGGCAAUGGCGCUGUUAUAUAAAAUUAUUUUGUUCUUUCCUCAUAGAAGGGGUUCACUAGCUAAGAGUUAAGAUGUUCUUGAUAUAUCAACCAACCUGACUUUUGGCCUCUGAAACUUUCAGGUUAACUCCCUUGUGAGCUUUAUACAACAAUCCUCAAGGGCUUUACAGAGUGACAAAGCAAAGAAAAAAGGUGCUAUUUCUGUAUUACAUUUAUGUGCAAUUUUAUUUCAGUCUAUGGAGUCAGAAGCUGAUAUCUGUUCUUUUGGGCCAAUAGCUUAGCAUGCGGUUAGUCAUGGGGAUGUGAACAAUAUCUGUCAUGAACUUCAAUAAAGGAGUUGAUUUAAGUAAGACAGAUGAGUUGGUUGGUUUGAACCAAACAUUCAAAAUGACUCUAGAUGUACCUAGGAUGAAGAAAGAUAAUGAUGUUGUGUUAAAUACAACAAAAGAAGUGGAAAAUGAACCUAAUUCAAAAGUUGAAUCCAUAAUGUCCAUUGCUAAAAUUUCUUAGUUUUCUAAGAAGCUAAAGAGAGACAUAGGGUUUGUUUGGAACAGUCAAGAAAACUGUUUUUCAUAUUUGAGUUUUCAAACAUAAUUUUGUUCUUAAAAGCAAUUGAGAACCGUUUUUUAAAAUUGUUCUCAAGAACUGUUUUUUGAGAAUUGUUUUGACCCCCUAAAUUUCUAAAGGAACAAAGAGUAACUAACUAGGAAAAUAAGACCUUGUUUGGGAAUGAUCUUGGUUGACACACUUUUAAUUGAGUGUUUUUGUGAGUAGUGUUUCCAUUAGGAACUCUUUUAAAGAAAAUCACCAGGUGUUUGAAUAUUAACAAUAAUACUGCUUUGGUAGUAGUGUUUUCUAUGAUGUGUUAUAUAAAAAUAAAUAAAUAAAUAAAUGAUUUUUGGAAAAAUCACCUAUCAAGUGAUAGUACAAGAAUCAUUUUUAAGUGAUUCUUUAAUUAUUAAACGUAAUUUUCAAAGUUUUAUCAAACACCUAGUUUCUAUAGGGAAGCGCUAUCAAGCAUUAGGAAGCUUUUCUAACCCUCUCAAAGUCACUUACAAUCAUGCUCUAAAUAAGAAAAGAAAUUUUUUUUUCAAAAGACAAAAAGCAUAGGGAAGAUCCAACUAAAACUAAGUGCUUUAGCCAUGGUAGGAUAGCUCAUUUUGCCUAUGAUGAUGAAUCCACCAAUUACAUAGCAUGUAUUAUGAUAUUUUGAUUGAUUUUUUUUUUCUCAUAAGUAAAUGAAAUAAAUAUGUUAAAAGCACAAUCUAACAAUAUGUAACAUCCAAUGUAAAUAGUUAGAGCCUAUUUGGUAUAACUUUUAAGAGCCCAUUUGGUAGUAAUUUUAGGAAGUGUUUAUAAUAUUUCUAACACCUGAAAAUUUUUAUCAUUCAAGUAUUAAAAAUGUUAAAAGCGUUUCCUAAAAUCACUAUCAAACAUAUUUUUAGAGUUCUUUUGGCAGUGAUUCUAGAAAGUGUUUCUACCAUGUCUAAUACUUGAAAAUUUUUAUUUUUCAAGUAUUAGAAAUAUUAAAAAUACUUCCUACAAUUAUUGUCAAACACACUCUAAGUUUUAACUUCAUUAACAUAGGAGUAUAAAUAAGAGUAAUUGUGUGAAUGAAUAUGUGUUUAAGGAUAGUAUUUUUAAAAUAUUUUUAAUUAAAAUCAGUAUAAUUUUCACAUUUUAAAAAUAUUUUCUAACUAAUUGCUUUCCUUAUUGCAUUUGUGGUCUUGUUUGGCUUGACUUUUAAGAGAUCGAUUAUUUAUUUAUUAUUUUUUAAGUUUAAAGUUUUUUGUUAUAGAUAAGUUCAAUAAAAGCUUCUAUUUAAUAAAACUUUUAUAAUACUAGUAUUACUCUUUAAAAAUUACAACUUCGGCUUCGGCCUUAGCUUCCAAAUAAAUUAGGUAUUUAUUAUGAAUUUGUGUAUCUUAGUUUAUUUAGGAUGACAUAAAUACACUUUAUACCUUGAUAUGAGUUUCUUGCAAGGCAUCGUCACCUGAUCAUGAUUGUUGAUGUUGUGGCUGUUAAAGGCGUAUACAAGUAAAUGUUACUUUUGUAACCUAUAUAAAUAAUUUUAUAAAUCAAUCUUAUCUUGAUUUUUAUUUAUUAAAAAAUAAAAAUUAAUUAAUAUGAUAUGCAGGUGCUUUGAGGAACUUAGAAUGGACAUGAAGAUGGAGAAACACAGGCAUUGGUUGAGAUGUGUGAAGGGUGUUGUUGGGGAUUCAAUCCAGAGAUGGAGAAAAUAGAGUUAUCGAUGAGAAACAGAAUGAUUUUGAGAUUUUUCCAUUCUCAUUCCCUAUUCCAAUGUUCAAAACACGGACGCAGCUCAUUGAUAAGGAAAUCAUACGUCAUUCAAUUAUUUUACUCAAUGUAACCUCUUGUGUUCUAAUGAAGAUCAGACCUCUUCAUCAUCCUGCACCAAAGGCCAUUCUUGGUAUGGAUUGUUGCUCCUGUGACCAACUCCACAGAUUCUGGACCUCCUUUCAGCUCAACAUCAAAUUUCUGCAGCAACAUGGUCAAUGCAAUGGUCGACUCCAUGAGUGCAAAUUGGUCUCCCACACAUUUUCUCGGCCCUCCACCAAAGGGUAAGAAGGCGAAGUCUGCAACAAUCUGGUAUUUGCAUCCACAAACUCGGUUACUGAUUAUAGCAAUGUGAUGAACAUGAGGGUUAAGUGGAAAAAAGAGUGGUUAGUAGUAACCUCAUUGGGGUACAACGCUCCAGGGCUCCGUGAUGGAUCAAAGCCGGACCAUCCUUCAAUGUCGCUGUUCCUUGGUACUAGGAACCUCUCUGGUUCAAAUUCAUGGGGGCGAUCCCAGAAGUAUGGGGACCGAUGGAGGUUAUAUACCUGAAAAGGAUGCGGGUUUAUGGAGAAAAUGUGUACAUGGUGGAAAGCAGAAAAGCAAGAGCACAAACAAAAGUGAUGGAAGUUGUUCUACUCACUGAAAGAAAGAUAUCAGUCCCAGCAGGAAUUGAGUGGCCGUCCUUUUUACCCUUGUAUCCACCUACACAAGCAAACAUUUCUAGGCUUAACCCGAGUAUUAAAACAAGGAAACCCAUCUCAUGCCUACAAUAAGAAAAAGAAAGCAGAACUUGUCCGUUCAUUAUCAUUGUUUUUUUCUUUUGUUCAUUCAUUAUCAUUUUUUUUUUUUUUCCUUUUUUUGAUAAUGAAGAAUCAACACUACGUUUAUCUUAACUGUCAGAGAAGUAAACCCAAGUGAUAUGGACCCAUCGCUUUACCCUACACCACUUAAAUACUGAGGAGACUCGAACUCAGAACCGCUGGAUCAUUGCCAGAAGGUGCAGUCAUUUUUUUUUUUUUUCUUCCCUUGCCAAAACUGAGGAGCUCAAUUUUCUGAAUUACUGCAAGGUGUUAUUACAAGGACUGGAAGAACAUCUAAUGAAUGUAACAGAAUAAUUCAAUAGCUGACAACCAUUUAUCAACUCAAUACUGCAAGGUCAUUUCUAAGUAAAUAACAAAAAUGAUCGAUAAAAUAUUAAUUCAAGAAUUAAAAUGUGGUUUUUGGAGAAUAGCAAAUGAGGAGAUUUACCUGGUAAUGCAUCUGACUUGAGGGAACGUCUGAUCAGUAAUGGGGGCUGAGGAUACAAACGGAGAGACUCUGCAACAAUGAGUCUUAUGUACCUAAAUGCAUGAAACAUAACAGAUCUUUAUAGUCUGAGCCAGGAAACUUGCCUAUACAACUGAAAUGUCCCAAUAGUAGAUUCCCCUAUAAGUUAGGAGUAGGAAAAAAGAAAGUUGAGUCUAUGGUACAAGUUCUUCAAUCCAGUUUACAGCUUUAGAUUUUCCAGGAAUCUCGCCCACAAAAGCCAGAAAAGGAAAAGACAUUUGAGGUUAGUUGUAAUAUGUACUCUUUUUUUUAUAAGAAAAAAAGAGGAUAUGUAUUAGAAGGUGCCAAACAAAAAAAUAACGGGACUUAAGUUCAUAGGGAGUAUACAUGAAGCAUCAAAGGGCAAAACCAAGAAACAGAAAGCAACACACGCAAAACAAUAUCCUAUUCAUUUCCUGAGUUACCAAUGAAAUCUAACAGUCAUAAUGUCACCCUUCUGAACUUCCCUCAACCAAGAGAAGCGAGAAACAAGUAUGAGCUUUUUCAAGAGCUAACUCAGAUUGCUCCAAACCUUAAGAACUCAAAAGGCUAUAUUGAUUCCCAAAAUGUACUAAGGAAAGAAGAAAAUGGUAGGAAAAAUAAUUUUCUCAUAUUUGGUUUCAUUACAUAAAUUUUGAAAAAAAAAAUCAAAUAUAAUUAAAAUUAGCUAGAAAUUUAUAAUUUUUUAAGUUAUUUAAUCUUUGAAAAAAAGUGAAAUACAUUUAAAGCAAUAUAUAAAAAUAAUUUAUUGAUUUUAAAUCUAUUUUUUAAUCUUCCUUCACUUCUCCUUUCUAUGUACUUUUCCUCUCCAUUUUCUUUUUCUUACAUUUUCCCUCAACUUUUCCAAAAACCAAACAAAGCGAAAAUGUUUGAAGGGUUCAUUCUCCAUAUUGUCUUCCUCUCCUGACCAAUAAAACUACCCAUGCCAACCAACUGGUGUGUUCCUGAUGCUAUGAGCAAGACCCAAGAAACUGGGGAGGGGCCAUAAAUAUAUUCUUUUCUGAUAAGUGAUGUAUAUCUUUACUCAAUUGCAUAUUUAUCAAUAGGUUGCAUUCCAAUACACAAUUUUUAUUAAUUACUGUCUCAACCAAUGGAAUCCAUGUUUUGUGCACAUAAUAUUGUAGGAUUGUUUUUUUUUUUUUUUUUUUUUUUUUUUUUGAUAAGUGCGUAUCGUAGUUACUGUUUCACAUAUCUACAAACAUAUCAAUCUAUUAAAUUAUAUUCAGAACUAAACUUGUUAGGGCCUAUUUUACAUUUUAUGAAUCAUUUAGAGUAAAUCUUUCAGUUUCAACAUCAAGUAUUGUGUUUUUUCUUUAGAUGCAAUUUCUUUGUUUUUGUUCCCUUUUAGUUUUCUGAAAGUUUUUUUUUUCAAUGUUUUUGUUGUAGUUUAGGUCCCAAAAGCACAAAUUUUAACCAAUAUUUUGAUGACCGAAGAAGAUUCCUAAGAUUCUUGUUACAAAUGUCACAUUAAGAUUAAUUCCAUAUAUUUGAUUCGUAACUAAAAAAAAAAAAAAAUACUGCAAAUUUGGAACAUAUUUUGUACUUUAAUAGAAACUGAUUUUAACCAAUACUUCCAACAUUGACCUGAAUUUGUAUAAAUCCUUCUACAGAAGGGAAGAUUUGAAACCGAAUUGAAUGUAACUCAUCAAGACACCUCCUGUAUGCAGAGAUGAGUUGUGAAAUUCAGAGCUCUUACCUAAAUGUUUAGACAGGUAAAAACACAAGCCUACUGAAACAUAAUUACCUUCUGUAAUAAGUAGAACAAGCACUCAAAAAGAAACUGAUUCGAUGACUUACUCCAAUUUUUUUAGUGAUUCAAAGGAUAUUCUGCCCUGACCAAGAACUGAAUCAAUCUCAGCUUGAGCUUUUUUCAUCUUGGAGGGAUUCUGCACUACAGAAAUUCAAUACACAUUAAUAUGGCUGUACAAUUUUUGGGAAAAACAAAUUAAUUCAUGCAAAGUGGCAGUAAAUUGUGCUGCAACUUGGGUGGGUUGGAAGGCUAAUUUGUGCCAAACCCGCCUAUCCACAUGUGAACCCACACCAAGCCCAUGAGCAAUGGGCGACUCGGGUUCCUAUGGGUCCUCACAGAUUGUCACAAGUUAUCAAACAAAAGGCUUAUAAUAGAGUUACCCAAUAAAUAAAAUACUUAUUUCAAAGCUAUAGAAGAUAAAUCAUACGAUAAAAUACGAUUUUAAAAGCUAAAUAGGUCUCAAGCUAUCAAAUAUAUUAUCAGUCACUAAUUUAAUAUAAAUGGCAACUCUUAAACUCAAGUUUCAACAUUUAAAAAUAUUUUACUAACUAAAUAAUAAUAAUAAACUUAUUAGUAUAAUACAAUUAUAAAAGGCAAAGGCUGGAGUUCUCUCAUUAUCCUUUUUAUAUUUUCAUGUUUUAAAUAAAAUGAUAUAUAAUUAAAAAAUAAUAAUAAUAAUAAUUCAUAAUAUAUGGGUUUGGGUUUCGAUGAAUUGGCCACACCUUCAAUUUGCAGCAAGCCUAAUAUUUUCUGGUUGGUAUUUUCAAACCUAAAUCCGACUCCAACCCCAACCCAUUCACACAUUGCUCACACAAACCUGAACCUUGGGUUGACUUGGGAUGGCCAGGUUGGACCCACCCAAGUUGCAGCCUUGUAGUAAAAGGACAUAAUUUUAGUUUUAACAAGACUACACAAGAAAGUUGAUCAUCCAGAAACAUACUUGUGCGAGUAGGAAAACAGCCCAAGUGAGAACAGCAGCAGUUGUUUCAUGGCCAGCGAUAAGCAUUGUCAUCAGGUCAUCUCUUAGCUGCAGAACCAAAAGUAAAUGCCACAUUGGACUGUAGAACAUCCCUAAUAAUUAUCAAGUGCUUGUAGGAGAAUAAUUUGCUCAAGACAAGUCCCACCAAAUGGUACACACAAACAAAUGUUCCAAUUCAAAAUCCUAAAGUUAAACAGGUCAAGCCAAAGUAUACAUGCAUAUAGCCCUUAGUAAUAGAGGAAAAAAGGGAGAAAGAAAAGAAAGCUGCUACUUGGUAAUGUUGAACAAUAUUCAAUUAUGGUAAAUCUCAAGCUAAAUUUUCUAACAAGAAAUCCUUUAUAUCCAAAGUAGGGCUAUGGAUAUUCACCUGACGGUCGUCCACAUCAGCUCCUCGCAUAUCAACUAAAAACCGCAAAAGACUUGCAUCCUGCAAGCUUCUAUAGUUUAAUGCCAAAACUAACAAGAUUGGGAUACAAAUAUUUAUAAAGCUUCUAAAUUAUAACCCAUAUUUUGCAAGUCAAUGAAAUUUAAGCAAUAUAAAGGAGAAAUAUCCACCUUAAGAUUUUGGUAGUCCCUUUGCUGCAGUUUCUCAACAUCUGUUUCCUGUCACCGAAUGUCAACAAAAUCAAAUUCCAGACACUGGAGAUGAUAUUUUGUUUAAGAACAUGCAGCAGACAAUUAAGUCAAGCACAUGUUGAUAAGAGACAACUAAAACAUGAGAGAAUGACUGUACUAUUCACUGGUGAGCUUUUUAAUUUGUUAAGAUGAAAGAGUAAUAGACAGUUUGCAUGACUUGUUACUUGUCCAAAAAGCUGUCCAUUUUCUUAUCAGGAAACACUUUUUGAGAGCAAGAUCUACUUCUAUAUCUUUUGGUCCCUUGUGUUUCAUGCAGCAUUUGAGAUUUGCUUAAUUAGUGAUGUACCGUUGAUUACAAAGCAAGUCCAAGCUGGUACAGGAUGGUUUGAAAUGCAACAGUAUAAUGGGAAUUCAGGUUUGGGGAUUGAGCUUUGCUGUAGAGAAUGUUUAAGACAAUUAGGAAAGGAUAGAGUGCAGCUUUAGGAUGAGAUUAAUGCUUUCUUCGGGCCAACUGAGGGCUCUUACACAUGGUUUAAAUUACAUACAGCAUCCACUUUUAUUCUCAACAAAAUUAAGAAUAAGAAGGAAGGAAAACCAAGGCAAUCAUAGCUAGAGUUCCCUAAGCAAUUACAUCUUUGAAGAAGACAAUUAUUACAGCCUAUAAUCAAGAAAUGUUAAUUAUCCUUGAUCUUGAUCAUUGUUCAUUGAUCAUUUCAUAAACAGAGAAUUAUGAAUUCUUUUGCACUUGUAAACCUGAAAAAAUUCAUUUUUGUUCACAAAUCAAAGCAAUCUCAAAUCAUAAUUAAGGACAAAUAAAAAAGGACAAAAAAUGUAACACUCUUAAUUCACUAUUAGAGCAGCAAGAACAGUAGUGCUACAGUAAAUUCACUUUUAUUAUUUUGAAAAUACAAAUUAUAAAUAUAUAAAGGCUACCAAUAAACAGGACAGAAAAUAAAGCAAGAGACCCCGCCCUGAAACACAUCUAAGUUGCUAGAAGAACUCCUAAACCAGUUCUUCCUCUUCUGGAAACUACCAUAUGAGAGAGUUUGGGCCUUAAGGUCCCUGGGCUCUUUUAUGCUUUUUGCUUCUGUCACUUUAAACCAUUAGAGGUAGCUAUGUUACCCAUCUGUUCUCCAGAAACAAGUGGGCUACUUCUUUGCAAACUUGUGAUCAAUUUCUGCCCCCGGCCAUACUCUUUUAUUUUUCCAAUUUAUUUUUUUAGAAGGGCAAAAGGUAGAUUUAUCAGUACAUAACAACUAUUCUGCAACUGCAUAUGUACAACCUGUUCUAAUAAUUACAGCAAAAAGAAUAAAUGAAAUAAACAAAAAGGAAACCCCAAAAAUAAACCUAUAAAGUGUUUGUAAAAAUUGAAUUGAGAAUUUCUUUUGUAAAAUUUUAAAAUUUAUAUAAGAAUUAAAGCAAAAAGAAACAGCAAAUAAAGGCCCAAUAGAUGUUUGUAUUAAGAACUAAGUGACUUUGAAUUUUCAGCUUCAAUCAUGCAGCUCAAAGAACUUCUUACCUGUCUAGUCUCUUUUGCAUUUUUGAUGAGUCCAUCAAGACAGUCAUUAAUAACCUUUAGGUCACUGUGGAACUUUCGCUGCCUUGGUACUAUCCAUCUUGCCAAAGGAACUUUCCAAUAAGGGAUGUAGAAGGUCGAUCUAUGCUCAGCUUCAAAAAGAGUACCAUAUACUGCCUGUGAUAUAUUUUUAGAGGAGCUAAUCAAAAUUUUGUGAUAGCCAAGACAGAACAAGUGAAUGCAAAUCUUUAUAUUCUAAAAGUUGGUCAGGACAAUGGUAUUUGAUAGAACUUAAAAAGAGUACAAGUUUCAACUCUCAACAUUUAGUCAGUAAAUUAUUCAGAGAAAUCAGCAGCAAUCAAUCUAAAUGUCCACUAUCUUUACAAGAGAGUUUUUUUUAUUUAUUUGUUGUUAUUAUUUGUUUUCCUUUCAAUAUGUUUGAUAGAGAGUGAAUGAUGUGUAUUUAAAGUUCUUCUGGCCCCUGCCAAAGAAACCUCCUUAAACAUGAGGUUCAAAUUAAGUUGAUAUAAAUUAUUGGAAUUAUAGUCAUCCAUGUACAAAAGAAUGUGCAAUGAUUUUCCCUGAAGAAGACUUAAAAUAACAAUGUAUGACUUACUGGAUCUUUCCUAUAAUCAUACUUCAACAUUUUUUCUUUUUGAUAGGCAGCAAAAAUAUAUUAAAAGUGCCAAAUAAAACACACAACCAAGUAUAUAGGCAAUAUACAAGACGCGUCAAGAGGCAAAGCAAAAAAAUGCAAGGGACUCUAAAAAACACAGCCCUCUAACGAAAACUCCAACCAAACGGUAAAAUCCAUCAUGGUUAGAGGAACCCCAUCUAUAUGCAACCUAGCCCAUAACACAAGGAUGCCAAGAAAAGAGGAUUUAAAGGCUUCUGUUAAAAAGCAUGAUAUACAUUAUGGGGCCAAAUUGGUAAUUCAAAAUGGUAUCAAAGUCUCAUUUGGCAGGAGGUCAUGUGUUUGAGCCUCACUGCAUAAUAUGUAUUUCCCUAAUUUAUUAAGCCAAUGCGUAAUUCUAAAAGAGGUAGAUUGUUAUUGUUUGCCUAUGAGCCUAGUGCAUCCCCACAUGCCGGUAUAAGGCCACACAUGAGGAAGAGUGUUAAAAGCAUGGUAUAUAUUGUAGACUUUUAGGAAAAUCAGUAAUUCAAUAACUUUGAUAAGAUAAUUCCUUACUUUCCAAAGCAUGUUCAUUCCUCUCUUUCCAAGAAGACUAUAAAAUACACAAAGGGAUAAUCCUCCACAUCCUCUUUUGCUUCUUUCCUACAAGAGAACCAUGACAUCCCAAGAGGAGCCUUUUUACCAAGAUUGACAUCACCCAAGCAUUCGUAAACAAAGAUAAAAAAAAACACAGUAUUCCACAACACUUGUGCUCUAGAACAAUGCAAUAGGAUGCGAUCACCUAACUCCUCAUCUUCCUUUCAAAGAAAGCAGCAAUUCACCAAAGUCCAUCCCCUCCUUUACAACGUAUCCAAUGUCAACACCUUUCCCCAAUGGGCUUCCAUGUGGAAACUUUGGAAGGUGCCAUCACAUUCCAAACAACCAUAGUAGGGAACUCUUCCACUCUUUCUUGCUUAAGAAAAUUGUAGGACCUGAUUGAAAAUUUACCCUUCUUUGCAUCCAACUAGACAUCUCAUUUUACAUAUCCCUAUUCAUUGCCACACCUUGAAGCCUUAACAAGAAGGCCUCAACCCUUCCCAUUUACCAAUCAUUUAGAUUCCUAUAAAGCAUUGGUUUCAACAUCCUCUCUCGCUUUGUUGAUUCCACACAUUAGCCACCCAGGCAUUCUUUAUCACCACUAUGCAAUACAAAGAGGGAAAAGACUCUUUUAAAGAUGAAUUACCACACCAUUUGUCCUUUUAUAAUUUCAUUCUUCUAUCGUUACCCACAAAGAAAGAGGUUCUGCAAUUAAAAUUCUCUCAGUCUCUCCUAAUGGCCCUCCACAAACUAACUUUGAAACCACCUCUACCUUCCUUGGUACACCAACCCCUUCCCCCCCCUCCCUGUACUUCCUAAUAAUGAUUCACUUCCAAAGGAAACCAUUCUUUAAGACAAAUAUUCAAUUCUAUUUUCCUAGUGAGGCCCAUUUCAGAAUUGAGAUCUUUUUAAUCUCGAGUUCCCAAUUGAAUUUUUCCCUACAAGUAAUCUCCCAUCUCACCAAGUGAGGCCCCCUCCCCCCCCCCCCAAUAAAAAGUCUCUUUGAAUCUCAAGCCUCUCGCUCACCUUCCUAGGCAUGACAAAAGAGACAUCUAGUAGAUGGGCAAGCUAAACAAAAUGCUCUUGAUGGGAGUGAAGCUCCCACCCUUAGAUAAAUAUUGUCACUUCUACAUAGCUAACUUCAUGUGGACCCUCUCUUCUACUGAAUGCCAACAAGCCCUCGACUUGAAAGGUGCUCGUAAAGAAAGACCUAGGUAAAAGGUGGGAGCUCCCCUUACCUGCAACCUAACUUAACCCCCAAAUCCUCCACAUUCGAGACACUACCCACAAGAAUCUCUGAAAAUCAUCUUGUGGAAGCUCUUAAAGAAAUCUUGUUCCUUCUUUUGCUCAGAAAUCUAACCAUAUUAAAAUCCCCACCAACACACCAAGGGUCACUCCACAAACCUCUGAUGUCCCUUAAUUCAAUCCAAAAAUUCUCCCUCUCCCUACUCAGAGUAGGGCCAUACACCCCAGUGAAGACUUGUCCAAAAUCAUGUUCACAGUAUAUAAAGUGACAAGAGACUGAAAAAGCUCCCACUUCCAUUUUGAUCAAGUCCAAUACUCUUGUAAUCCCAAAACAGCAGGAUUCCACCAGCGGAACCCUGGGCCUCCACUGUUCCCCAUUCCAACUCACCAAGUCCAGCAACAUAUCCUGAACUUUUGUUUCCUAUAAACAAACUAAAUCUGCCUUCUAAGAUUUUGUAAGGGAUUUGAUAACCUUCCUCUUCGGCAUUGACAUCCUAAAACAUCUAAAUUAGGUUCAAGAAGACUCUUUUAGACUGUAAAAUGCCUUUUUCAACCUGAAAGUGUCUUUAUAGCUAUGGUGUACUCAAACCAGCCAGGAACAUGUUCAUGUUUAUUCCUCUUCCUUUUCCCGGUGUACAAAUGCAUUUUUUUCAGCAAAAUUGGUGCAGUAACCCAUUACCAUUGCCUUCUAUGGAUAGAACAACCCAAGGAGAAUUUGUCUAGGCAAUUGGAGCAAAGAUUUACCAAUAAUCAAUUCCCAGUGUGUUAGGAAAUCGCUCAGCUAUUGUACUUCUAUUUGUCCCAUCAACAUUAUAUUUCACUUUGAAAACCCAUUAGCGACCAAGCUUCUUGCCUAGAGGCAAAUAAAACAAGUCCCCUAUAUCAUUCUUCUGGAGAGCUCUCACCUCAUUAAGCCUUGUUUAUACUUAUCCUAUUGCUUAGGGUUUCAUUUACUAUCAGGUUAGUAAAUUAGGUUGUUUCUGGUGCGGCGGAAGGUUUGUUUCAAAAAGAAACAGAAAAACGCUCAAGAACCAACACAAAGAUCACAAUAUGAUCUGAAAAUUAAAGAAUAACUCUGAAAAAAUAUAUUGAACUCCUCUCUAACAAUUACAAUGAGCCUUUAAAUAAUGUUUGUAAUGCAAAAAUAAAGGAAAUAACUGAAAUAAGAAACUAGAAAUAGGAAACCAAGGUAACUGGAAACUAGGAAAACUAGAAAAGAAAUAGGAAACUAAUGAUGAACCUACAAUAGAAACUAAUAAUGUAGAAAACAAAAACUAACCUAAAAUAGAAACUAACAAUGUAAGAAAUAGAAAUUAAUCUAAAAUAGAAACUAAGGAUGUAGGAAACUAAAAAUAGAAACUAACGAUGAUUGUGUGCUGCAUCAAUCCCCUCCACUUGAAGAAAACUCACCCUCGAGUUUUGUGGCUACAAAGAAAACUCAUCCGAAGGACGUAUGUGUGGCUCUUUUACUUGCUUAAAGAAAUCUAGGCUCGUUAUGUUGGUGAAUAAUGACUUAUCUUUCUUAGUAACCGAAUUAUUUUCUGACGAUUGAGACUGUGGCAUCAAAACAAUCUUCUUAUCAAACCACCAAAAAAUAAAAGUAUUAUCUCGACCUUUAUAAGUGGCAUCAACAUCAUAGUGUCACGGCCUCCCCAAUAAAAUAUGACAAGCGUCCAUAUCCACCAUGUCACAUACGAUCUCAUCUUUGUAAUACUUUCCGAUCGACAAAGGAACUUUGCAAACUUCCGGGCCUUUCUUAAUCCAUGCAAUCUUCUAUGGAGAAGGGUGUUUAUCAGUCUUCAAAUUAAGUGCUUUCACAAAAACCUUGGAAACAACAUUCUUGCUAUUUCCACUGUCAAUGAUCACGUUGCACACUAUAUUACGAAUAGUGCAUUGAGUCCAGAAUAUUUUAUGUCGUUGAGAGUCAUCUGACUUUUUGGGGUAAGCAAAAGUCGUUGGACAAUGCACGCCACUUCUUCUCCCAUAUCUCCUUCUGCAAACUCAGCACCCUCGUAGAUAUCUUCUUCAAGAACUUGUUCCUCUUCUCUACCACCUUCUACAAAGUUAACAAAUUGUUUAUUCGGGCAAUUAUUUGAAAGAUGGUCUGGCUGGUUGCACUGAAAACGCUUCCCUAGAUUUGGACACACAUGAGGGUCAUUAUUGAUUCGUUGUUACUGCUGGUUUCAGCCUUGAGUAUUAGAUCGAAUAGGGGUUAAAGUUCCACUUCGAUUCUGCAUCAAAUUUUGAGUUGAAGGGGCAUCUUUAUCGUUGUUAUCAUUGCUUCUUGAAGGAUUGGUCGGCGAAAGUUACUCGGAGUGAACACCGUGGACCUAUGGAUUUGACUUUCCACUUUCAUCGCCAAAUUAACUACAUCUAUCAUUGUCCAAACCCCUUGAAGAGUCAGUCACUCUUGAAUGACCAGCUUUAGGCCCCCAAUAUAACGAGCAAUUAAUUGGUCCUCCAUCUCAGACAAAUUAACUCGGGCAUUAAAUCAAUAAAAUUCCUCCGUGUAUUUGUUCACAGUCUGAUUGGCUUGCCAACAAUUUUGAUAUUGUUGGUAUAAAAAUUGUUCAUAAUACAGAGGGAGAAAUUGUCCUUGUAAUAACUGUUUCAUCUUAGGCCAAGUACGAACACGUUGUUUUCCUUGUCGUUGACGAUUAUAUUGAAGUUGUUUCCACCAUGCAGAAGUUGCGCCCUUCAACUUAUAUGCCACAAGCUUUACUUGAUUUUCUUCUUAAAUACUCAAAUAGUUGAAAAAGUUUCCGACAGUAUAGACCCAAUCGAGAAAAUCUUCAAUGUGUAGUCGACCAUCGAAACUUGGUAAAUCCAUCUUCAUCUUAAAUUCUUGGUUAUUUUGACCCCGAUUGUUAGCUCGAUAAUUGAAACAAAAAUCAUCUUCUUCUCUAGAUGAAUAAUCCAACCUCUGUUGCUACCUUUGUUGAAUAUUCCUCCGCUGUGAAAGUCGAAUAUCAUCACCAUCUCGAAAAGGUGGACAAAACUCAUCUUGGUCAUCAAAAAACCCUCGUUGGAGGUUGUCGUCUUCAUGGUGCCUAAGAGCUCCCCGAUUCCGACCCUCAUACACUCGUAAUGGAUAGGCCUCACAAAAAUCACGAUUUAUGAUUGGAUUCGUGCGAAUCACGCCUCCGCCAUUGAUUUUUGAACCGAUCUGUGGCCGACAUUGGUCAUCGUAGUCGUCCUCUUGCCAAUCACCACAUUGGUCUAGUCGUCGCUUCAUGGGUUCAUGUUUCCCUUCAAUAGUCAACGCAGACACCAUCUGCAUGAGGUUGCGAAGAGUCUUGUCGAUCCCGUUGAGUCGUUGCUCGAUUUUUUCGAACCAUCAUUCGUCAUCGAUGGUUCGUUUUCCACUAGAACCGUCAUCAACCAUCAGAUCGAGGUAAAAAUCCUUGCUCUAAUACCAAUUUUGGUGCAGCGAAAGGUUUGUUUCAAAAUGAAAUAGAAAAGCACUUAAAAACCAACACAAAGGUCACAAUAGGAUCUGAAAAUUAGAGAAUAAUUCUGAAAAAAUAUAUUGAACUCCUCUCUAACAAUUACAAUGAGCCUUUAAAUAAUGUUUGUAAUACAAAAAUAAAGGAAAUAACUGAAAUAGGAAACUAGAAAUAGGAAACCAAGGUAAUUGGAAACUAGGAAAACUAGGAAAGAAAUAGGAAACUAAUGAUGAACCUACAAUAGAAACUAAUAAUGUAGAAAAUGGAAACUAACCUAAAAUAGAAACUAAUGAUGUAGGAAAUAGAAAUAAAUCUAAAAUAGAAACUAAUGAUGCAGGAAACUAAAAAUAGAAAAUAAUGGAAAUAAAAACUAAUCUAAAAUAGAAACUAAUGAUGUAGGAAGCUAACAAUAGAAACUAAUGAUUGCAUCAGUUUCAUUAAAAAAAAUUUAGACACCAGUAUUUCCAUUGGUAUCAUACAUCUGAACAAUCAAUAAUUUGGUCAAUAUCAAUAUCUUGAGCCAGGUACACAACUAGUAGACUAGGGUGAUCUCAUAUCCCCAAGGGAUCUAGCUUCAACUUCUUUACAAGGAGAACCAAUGCAUGGCAAGAUGUGAUGUUAUGUGUUCAUCAAAAAAGAUAUGCAGUAAUCUACCUUUUCUUCCUUAACUUUUUCCUUAGUUUCUGCAUAAGUUCAUGACUCUUCCUCAUCAUUUCUUUCAUUCCUUAAAAUCAUGGAAAAAGACAACCUGCCUAACUACUUGAGGUCAACAGCACCAUGCCUGUUUUGCCAUCUAUUCCAACAACUAAAUCCAUUUUAAGCUUCGUGCAAUCCAAUUUCACACCAUUUUUCAUUCUAUUUUUACCCAAGAAUCUGAAUUGGAUCCCUACCACUGUUUGUUGAUGUUUUAUGUUCUUAAGAAUUUAAGAAAAGGUUUCAUCUUGGCAAUCUACCUAGAGCAACAAUCCCUCUAUCCAGGUUUAGAACUGGCUCUGACACAAAGAAAAACAAAAGGAGAGAGAGAGAGAAAGAGAGAGAGAAGAAGAAGAAGAAGAAGAAGAUAAAAGUUGUAAGCAUCACAUCAGUACAAAUACGAGUAUUAAUGAUGCACAUACAAAUAUACAAUGAUAACACCAAUUCAAAUUUAAAUUUUUACGUAAAUAUAGACAAGAAAAAUAAAAGGUGGCAGACCUUGGAAGAAAAACAAUGAUAUUUGGAAGAGAUGAUGAAAAGAAAGUGAGACAGUAUACAUAAUUGCAAUUUGCCACAAUUUUCGUUCAUGAGAAUAAAAAUUUCAUAGUAUAUAGCAAAUUAUAAUUAUAAAUUAACUUUGAUUGCAUCUAGUAAAUAUACUUGAGGAAAAUAAAAGUGGCAAAGCAGAUGAAAAAUCUAAGAGAGUAACUUAAACGUUAUAGAAACUGGUUUUUUUAAUGCAUAUACAAAAGGAGUAUAAAUUAUUGAAUAAGUAUAAAAAAUCUAAACGCAUUAAAAGACAAAUGCAACCCCAUGACAGAGCUUCUAGAAUGUAUAUUCAUUUCAUGAACCUUUAUCACUGGAGAUUCUUUUGUAACAGAUCCAAAAUCAUGGUUAAAGACACCAAGCCCAAUAAUGUCAAGUGCCAAAUCAGGUUUUUUUAUGCAUAUAUGAGAGGAGUAUAAAUUACUGAAUAAAUAUACAAAAUCUAAAUGCAUUGAAAGACAAAUGCAACCCCAUGACAGAAAUUCUAGAAUGUAUAUUCAUUUCAUGAACCUUUAUCACUGGAGAUUCUUUCGUGACAGAUCCAAAAUCAUAGUUAAAGACACCAAGCCCAAUAAUGUCAAGUGCCAAAUUUGAAAACUCAGCUUCAAGAUCCAACUCAAUUGUCUUUCCCCCAUGCAAGUGCUCUCCUUCUAGAAGCUUCUCAAAUUUCAAUAUUGCUCUUUCUGAACACUCAGUAAAUACUUUUGUCAUAGCUUCCAAGUAUAAAGCAUGGAACCCAGGAGCAAUAACUGCAAUUUAAUUUGGAACAAAUUAAAGAUGUCCAUUUAACGAAAAAAGAGCUCCAAAAAUCAAAGACCAUGAAAAUAUAUCUGUAGAAACCAGAACAAUAAUAGAAAAUGCAGAACCUGUGAAUAUUCAUACACCAUUGUCACAAGCACUUCUUGUUAGCAACACAAAUCAUGCCCUUUAGUUUUUGUCAACCAAAUGCAAUGAUUAUACCAACAAGAGGUUUAAAUGUAGUGUUUUCAACCUUAUACAUGGUAUUUCAUGGCUUUCUCACACUCUUUAGAACCAUCAGCCAUUCUAUUGCAAUAGUAAUGAAAGAAACUUAACAUGCUACCAAUUUAUCAGUUUAACAAGUGAAAAAUAAUCACAGAAUAAUAUUUGUAAGAAACAAAAUUUUGUUGAUCAAAAGCAAAGGCAAUUUACAAAAGAGGGAUAAGAAAUCUUCAAAAACCUAGAGGACAGUGCAAACAAGAAAAAACAGAAGAAACUAAAAAGAUAAGUAAACAAAAACCUCAAAUCCUCAUAGAGGCUAAAAAUCAUAUUAAAAUCAUCCAGAACUAAACUAUCUACCUGCCCAAGUACUUACAACCUAGAAGGCACCUUCAACCAAGAGAUGCCCAGUCCCUAUAGAAAAAGCCUCUCAAAUCUUCAGUAAGACUAAAAUCCAGCUUUCAUAGCCCAACCAAUAGCUCCUAGUACAGAGAAAGUAAAACAUAGGAGGCCAAGCCAGUUUGUUAUUUUGAAAAAUCGUUCUCAUAAAGUAGAUGAUUUUUUGGAAUUUAGACAAUGUAUGCAAAGUCCAGUAUUUGUAGAAUAUUUAGGUUAUUAGCUUCACAGAAAUGGCCCUCAAGUGAUUAGACACCUUCUAACUAGCCAUCCAGCAGCUCAUGAAUCCAUUAUCACAUGUUAGUGUUUCCUGAUACUAGAAGUUCAUUAAAUAAUAGACUACAGUUGCCAAUAAAAUCUCCAAAUCCCAAGAUGACCAGCUAGUACUUAACUGCUUCUAUUGUAAUUUCCUUGUCACUUGACAUUUUCUGCAAUGCUUACACAAUUAAUAUUGUUUAGCAUUGUGGAUUCAAAUCAACAUUUUCAUCAAACUUUAAUAGGAGAGGAUCAAGUGUCAAUAUUCAAAACAGAAAUCUAAAUAAUAAGUUAGAAUGAUUGUCAAAAGUUAAAAACCUAGAUUCAUGAUAACUAUCCAUGAAAUCUUGCUUAAAAUGUAAGGCCUCAUAAUUACUUAACAUAAUGAAGAAAAUUAUUCUUUUUUAAAGGUUGAACACAGAACUGUAAAUGAUCUAGUUACAUAACCAACUGAUGGUGCUGGUGAUUUGUUAAGUGAAUACAAGUUGCCGCAUAAAUCCACCAAAGUAGGGACUAGAAAUGGUUGAAGUAAAACCAAAGUGUAAUGGAUGCUCAGGCAAUAUGUUAUAUUACAAGAACCAUCCUGAAACCAACAAGUUCCUCCUAACUUACCAAUUUGGAUAUAGCAUGCAUGGGCGAUACAAUCCUCUCAACAGUACUGAUCAAAAACAAUACUUGCAUGCCCACAAUUUUCAAGAAUGGAUAUAAACAGUUGAAAACCUCAACAACAGAAAUUUUUUAUCAGUUAAUGAAUGUGUAUGUAGUUAAUACAUUUCAGAAUCUUAAUUCUUGGUCAUAAGCUAAGAUGCAAACCUCAGCCUAAGUGCAAAGCCCUCACCUCUUCUCCUUUGCUUCCAGGUGUCAAGGUCAGCAGGUAUGAGUCCUUUCCCCAUUAUUGGUUCUAGUAUAUCAGCAAGAACUCCCUAGUUAAAGAUAUGACAACUUGGGUACAAAGAUCAGAAUGGAUAAAUGACAUGCAACAAUUAUGACUAGAAGUAAAAUAUAUGCAUAUAUAAGUAAUAAACAUGCACAAAAUCAAAGAUGCCAACAUAACAACCUAUUUUUUGGCUUAUUUGGUCAAACAAAAAACCACAUAUAAAUGCUUGGCCCUUAUUUUCAUUAACCAUAAUCAUUUCCCCUUUUCUUUCAUCAUUAUAGACAACCAAACUCCUUUUGAGAGAAAACAGGGGGAUAAGAAAGAGGACCACAAAACAAUAUUCCUUUGACCAGUUUUUUUGUGAUGUAUUCAUAAGAAUCAUAACCUAAAUAAUUCGUUAGCUGAUAUAUAGCACUGAUGGGACUGGGAAGUAAAAGGGAUAGCCACGUUAACUUUCUAUUUCAUGAAAUUUGAGAUUUUCUGAUACACGGAACAAAAAGUUAAAGUCUACUAUGCAAUACAACAAGAAAGAAAACUCAAAAUAUUUUUGCUGUCUUGAAGGGUGGCUAAAACAUAACCAGAAUGGAAACGCCCUCCUACAAGCAAUAAGAAGAUUCAUACACGAGUCUUUCAUAGCUACUGAAACAAUAUGAGAGCAAAGUAAGUCGGGCACUAUCUCAAUCUCUUAUGAUAGGUGCUUUUCAUGCACAAUAGGUGGUUUCUACUUGGGACAAUGGUAACCUCGAAGACUGUCAAGCAUCAAGCUGCAGGUUCGAGCCUGUGUAUGGCCAUUGCAUCCAAAAAUGCAAACUUUCGGUCUGUUACUAUUCCAACUUUAGGCUGUUAUUGCUUCCUCUCCUGUAGUGCCAUUAAAGCUAACAUAUUAUAAAUUUUUUGUCACAGCAAUUACAGCUCUAACAACAAGAUUAAGAAUGUAUCCAAAAAUUGUUGUAUUCAACAUACAGAAAACAAGGUUCAAAAUGUUGUUUUUUGGGAAAACCAAUUGGGAGGAAUGCAAUAACUCAAAGAUUCUCCAAUUUGAGAAGAUUGAACUCAAUUAAAUACAAAGGAAAAGAGUUCAAGAGAUUUCUUCUUAACAUUGGUAGGUAUCAUCUGAGCAAUGUUUAAUGAAAUUAACGAGUAAUCCUAAUGUGGGUGGAUUUGGUCAGGGAGAUGUAGAAAUAGUACUUUAAGAUCCAUUACGUAUCCAAGGCCUUUUGUUCUUCUUGUCUUCUAUUAUUUUGGCACAAAUCUUUUUGGUUCUUAAAAAGAAACAGUUUGAGAAGGUUCAAUUGUCCGAAAUAAAUUUCUAGAUCUUAUUACUACAGAGUCAACUUGAACAAUUAGAACUUGAUCUAACUUUAGGUGUGGUCCGUUUUUGGCAAUCCCAAUAAGGCACAACCAUACUUGUUCAAUUUAUCUCUCUCAACUUGGAUGCCAUGAGGCGGGCCUUGGAAAGUUUUAGAAUAAGCAGGGGAGAUUCGCAAAUCCUCUAGACGUAGAGCGCACAAAGCUUUGAACCCAAACACAUUACCCACAAUGGAAGUAAACAUGUUAGUAACAACGCCUUCUUCAAUCAUUUUAUUGACAUGAGUGUUUUCUUUUUUUUUUUUUUUUGAUAAAUGAGUACAAAUAUAUUAAAGGGCGAAAAACCACAAAGCAUACAGGUAGUAUACAUAGUAGCCUAUAAACAAAAAAACACAUGAACAAAAAACCUCACCAGCCCUUAAGGAACCGCAAACCAUUCCAAAAAGCCUAAAAGCGAAGAGGACUCCUCUCCCAUAUACACCCUAACCCAACUCCACAAAUUACAUACAAAAGAAUUUUUCAGUUUCUGUAUAGCUAAAGAGCCUCCCCUAAAAGCUAAUAUAUUUCUUUCCUUCCAUACCGUCCAAAAAAUACACAACGGGAUGGAGUUCCAAAUCUUUUUCCCCACAAAGGGGCCCCUCCAACUAAAUAAUACCUCUUUGAUUGUCUCUAGGAACACCCAUUGAGCCCCAAACAAAGCAAGGACGAUCUCCUAGAGGACCCUGACCACUAUACAAUGUAAAAUAAUAUGAUUUACAUUUUCCUCUUCACAACCACACAAAAAGCAACGAUUAGGAAGGUGCCAACCUCGUCUUUGGAGCCUAUCCAAAGUUAGGAUCUUCUCCCACGUGGCCUCCCAAGCAAAAGAAGCAACUUUGGUUGGAACCUUAUCCACCCAAAUGCUUUUUUUCGGGAAGGUGAUGGGACUAGGAGCUGCCAGCAGCUUAUAAGCAUCCCUAAUCCAAAAAGAACCAUGACCCCCUCCUUUCCAUAUCACUGAGUCCUCUUCUGAAGAAAUCCUCAAGUCCCUCAACAUAUGAAACAGCUCUCCUAUAGCAUCCAGCUCUCAAUCAUUAAAAUCUCUGGAAAGUCUAAUGUUCCAAACUCCUUGACCAAGGCUUGAAUCCCACACUUCAUUGACCGUAGCGUUCCUAUGGACCGCCAAGGCAAAUAGCUGGGGAAAAGUUUGGGACAGCGCCUCAUUACCACACCACUGAUCUGUCCAGAAAUUGACCUAGUCCCCUCUCCCACCUUGAACCCUAUGUUAUCCUAACACUAGUUCGCCUCCUUCAAAAUUUCCUUCUAAACCCCCACUCCAAACGUUCCGCGAGCUUCAUUAGUUCGCCAACCAAAUCCCUCAUGGUCAUACUUCACCCCGAUCACCUUCUUCCAAAGGAUUUCCUUUUCAAAGAAAGUCCCUUCAUAAUUUUUCGAGCCUUUUUGCUACUAACUUGGGCAUUCGAAAAAGGGACAAUUGGUAAAUAGGUAUGCUGGCCAAUGUACUUUUAAUGAGGGUAAUUCUCCCACCCUUUGACAAAUAUUGUAUUUUCCAAAGUGCUAACCUUCUUCUCAUUCUUUCUUCCACCCCAUCCCAAAUAGACGAGGCCUUGUGGUUGGCUCCAAGGGGCAGCCCCAGAUAUAGAGUAGGAAGAGACCUCACUCUACACCCUAACUCCACUGCCAUUUCGUCAAUGUCUUCAACCUCCCCAACUGGAAUUAAUUCGCUUUUAGAUAGGUUUAUUCUUAGACCAGAGGCUGCCUCAAAUCAAGCCAAAAUCCAACUUAGAGAGGUUAGGUGUUCUUUCCUUGCUUCGUAGAAAAUAAUUGUGUCAUCAGCAAAGAGCAAAUGGGACACAUUCAUCUCCAUUCGCCCCCUCCCUCGAAGACUACAGCCUGAAAUGAAUCUCUCAUCAACAGCCUUUCUUAUAAGUACACUUAGCACUUCCAUACCCAAAACAAAAAGGUAAGGAGAAAGAGGAUCUCCUUGACGCAGCCCCCUGGAGUUGGAGAAAUAACCUGCUGGCACCCCAUUAACCAGAACAGAAAAUUUUGCAGUUGAAAUGCACCACCAAAUCCACUCCAUCCAACGAGAUCCAAAGUCCAUCUUGUGCAAGACCUUCAUGAGUAAAUUCCAAUUAAUCCUAUCAUAGGCUUUUUCAAUAUCCAGUUUACAAAUCAACCCUUUCUCCUUACAUUUAUGCCAAAAAUCAAUCACCUCAUUAGCUAUGAGCGAGGCAUCCAAAAUCUGUCUUCCCCUCACAAAAGCAUUUUGGUCCGCAGAGACCACCUUGUCUAAAACCUUCUUCAGCCUAUUGGCCAGCACCUUGGCCAAAAGCUUAUACAGUCCCCCUAGAAGGCUGAUGGGCCUGAAGUCCCCAAGGUCCUCAGCCCCACCUUUCUUUGGAAUGAGGACUAGGAAGGUAGUAUUGAGACUCAUAGCAAAAGAUUUCUUAUCAAAAAACUCCUUAAACAGGUCCACAAUCUCCUCCUUCACGAAGUCCCAGCAAGAUUGCCAAAAAGCCACUGUGAACCCAUCCGGGCCUGGAGCCUUAUCUCCAUUCAUUUCCAUCAAUGCAAAGUGGAUUUCUUCCUCAAUGAAGGGCAGCUCCAAGACUUCAGCUUCAUUACGGUUUAGACUUUGAAGGUGCAGCCCCUCAAUAUCAGCUCUCCAGCCUGGCUCCUCUGAAAGCAGUUGCUGAAAAGCAUUCACAAUCCUCUCUCUCACCUCCUGCUCCUCAGCCAACCACACCCCAUUGAUCUUAAUUUUAUCCAAGGAGUUAUUUCUUCGGUGGGCAUUGGCCAUCUGGUGAAAGAAGUGUGUGUUCUUGUCCCCUUCCUUAAGCCACAGCUCCCUUGACACUUGUCUCCAAUGAGUUUCUUCCAAUAACACCCACUUCUUAUAGGUUUCCUUAGCUUCUCUUUUCAGCUCCGUUUCACCUUCUGUCAGACUCCUUUCACUCUCCACCCCAUCCCAGAAUGCGACUUGUUGGAGGGCUGAGUUUUUAUUAACUUUCAGCCUUCCAAACACAUCCCUGUUCCACCCUUUGAUUUUUUCCUUCAUCACCUUCAGCUUAGUAGCCAAUCUAAAACUGGCCCUCCCUCUCCCCCCCGACCCCUGCCACCAACCCCAAAAAAGAUCCUUAAACCCAUCAACUUUGAGCCACAUGUUUUCAAACCUGAACGGGGAAGGGCCCCGUCUUAACCCACCACCCUUCAGCAAGAUGGGAAAGUGAUCAGAAGUGGGUCUAGGUAACCUACUCUGGACAACCCCACUAAAAUGAUCAAGCUAGUUCUGGGUCACUAGGAAUCGAUCCAGUCUAGCCCAAGAUUGAUUGUUCCUACCCCCGCUCCAGGAAAACACACCCCCUUGCAGAGGAAGAUCCAGGAGCUCUAACUCAUCAACAACCUGAGCAAAUCUUCUCGUCGCACCAAUCAGCCUUCCCUGAUUGCUCCUUUCCCUUUGGGAGAGGGUAACCUUGAAGUCGCCCCCUAAACACCAAGGGUCAUCCCAGAUGCCCCUUAUUACCCCGAGCUCCUCCCACAGAAUCUCCCUUUCUUCCUUAGAAAACAGCCCGUACCCUCCUGUGAAAAUUCAAACAAUCUCAUCUUCUACAUUCCUAAGCCUACAAGAAAUUGAGAACUACCCCAUCUCCAUCUCAAGCACCUCCAGGGUCGUUUUAUCCCAACAUAUCAAAAUCCCUCCCGUAGCUCCCUAAGCACCCAUGGCACCCCAAUCAAGAAACCUCCCAGAGCCCAAACUCCUCACCAUACCCUCUGACAUUGACUAAAUUUUCGUCUCCUAGAUACAAAACAAAUCCACUUCCUGGCUUUUGAUCAUGGCCUUAAAUCACCUUUCUUUUAGAGCUAUCGUUAGCUCCACGCACAUUCCAGCUCAACAACCUUAUCUUCAUUGGACUUCCAUAAUCUGGCACCCUCUUCCUUGCACAGCACACUUCUUCUUUUCCCCCCUCUCAUAAUUGAUGGAACAUUCAAGCCUUUUCAAUUCCCUUUCGAAUUUCGAUUUCUCCAGAAGAGUUUUGCUAUGAACUCUCUCCCUUCUCUUUCUAAUUUUGACCAGAAACUCCAAAAUAUCUUUCUCCAAUCCCUCUGUAGAAAAUCCCAAAAACUUGCUAAACCUAGCCAGAUCGCUUUCCUCCCAACUUAAUUCCUUCCAUCCUCUACCUUCUUGUGGCAUAGACCGAACUAAGCACAAUUCCUCUCUACUCUCUUCAAUACUGUCAGUAUUGACCUCCAUCAACUCCCAGCACGUAACUGUCUCCUGCUCUGUAGACCCAGUGACGUUACACAAUCGACCCGGUGUAACCCCCUAGGUUAAGUCCAAGCCAACCCCAGAAAAGUCGUAAUACUCCCUCAAUGGAGUCCGACCAUAAAUAGAAGAGGGAGAAAAAAGAGAACCAGAAACCAUCGGUCCAAUAGUGAUAGGGUCGUUUUCAUACCUUACAGCUUCCUCCAACAAGGCACAGUCAAUCUUCGAUCUCCCCUCGGACUGUAUCUCCUCCUCAGAAGGCCUCCGCAAGCCAUCCUUCACCCAGAAAAGAGAAAUACCAGCGUCUGGACCCCCCACUAGGCUUUGGCCAAUUACCAUGGAUGGACAGGCCUCCCCCAACUGGGCUCUAACCACAACUAAGGGCAUAGACGGGCCUCAGUUGUCCAGCCCAGGCACCACAGAAGGCUCCAAAAUCUUAGCCCGCCCAGAAUUCUUCCUAGACGACAGCCCAAGAAGAGACGGCCCAUUUUCACAAGGGAAGUCUGAGAAAUGAGCAAGCCCAAUGGGCUCUAAUUCCUUAGAACUCCAAGGAGUCUCUGCUAGGCCCAGCAAAGUAAGUCCACCUGAUCCUUGGGACCCACCCGGCGACCCAUCAAAGCUCCGAAUAGGAUCCAGAACUUGCCCCGACCCACUUGACUGGCCCUACGUCCCAUCGGUAGGCAACGGCAGGGCCUCGAUCCUCGAACUGUCCUUCGCCUCCAGCACGCGCUCACCCACGCAUGUACAAACCUCACCCCCAACCUCAUCUCCUGUUGCGACAUUCUUUCCUCUCUUUCCUAUCGUCGCCGCUCUCAUUACUGGCCUGACCUCCCACCAGAGAGUUAGCAAGUAGCAUAGCUCUUCAACCCAAACCUCCACCACAUUGGGGAGUUCCUCACCGUUACGCUUCACCAAUAUCCAGGCCCACUGCAAUUCCUCCAUCUUCUCCGCUUGGGAGUCGACUACGAGAAAACCCCCGCACUCCUCCCCUAUCCUUCUUAGAAUGUCCCGAUCCCAUAAGGAGACGGGUAAGCCUACAACCCGCACCCAAGCUUCACUCUUGUUCUCCCCUUCCCUCAGACAUCCCGUCUCAGGCCUCCAUUUCUCCGGGCGAAGAAAGAUCCCCCCAACCGAGAUGCUUCCAAGUUUAAUGGCUUGCUCUGCUUCUAUCAAAAGCUCAAAUUCCAUCAAUACCUUGCCCCUCUCCAGUUUUGCUAACCCUAGGUUGCCCUUCAAACUCCAGAUUUUUGCCAAAUGGGUCCCCCAACUUCGUAGGUCAUCCCCCCUUGCUGCGCUAGGGUUCCAUAUCCCAACCACACAGUGAGCCAAUUUGUUUAAGUUUCGGCAUAGCUCCUUCUUUGUGACCUCCACCCUGAUUGUUGCUCUAUCUUUACCCCUCGGCAUUUUAACCACUUCCGCAAAGGUUUUCACCAUACUUGGUUUCAACCGUAGCUCUUCUUCUUUUUGGCUUAUCACUCCUCCAUUAGCACAGCCCAAGCGUCGUAGCAUCUCCACCAUUGAAACCCAACCACCCUUUGCUCCUCUUCCUUUGGGGAUAAAUAUGCUAAACCUUUUGUUUUCCAGGUCCACAACAUCUAACCGGAGGAAGCACCCCCCUUUGUUUUGAUCUCGCACCAGAGAAUAAGCCCUCCCAUUUUCUUUCCACUUUCUUACUCAUUUUAUAGUUCUCACAUCCUUAAUACAAAGAACCAGACAAUCGAGGAAUAGCCCAAGGCUCGCCGGUCCCAGCCUAAUCCACGAGGAAAUCCCUCUUUUCCUCUCCACAAUUGUAGCUUGCAAUCUGCCUUUCUUCUCCUCCACCUUAACCUCAAACGACUUCGACUCCACUCCGAAGCCACCCUUCCUGAAGCUUUUCCAAGACCCCGUAAGGACAUCGCCCUCUGCAUUCUCAGUUGCACUCAGAAAUCCUCACACUCCUCCGUCGCUCUUGCUCUCUCUCUCUCUCUCUCCUCCAUUUUCACUCAGAAUUUUUUAUUGACAAGAGUGUUUGAUACCGAAAAAAAUUUCCAACUAUUCAUUUUGAAAUUACCUCCGCAUUAAUAUAGUGGUAGAAAGAAUACCAUGUUGGAUUUUCCACAUCCCUUUCUUUUGUCGAAAUAAUAAUGAUCCUUGACACCUUUGUCAAAAAUUCCUAUUCUUAGUUUAGAUUUUUUUUCUAGGUUUAUCAUAAUUUUAGAUUUGUUACAUAUAAGAAGUAGUGGACAAACAAAAAAAAAAAGGGUGAAUUAGUCAGAUCCUUUUGUACAGAAUAACAAGCAGCACAUAAAUUUCAUUGUAAAUGUGAAAUACUUAUCAAAUAAAAAUGCAGGAGAAAUUAAAAGGAUCCAGGGUCGUUUGUCUGCUUGGCUAGUUUUUUUAAAUAAAUAAAGCGAGAGAAGUCUUUGGAACGACAAUAGGUAUCUUUAUUACAUUAGCCAAAACUUAUUUGUUCUUGUUCAUUCCUAUCACAGCAAGAUGGACUUUACCUAGGCUGAGAAUGGACCAACUAUUAAAUCUUGGAUGGAAAUUUCUUUUACCUAUUUCUCUAGGUAAUCUAUUACUAACAUGGAGGAAGAAAUAUCAGCUGUUGUCUAUCACAACAGUCUCCAAAAAUUAACUGUUUUAGAAAAGUAAUUGCAUUAGUAAAGUAGUAUAUUUCAAGUUGUUUCUGUCACCAAGAUGCAUUACUUCAAAGUUUAUGCUCCCUAUUAGGUUCAAGACCCAACUAAGACAUAUGAAACAAAUUCAGUUUGCAAGCUUGAAAUGGUGAAGGUUUGCCUCCACAUAAAAUUUAAAAUGAUGCAUUCAGUAAAUUGUUCAGAAGGUAUAGAACUGCAUAAAAGGUUUCUGUGUAUAUUGCUUCUCUAUUCGAUAUGUAAUUUCAAAGAGACAAAACAGGUUAAAGCAAAACUAAUACAUUGAGAUAAUGAAUAAAUAAAUAUGUGCACAUAUACAUGCAUGAAUCCAUAUUCAUUGAAGGCAAUUUCAUAUAUGGAACAAAAUAAUAAAAUAUUGAUAUUGGCCAUCAGGUUCGCAUCUUGAAAACAUGGAGUCAUUGAGAAAGAUAUCAAGUAAAUAUUGAAUAUGGAUCCAAAAAGAAUGCAGAAAUUACUAGCAAAACAUGAAAAUUUUUGGAUAAACAUUUCAGGAGAUAUAUGUUGACAUUGUAGAAUAACACAUACAACAUCAAGCCAAGAGCAUGAUCUAUUUAACCCACAUUUUUUUUUAGAAAAAAAUGUCAAGUCCAAACAAUAAAACAUGGCAAAAACCAUGAGACAAAGCUACAUUAAGCAAUAUCUUCUGCAAGCAAGGGAGAAAUAAAAAGAACAGCAAAAAGAAGCACAUUAUUAGAUAAUACCUUGUCAUAACCAAAGAUAUUUUCUCGAAGAAUAUGCCUUGCAACAAUGGGAUCUGACACAACAACAAAUGCCUUUGGCCCAAAAGCAAGUUUAUACACUGAGCCAUGCUGCCAAAUUAAACCAAAAUAAAAGAGGAUAUGAAACGAUAUGGAAUUGGGGAGACUCAGAAUAUUAAGAGUGGCAAAAAAAUAGAACAAUGAGACUACAAUUCAUGAAUCCUCCAUCUGGUACCCAAGAAACUGGAGGAAAAGAAACCAAAAAAUGUCAAAACCCUUAUAUUUUCCAACUUUUUGGUUUUCAGGCAUGGAUUUAUACUCUAUCAAUGCUACUCAAAGGGAAUAAUUCUACGUAUUUAUAAAGACCCCAGGCAGGAUAACAGCAAAACCUAAUAGAUUUAUGGUCUUUGGGAAAAAUGCAUCCAAGAUCAUACAUUUUGAGCUGGGUUCCAUGGGAAGUUCAAACUUCCUUUUUGAUUAUCAUAUCACAUAUAAGAUAAAUUUUGAGACUCAAUAGCCAAAUACAUGGCAUUUGAAUUAUAAUCAGAGAUCAAAAUUAGCAUAAUACAAGUAGAAAGUAGAAUUAACACAGUGGAGUCUCUUAUUUAGAAGAAUUGAAACACAUUGAUAUCAUGCUACCUAUGCCUAACAACAGAACAGGGCAACAAUAUAUAAAUUAUCCUCCCUAAAAGGAUUACACCAGAUAAAUAGGUAACAAUUAGGAGAGGUGUGCCAGAGACCAGAAAGGUUAGUAGCUUCCCUCAGGAAAGCCUGGCAAGAACAACACAUGCAAGCUUCCCUGCAUGAGCCUUGUUUAUGAUAAAUUUUGUUUGAUUUAAAUGAACUUGCAGACUGAUCAUUAAGUGGGGUUGCUCCCCUCCAGCAUUAGCAAACUUUGUCGGAACUGGUUAGAAAUGGGCACUACCAUCCCAGACCUAUCCAGCCAGGUUCUAUUUUUCAUGUCCCUUUCGCUAACAGAUGAAAUCAAUGAAGUUUUCAAUGACCAAUCAGCUAAAUCAAGUCAAGAUUUGUUUUCCAAUGAGCCCUAUCACAACCAAAAAUAUAAGACUAUAGAUUUAUUAUUCUUUUGUACUUUUCCUCUUAUAUCGGCAACCAAAUAGUAACAUAGUCAUCAAAGCAUCUACCACUAAACAAGUAGGGGCCAUGUGUAAUAUACACAAAUGAAAUAUUAGGAAUACAUUCCUGAAAAGAAAUGGUACCUCUAUGAACCAAUCAUACAGUGAAAAGAAGAGAGGCCGACCAAAAAGAUCAGAAACUGCACCUUCAGCUACAGGCAUUGACCCUAUACUUCCCCCACUUAAAAAAUUGGUUAGGAGGUUGCUCGCAUUGUCCAAUAGAUUUCUUGAUUUCUGUUUAUCCGUGCUAGUGGAUUGGCAUCUAUAUGAGAAACAAAUAACAAAUUAGCCCCAAAUCCAAUUAGUAACUCUUAGGCUGCCAAGGAAAAAGUAGGAAAUAAAUUAAUUUAGAUAUUAGACUUCUCAUUAACCAAGAUGAAAACCUCCACUCUGUUGAACCUAGUUUGCAUAUGCUCUGUUUGGUUUCUGAGAGAACUCAAAAGAAGAGAAAAUUAAAGAUUUUUUUAUGCUUAGAAUUCCCACCCAAGAAAAAUUUAUACUCAGCUGAAUUUACUUUCCUCUUUCUUAGUUUUCUCAGCAACCAAACAUAAGGUAUGCCAACUUAUUUUUUGAAGUUUGGAAGCCAAGGCAAAAUAAAUAUCAGACUAAGAAAAGUCUCAAUUCUUUUCUCUGCAAUUAGAUGGAAGCAAUGAAAGAAAACUGUCCCAGCUCUAUUUGGUUGCUCAAAGAAAAAUGCAAGAAAAUAAAAGGAGGAAAUGAUUUCUCAUCUCAGAUAUUUAUCAAUUGGGACCCUAGAAUUCUUUAACCGACAUCCAAAUGUGCCUAAUAAAACUGACAAUUUUGCUUAAUUGGGUUGACAUUUUUUUUUUCGUCCCAUUAUUAAGAAACGAAACAAGAAGAACCAAGAUGAUGCCCAAAAUCCAGUGGUUAUCCUCAAUUUUCCCACCAUCCAAACCCAUUGUUACCUAGUUUAAGACCCUUUAGGCUUGAAUCUCUGGGCAUAAUAGAACUAAAUUAUUUUGCUCAAUUGGUAUCACCGAUUUUCUUCAUUUUUCUUUUAUUUUUUCCCCAUUUCUAUAACACCAUGAUAGUACUAAAAAAUCCUACUGUUUCCUCCAUUUUCUCACCACCCAAACAUAGGGUUACCUAAUUGAGGUCCCUUUGGACUUGAACGUCUAGCCCUAGGAAACUACAACAACAAGAGCCAUGAUGUUACCCAAAAGAAUCAAAUUAUUGAUUGUGUCAUAAAGACACAUAUGUCUAUGCCACAAUCAUCCCCUUCUAUUAGAUUCUACCAUCUUAGCCAUUUUCCAACCUAUGAACGCCGUCUAGACUUCAACUUCUGCACCUAGUUCAACCAACUGUUUUGCUUAAUUGGGCAUCAGUUUUGUCCUGUUUCAAGACAACAAAACAAAAAAGAUAAUAAAAACCACUAUGUUACUGAAAACAGCAUUAUUUUCCUCCAUUUUCCCACCACCCAAACACAGAGUUACCUGAUAGAAAGCCUUUCCUUCAGCUUCUGGGCCAAACACAACUAAGUGGGCCUAUAAAUUGGAAAUCAUUAAUUUUCCGCUUCUAGUAAACCAAACCAACAAAAACCAUCACGUAAGUCAAAGCCCUACUGCUCUCAUCCAUUUUUCCACUACCCAAACACAGGGUCUCCUAAUUGAGACCUUUAGACUUCGACUUCUGGGCCUAAUAGAACCUGCUCUAAUGCUUAACUGGGUAUCCUCUUCUUUCCCCCAUUUCUAGUCAACCAAAACAAAAAGAACCAUCACUGCUAAAAAAUUCGAUUGUUUUCUUCCAUUUUCCCACCAUCUAAAAAACAGAAUACCGGAUUUAAUACCCUUUAGACUUGAACUUCUUGGUCGAAUAUUACCAACUAUUCUGCUUAAUUGGGUAUCGUUUUUUCCAUUUUUAGUAGACCAAAGCACCAAGAACCAUCAUGUAAUUCAAAGAAUCCUUCUGUUUUCCUCCAUUUUCACACCAUCCAAACACAGGAUUACCUGAUUUAAUACCCCUUAAGCAUCAACUCCUGGGCCUAUUAAUAAUGGACAACCAACUAUUCUGCUUAAUUGGGAAUUUUUUUUUUUUCCAUUUUCGGUAAACCAAGGCACCAAGAACCGUCAUAUAACGCAAAAAAUCCUCCUGUUUUCUUCCAUUUUCCCACCACCCAAACACAAAGUAUUACCUGAUUGAAGACCCACCAGGCCUGAGCUUCGAAAGCUGAGAAGUUCUAGAAGACUGCAAAUAAGGGGUUCUUGAGAAACAGCUAUCACUCACAUGAAAAUGCUGCAACAACACACAUGUAGCCAUUGCCCAACUCAGAUUCCACACCCAGUAGUAGUGACCCAAAACAUAUAUGAUAUAUCCACUUGACGCAUGCUCAAAUCACAGCAGUUGUCUUUCACACCCAUCACAGGCAUACCAACACGAUUGGAUGUAAAUACAAAAGAAAAAACAUCUGGGACCCAUAGAUUGGAGGAUGACGCAGGAAUUCCACCGAGCCCUCCUCACCCAAUCAUUUCAUGGCUUGUGUGUGAGACGCACCUAACCAUUACCGAAGUGCUCUUCUUGUGGUUAUGCCUACCUUUCUUUUCUCAUUUUCUUUGAAUUUUGUAUGCAAUUCCACUAUGGGUCUUUCGAUUGAGUCUAAUAAUAAAAAUGGGUUAUUUGGUCAGCUAGGCCAAAAUAAUAGUAAAAUUGCAAGAUUGACUUCCUUCUUAAUUUUAUUGAAAAAUAAUCUAAUUUGGAGUCUUUUACCCUUUUGAUUUGUUUCCCUCCAAAAACACAUCUUUCUACUUAUUUUAUUAAUUUCAUUUUUUACCUACUCAUAUCUUUCAAACUUUUUUUUUUCUUUGCCACGAUCCGAGCAUACUCCCUCUCGCUACAUGACUUCAUCUAUAAAUGUGAGUUGAAACUUUCCUUCUUUCUCAUUUCAUGAACAUUCAUUAUAUUUUUAAUUUACUUUAUUUUGAAAAAAUUCUUUGUCAUUUCCUAAUGCUCCAUCCACUCUCUUAUCUUCCAAAUAACUUAUUUUCAUUUUUGUUCAUAUUCACCCAAACUACAUUGCCUAAAAAAACAAAAAUCAUGUUCUCAUUUUUUUUUUCAUUAUAUUCAUUUCACCUUAUAAUAUUUUUCAUUUUCACUUUUUUAUUUUUUAUUUUUCAUUAAGGGUGUUCACCUUAAUUAUACGAAAGUUAAGUUUGAUUUUUAAAAAAAUAAGGUUAAAUUGCAAACCCUAAAUUCAAAAAAAAAUAUAUAAACUAAAAAUAAUUGCAAAUAUUUCUAAUAAAAAAACAAUAGCAAAAACCCAACAAAAAAUUACGGCAAAAUUUGAGAAUGACGAUCUUGCAGAAGAAAGAAAGAUAAAAGGAUUUUUACAGUUAAUUUUAUUUCCUUAGUGAGUCUUUAUCUCUUGAGGGGGCAAACUGUGAGAGAAUGGGAGAGAGUUAGGAAUUAGAAUGGGAGUAAAAUGAAUUUGGAACGAGGGGUAAUGUUUGUUGACAUAAAGAAAGGGUAAAAUUAUAAAAUAAAAUAAAAUAAAAAAAUUGGUUUAGUUUUUAAAAAAAGAUAAAAAGAAAGGAUGUUAUUUUUCAAAUUUUAAGAAUAUUUCAAGUCUUUUAACCAAAAUCUCAAUAAAAAUUCACUGGAUAUGUUGUCUUCCACAAAGUACUUAAUAAAGAAAAAAAAUAUUUCUUCAUAUUUGAUUUACUAUCAAAAUAAUAUAUAUUUAAAAAAUAAAUAUAAUUAAAAUGAAUUAAAAUCUCAAUAAAACUCAAAUAAAAUAAUGCUAUUAGGAUUAGGAGAAAUUAUUAUCCUAAUCGGAUUAUUGGUUUAUUACAUUGCAAAAAAUUAAAGAUGAGGUUGAAUACAAUUUAGGUAUAAAAAAGCACAUAUAAUUUUAGAUGCAUAUUUUAUAUAUAUAAAAAAAAAUUGAGAAAAUUGACAUCAUAAAAAGUUACUCAAUAUUUUAUUAUAAAUUUUGUUUUCUAUUUUUUAUGCAUUUCAUUUAUGAUAAUUUAUACUUUCUUAUGUCUUUAAGGAUCUCUAAGAUAGGUUAUUAAUUUAAUACAUUGCGGAAUUAUAAAAAAAUUAUUAUUCGAGUGAGGUUAUUAAUUCAUAAAAAAAACAUACGUAUAUAUUUUAAAUUAUUUAAUUUUAAAAUGAAAAAAUAAGUGAAAUAAAUGUAAAUUUAAGUCUUUUUCUUUUUUCAUUUUCUUCUUUUUUUUUCUCCCUAUUUUUUUUCUUAAGGUUAUAUUUGAUUUCAAGAAAAUUAUAGGAAAGUAUGGAAGAAAGAAAAUAAAGAAGAAAAAUAUAGAAAAUGAAGAAAAAUAAAAAAAUGGAUUUAAAGUUAAUAAAUCAUUGUUACUAUUAUUUCAUAUUUAUUUUAUUUAUUUUAAUUAUUUUAUGUUAAGAGUUCUAUAAUGCACGAGUUUCUAACUAAUUUUAAUUAUAUUUUAUUUUCUUAUAUAUUUUUUUAAUGAUAUAUUUAAAUAUAAAAAAAUAUAUUUUUCUUAAUAUAUAUUUUUUCUUUUCUUAUCAAAUAAAAGUGCAAAACAAAUGUGUAGGCCAAAAAAGAAAGUGCAAGUUUAAUUGGUUUAUUGCUCUUAGGAUAUGUUAGAAAAAUCCAAUUUUGUAUAUUAUCCUUCCAAAAAAGGUAAUCGUGUCAUCGCUAAAUUUCAUUUUUUUGAAAUAUUAAAUUAUAAUAAGUAAAAUAAUCUCUAAAUGUGAAAAAUAACCCAAACUUUCAAUAUGGGAAUUAUACUUGAAAUUAUUUAUAUGUCAUAGUCUUCUUCAACAAUCCAUAUAUACACACACUAGGAUGAGUGGGUUAACCUCACAUAACAAAGUAGAUAAUAAAUUUAAUUAUCUAAUUUAUCUAUUUAAUCUUAGAUUAUAGAUAUCAAAAUAUACUAAAUUAAGUUAGUGUCACAUGACAAUUUUGAUAAUAAAUCCAUGAAGUACUUUUGAUUGGUAUCCUAUUUUUUAUUUUUAAAAAUAAAAAAUAAUGCUAACUUCUAUAUAAAACAUUCUAACUCUCUCUCUCUCUCUCUCUCUCUCUCUAUAUAUAUAUAUAUAUAUAUAUAUAUAUAUAUAUCUUUAAAAAUUAUUAAAAUUUGAGAUAGUAAAUAUUUUUUAAUAUUUCAAAAUUUUUUAAAUAGUUUUAAAAAUCAUGAUCUUUUUAAUAUAAAUCUUAAAGAAUUCUUACUAUCAUUAAAAUAUCAUUUUGGGAGUUAUCAUCAUAUUUUAUUUUAAGAAAUGGAAAACAAUAUUCUAAAUAAAUUCAUUUAAAUUAUUAAGGUGAAAUUUGGUUAAAAUGAAUAAUGUUCUAAAUUAAAAAUAAAAACUUCUCUUAAAGUAAGUGCUAAACUUAGAAAAUUUUAUGUCUUUUAUUGUUCAAUUGCCAUUGAAGAUAAAGAUAAAGAUAUAAAUUUAGAAAUGUAGAGAAUUGAUUAAUUGUAGAAGAAACAAAAAUUUUAAACUAUAUUUAGAAAGGGAUUAAAAGUACAUUAUGCAAAGUGGGGCUAAGUAGAGCCCAUGGGCUAGAAUAAGCCCAAAUUUUAAAUCACUUUCAAUUGGGUUUAUGCAAAAACUUCAAAAUCAUGGAAACCAUACCCAAAGUCCAAAACCCAAAUGGGCCAAGUCCCACUCUUUUGGAUUUAUCCAAAAACUUCAAAAAUAUCGUGAGUGAACCCAAUCCCAAUCCCAAUCCCAAUCCAAACCCAAAACCCAAGAGCCCAAAUCCCAUUCUCAAACGAGGAGUGAAGAUCCAUCAAAAAGUGGCUAAGGGAGUUAGGGCCCAUGAGACAGGCCCAGCCCAAAUUCAAAGUCACCUUCUUUUGGGCUUAUCCAAAAACUUCACGAACCCAAGCUCAAUCCAAACCCUAAACCCGAAACACCUAAUUAUAUUCUCAAAGGAAGUGGUGUGGCUUAGGGGGAGUCCAUGAGCAAGUCCCAACCAAGUUCAAAGUCACUCUCAUUAGGGUUUAUCCAAAAAUUCCGAACCGGGCCAGCCCAAACCCAAGUGAAAAAACUCAAAAGCCCAAGUCACAAUACCCGAAUGAAUAUGAAAAGGGGUAGCGGUUUGGAUGUCGAGGAAGACAGUCAAAACAUGCUUCCUAUCAGUUAAGCAAGAGAACAUGUGAGCUUGAGAGUGACAUUUCGGAAUAUGAGAAUGAGUCAAUAGAAACGUGGGCGGUCUUGUCCUUUGAACUUUGAACUUUGAAUUCAAUUUCACUAUUAUCAAUUCCUACUCUAAUUAUGACUUCUUCCCCAAGAUUGCAACCAUGUCUCUACAUUUCUACCAAAUGAAAAUUUUCCAUCUGGCCAUAAGUGAAUUUCAUGGAGUGGAAGGGGUUAAAGGGAUUUAUGUAGCAUUUCCUGUUUGAUUCUUGGCUUUUAAUUCUUUUUUUUUGUUUUUUAUUUCAUCAUUAUUAACAUAUAAAAAAUUCAUAGAAUAAAAAUAAUAUAUAAAAGAAGGGUCUGAUUAUACGGAAGGAUACAUUUUUGGUACUAUACAUAUCAAAAGUCUAAUAUUUUACCAAUUGGAUAGGAUAUAUAUUUUUUUUAUUAAAGAAUCUUGUAUAUUCCAUUAGUAGGUUUAGAUCUCUUUCUCUAUGACUUGGCGUGACUAAUCUACCUAAAAGUUAAUCAAUAAUGGAUUAUAGUCAAAAGAUUCUAUUUUUUUCUGAUACAACAAAUAUAUUAAAAAAAUCAGUUGUUUAAUUUAAAUCCUUUUUAUUUUUGUCUUACUUGACUAGUAAACUUAAAAGUAAUGUCUCACCUAACACAACAAACAUGUUCAAAGUUUGAUGCUUAAAUAAAGAUCUUCUAGACGAGAACUUGUGUGUUUGAGAUUUUUUUUGAAUUAAUUUUAUAUAUAUCAAUCCUACACGAUUUCAAACAUAUAUUACAAAAUUGCUUUUCAAAAUUGUUCUUAGAAAUCACUUUUUAUUGUUUUUAAGAAUAAAAUGAGAUUGAGAACCCAUGUAUAUAUGAUAGUUUUUGACAAACCAUUGUCCAAUAGGAUAACAACAAAUGAGGUGAAUAGGUGUGUGUAUAAAAAAAUAUUAAAUAGAGAGUUUAAUAUUUUAUUAAAUUUUAAGUUGUGAAAUAAACAAAUAAGCAAGGAUACGAGAUAAAAAACCAUGAGUCAUAUAAAAUUACCUGCUUGUUUUACCCAGUAAGCUUACUUUUCACAACUUACAAUUUAAUCCAUAUCUAUGAUGUAACAAUCUUUAAGAGAUAUUGGGAAUGAUAGAACAAGUUAGAGUGAGUUUCUUUCAUAUGUUCCCAAAAACCACAUUUAGGUGGGAUAUAUAUAUAGAAAAAAAAAAUAGUGGAAUUGUAAUCAAUUUAAAAAUCUUAUUUUACUAAAAAUAAUUUAUAAAUUUAAGAGUUUUAAAAGGUUUGGAAAAUUUUCAUAUUUUAAAUUUAAAAGAUUAAUUUUUUUUUUAAAUUCUUAAAUUUAAAUCCCCAAUUUAAAAUUAUUUUCCAAAAUAUUUUCAUUAUUUGGAAAUAUUUUUCUUUUUAAAUUUUCAAUUUAAUUUUUUUUAAAAAUUAAUUGAGAUAUUUUAACUUAAUUAAAACUUUCAAUUCAAUCCUACUUUACUAACUUGCAUUUACUCAACUUUUUAAAAUUUACUUGUGACUUUUCAGUCUAGUGAAUAACAAACUAAAAUCUUCAAUGAAGAAUAAGUCGUUAUAAAAAAAAUUUAUCAUAAUAGUUUUUUCAUUCAUUUUUUAUAAAUAUAUUAUAUACUUAUAUACAAUGUAAAAGUCUUUUAAAUAUUCUUUCAAACAUAUAUUUGUUUUUGAAAAUAGCUUUUUUACGGAACAAGUUUUCAAAAAAUUCUUUUCUGCACGAAUGUUUAUCAAAAGUAUUUUUUUUUUAAGUUUAAACACCAAUUAGUGGUAAAUUAGUAUUGCCAAAUAGAUAGAGAUUUUUGUAUGAAACAUGUUUAAUUAAUUUUUGUCAAUAUUAAUCAUGCUUGAGGAGAAAGAGGUUGGCGUGGACAAAGAAGUUUGGCACAUUAAUCAUGAUAAAUGAGUUGUUUCAUCUUGAACUUUGAUUUGAUUAAUGAGAGAAAAUUUUAGUGUACGUAGGAUGCUUUAGGCAGGUGAGACAAGGGAAUAGUUUCUAAAGGACUUUUUUUUUUAAAAUUAUUUUUUAUGCGUUAAUUAUUGCAAGUCAAAGAGAGAGACAUUUUAUUUCAAACCAGUUCAUCGCAAUGGAAUCAAACUAAUAUUUUUCUAACACGGUGAAAUAAUUUUUUAAUUUAGAAAACACAUUUAAUAUAAUAAACAAUAAAAAAGGAAGAAAAAUGUCAAUAAACAAUGAAAUAAAAUUAUUUGAAGAUAUAAUGAAUAACUUAAAGUGAGUCAUAUUCUUUGAAAAUAAAUUUUUGUUUAUUUUAUCAAAUAAAUUAAUUAUGAUAAAUUGUUAUUACAAAAGUGAAUUUAGAGGAUUUAAAAAUCAAAUCCAAGUCGAAAUAUUUGGUUUUUUCUAUUCACCUAAAAGUAACCUGCUGAUAUCCGUCAAUAUAAUUAAAUUGAAACUAUUAAUAACAAGUUUAUUUUAAUUAUGUUGAUUGAUAUUAAUAGAUCAAUAUAUAUAUAUAUUUUGUUAGAACAUUUUAUGUAUUGACAAUUUUAUUUAAUUCUUAUAUUAUAAUUUUUAUAAAUCAUUCAUUCGGGAUGUUACGGUGGACCUGUGUUUUCCACAUCCGUCCCCACUUGAAUGACGAGACUCGCUUUUUAUUUAUUUGUUAAAAAUUGAUUUUAAGAAAAAGACUUGGAGUCGUCACUUAUUUUAAUUUUUUUUAAGAGAGAAAACCAAAUAAGAAAGAAAACUUGUAUGACUUCUUAUUUGGAAAAGACAUGUUUGUAAAAACAGAAUUUGGAUUCGGUGGUCAAGUUACCUAUUGGGAAGGCACGGUGUUAAGCCAUAACACCCCUCUAAGCCCGUAUACGUAUGACUUUUACUAAACGAGUUAAGAGAAUUGUGAAAAUUAAUUAAUUAAUUAUGUAUAUAAAAAAAAAUUAUGCAAAUGAGUAUGUACAAGUCAUGGUGAAAAUCAAUAUACACAAAAAUAAUGAUGAAAUCUAAUUAUAAGAAUACACAAAAUAAAUAAUAAAAUAAUUAUGCAAAAUGAUUUAUUGAACUAAUUAAAAAAAAAUAUUUGAAAAAAAUUAAUUUUUUUAAAAUUUCAAAGGAUUUUAUUAAAAACAAUUUUGAAUGAGUGAUUUCAAUUUAUUUAUUACAAAAUAUUUUCUUCAAGUGAUUUGAUUCAAUUUCAUUUGUAUUUAAUUUUCAAAAAAGUUAUUUACACUUAUUAUAUUAAAAGAAUUUAUUACAAAAUUUCAAUUUGGUAACAAAAAUUAUUUUUACAUAUUUUUACAAAAAAAUUUACAAUUUGUUUUCAUUUUAAAAAAGUGAUUUAUACAAAUUAUUUAAAAAGACAUAACUUUAUUUGCAAAGAAUUUUUAAUUAAAAAGAAAAAAAAUUAAAUCCUCUAUUUCAAAAAAAUACUUUUAAUUCCAUUUAAUUAAGGAAAAAAAUUCAUUUAAAAAAAAUAUUUUUGGACAAUUUUAUUAAAAAUUAAUUUUUGGGACAACUUUAUUUACAAAACAAUUUUUGGACAAUUUUUAUUAAACAAAGAAAAUUUUGAACCAUUGUUAUUAAAAACAAUUUUUUAAAUUCUAUUAAAAACAAAAAAAACUUUGGAUUUUUCUAAAAACAUUUUUAUGAUUUUUUAUUAAUAAAAAACUUUCUUUUAUUAAGAAGAAUAUCUUAAAAUUAUUGUUUUAUUAAAAAAUAUUUAUUGAAUUAUUCCUCUUAUUUAAAUAAAAUUUUUGGUUUGUUCGAUAUCCAAUUCUGUAUACACUCAAUAAAUAUAUACAAACAAAUAUUUACAAAAAUCAAAUAAUAGUGGGAAAUAAAACAUGUAUCCAAACAAGCUUACAACAAGUUCAAUAUCUUCCUACAACUUUUCGAGUCUCACUUUCUUCCAUGAAAUUCCGUGCUACACAUGUUAUAAAUCCGUACUCAACCAACAGAAUUGCAUAAUGGGCUUAUGUAAAAACAAAAAUAACCCAAAUUUAAUGUAAUCUACCAAAGCUCAAAUUUUAUAUUAAUUCAUCAAUCAAAAUCUCAUAAACAAAUAUUAUUGAAAUAAAAAAAUAAAAAAUAAAAUAAGAUUACAUUAAAUUUUAAAUAAUAAAAAAACACAAAAUAAUCUUACAUAAUUUUCGAAUACCUCGAAAGGAGAGGCAGUGUGUUUUGGGUGGCAAUGUGUUGAGAUGGAAAAAAAUAAAAAUAAAAGAAAUAAAAUAAAAAUAUAACAGAAUGGGAGAGAGUGGUGAGGUGCGAGAUAGGUGGAAAGGGUGGUCAUUGGAAGUGGUGUCGACGACAUGUCGCCGGUAGUGGAGAUGGUGACGGCCGACGUGAAAGAUUGACGGGCUUUUGAGGAAAAAAAAUGAAAUAAAAUAAAAGAAAGAGUAAAAAAAAAAAAAAAAAUUGGAAUAAGAUGAGGGAGAGAAGGGGGGUCGUGUGGGUGUGGAGAAUGUCUCUGAAAGUGGCAGUGGUCGAUAAGAAAAAGAAGAGGAAGUGAAAAAGAAAAGGAACCAAAAAAAAAAGCAAAAGAAAAAUCAAAAGGAGAGUGGAAGAAACAUCUGGGUUCUCGGUCGUGUGUGUGGGUGUCGGGGGGCAGCCAGAAGAGGAAGAAUAGAGAGAGAAAUCCUAGGGGGGGGGGGGGGAAUGAAGAGAUGAGAGUAAAAGAAAAGAAAAAAAUCAAAAAAGGGAAGUUCAAGGGGAGUAUGAGGAGUGGUUUAGACAUGUAGAAGAAGGGAAUAGGUAAGGGGAGUAGGUCGAGUGGGUAGGAUAAGGAAAAAGAGGACGAGAGAUGGGAAAGGAAAGGGAAAAGAAAAAAAUAAAUAUAAUAUAAUAGAAUAUAAUAAUAAUAAUAAUAAAAAUAAAAAUAAUAAAAACUAAGAAUUAAAAGGUAUAAGUAGACCAAACAAUUCAGUAAUCGGGAUUUAAUUUUAAGAGUAAAAUUGGACUAAAAAUGAAUGUAAAAAUAAAAUUAGGACAAAUUUUGUGAUCUACAAAUAUGGGCAUCUUCGGUAGAGUCUAUGAGUAAAGUGAGUGUAUAUACAAGCGAAAUGAAGUGGGCUUUGCCGAAGAAAAAGAAAGACCACCAAAUUUGUCUCAGUAUGACACAGGCUCUCUUAAACCAAAACAAGAACAAACGGACUCUAAAAUCCAACAAAAAGAGUAAGAACGAAAACUCCUAAGGUGCCUUUAAAGUUACACCAUGGAUCUAGACUUCCUCCCAAAAGUCUCCAAAAGUGGCUCGAAAUCGAUGUCGAAGUCGAAUAGUGGUCGAACCACCAAGGAGCACAUGAACAAAUGCAUACAAAGGGAAAAACCAUACAUGUACUAUAUGAAGUAUGAUGAAAUAUGAAGUUGUGAGGACAAGGUGUGCAAAGACUGGAAUCACCUAAAUCUAAAGGAAUGGAUGGAAUACAAUUGUAAUGAUCAUAAUCACUAAAAUAAGGAAAAAGGAUGGGACGUGGUCGCAAUUACUGAAAUCACCUAAAACAGACGAGACACGGUUGUCAUGACCGAAAUCACCAAACUAAAGGAAAGAAUGGGACACGGUUGCAAAGACUGAAAUCAUCAAAAACAUAUGGGACGUGGUUGUCAUGAUUGAAGAAAGGAACGUGAUAUAGUUACAAUAACCGAAAUCACCUAAAACAUAUGGAAAGAAUGGGACGCGGUCGCCAUGACCGAAAUCACCUAAAACAAAUGGGACGCGGUGAUAAUGACCGAAAUCACCUAAAACAUAUGGGACAUGGUCACAAUGACUGAAAUCACCUAAAACAUACGAAGGACGGGACACAGUUGCCAUGACCGAAAUCACCUAAAACAGAUGGGAUGAGGUCACAAUGACCGAAAUCACUUGAAACAUAUGAGACGUGAUCACCAUGACCAAAAUCACCUAAACUAGAUGGGAAGGAUAGGAUGCGGUCACCAUGACUGAAAUCACUUAAAACAUACGGGAUGUGGUCACAAUGACAUAAAUCAUCUGAAACAUAUGAAUGACAGGACGUGGUCGCCAUGACCGAAAUCACCUAAAACAGAUGGGAUGCAGUAGCAAUGACCGAAAUCACCUAAAACAUACGAAGGAUGGGAUGCGGUCACCAUGACCGAAAUCACCUAAAACAGAUGAGACGUGGUCAUAAUGACCAAAAUCACCUUAAACAUAUGAAGGACGGGACACAAUUACCAUGACUGAAAUCACCUGAAACAUAUGAGAUACGGUCGCAAUGAUCGAAAUCACCUGAAACAUACGAAGGACGGGAUGCGGUUGCCAUUACCGAAAUCACCUAAAACAGAUGGGACGCGGUCGCAAUGACCGAAAUCUCCUAAAAUAGAUGGGACGUAAUCGCCAUGACCGAAAUCACCUAAAAUAGAUGGGAAUGACGGGAUGCGAUCACCAUGACUGAAAUCACCUAAAAUAAAUAGGACGUGAUCGCAAUGACAUAAAUCACCUGAAACAUAUGAAGGACGAGACGCGAUCGCCAUGACUAAAAUCACCUAAAACAGAUGGGACGUGGUCUCAAUGAUCGAAAUCACCUGAAACAUACGAAGGAUAGGACACGGUCGUAAUAACUGAAAUCACCUAAAACAUAUGGGACGAGAUCGUAAUGACCAAAAUCACCUAAAAUAGAUGAGACAUCGUCGCAAUGACCGAAAUCACAUAAAACAGAUGAGAUGUUGUCGUCGUAACCGAAAUCAUUUAAAACAGAAGGACGCGGUCGUCAUGACCGAAAUCACCUAAAACAGAUGGGACGCAGUCGUUAUUAUUGAAAUCACCUAAAACAAACUGGAUGCGGUCGUCAUGACCGAAAUCACCUAAAAUAGAGAGGACGCGGUCGUCAUGACUAAAAUCACCAAACUAAAGGAAUGAACGGGACACGGUCACCAUGAUAGAAAUCACCAGACUGAAGAAAAGAACAGGACACGGUUGUAAUGACCGAAAUCACCUAAAACAGACGGGACGCGGUAACCAUGACUGAAAUCACUUAAAACAUAUGGGAAUGAAUGAGACGCGCUCGUAAUGAUCGGAAUCACCAAACUAUAGGAAAGAACGGGAUGCGUUCACCAUGACCGAAAUCACUUAAAACAGAAGGAAAGAUGGAACGCAACCUCAAUGACUGAAAUCACCUAAAAUAGACAGGACGUGGUCACCAUGAUCGAAAUCAUCUAAAACCAAGGAAAAGACAAAAAUGUGACCAAUCAUAUAAGGUGUGGUCUAUGCUAAAGAUAAGACUGAACUGACAUGAUGAUGAUCCGACCAAAUGACUCAAAACCAAAGGAUAUUGGAGAUAGCGAUGCAAACAUACUUGACAUAGAAGAGGAUAUUCCCUAGUAUGACAACCUAUAAGAAUCGACAACUAGAUCAAAAUGCAAUAAAGUCUACUAAAGAUCUGGUGAUCUCAAAGAAGGGGGUAUGCCCCAAUAUGAGCCUCGUAAGGGUCGACAACUAUGUCUAAAGGUAAUGAAACUUGCUGAAGGUCUAAUGAACUCAAACAAGGGGGGUAUGCCCCAGUAUGUGCUGGUGAAAAGAUUGAGAUGUGGAAUGUUACAAGAACUGCUAUACUUUGGGAUAUGUUCAUCAACCAUGUAAUGAAGAUGUCCAACCUCAAAUGGGAAUGCCAAACAUGACCAUGUAUUGAGAUACCGUGCUGACAAACAAAACGGAUUGGUGGACAAAAAAAUAAUGAUGACUAAUACACAAAAUGCAAAAUGCAAGUAAGUUAAAACUCAACAUGUUAAUUGUCAAAAUGAAAGCAUCGUCACUAAAAAAAAAAUUGUAAUAUGUUAAGCCAUGUUAUCAUGGAAAAUAUUGAACUCAAAGUCCAAAAGGUACAUGAAAGCUCGACUAGGGAAGUCGAGGAUUGGUUUACAUCCUUCCCUAAUCCAGAGAGUAAGGUGUGAGGUCAUGUGUCAUCGUGAAAUGUAUGAGCCAAAAGAAGGAAAAUACCGGUCAAACUCUAAUAGGAUAGAUAUAAGCAUGAAGGCAUCGAGAGUGGAAUGUCUGGGUGUGAAAUGUAAAGGAGGUAGGUAUCCGAGAUCAUCCAAGUGUGCUGAGGAGACUAAACCCAAGGUGUCACCAAACCCAUGAUCCAUCAAAAUCCUCCAUCAAAUGAUUAUGCCUCAAGGGAAUAGUUUCUAAAGGACUUUUUUUUUAAUUAUUUUUUAUGCAUUAAUUAUUUCAAGUCAAAGAGAGAGACAUUUUAUUUCAAACCAGUUCAUUGCAAUGGAAUCAAACUAAUAUUUUUCUAAGAUAGUGAAAUAAUUUUUUAAUUUAGAAAACACAUUUAAUAUAAUAAACAAUAAAAAAAGGAGGAAAAAUGUCAAUAAACAAUAAAAUAAAAUUAUUUGAAGAUAUAAUAAAUAACUUAAAGUGAGUCAUAUUCUUUGAAAAUAAAUUUUUAUUUAUUUUAUCAAACAAAUUAAUUGUGAUAAAUUGUUAUUACAAAAGUGAAUUUAAAGGAUUUAAAAAUCAAAUCCGAGUCAAAAUAUUUGGUUUUUUCUAUUCACCUAAAAGUAACCUAUUGAUAUCUGUCAAUAUAAUUAAAUUAAAACUAUUAAUAACAAGUUUAUUUUAAUUAUGUUGAUUGAUAUCAAUAGGUCAAUAUAUAUAUUUUGUUAGAACAUUUUAUGUAUUGACAAUUUUAUUUAAUUCUUAUAUUAUAAUUUUUAAAAAUCAUUCAUUCGAGAUGUUACGUUAUUGGAUAUAAGUUUUUUCAUAUAUAUAUAUAUAUAUAAGCCCAUAAAAUAUAUAUAUAUAUAUAUAUAUAUAUAUUUAUCUUGAUUAAUUAAUUGACUCCAUUUUCAUAAGUUUUUUUUUUGUCUGCUUUUUUAGUGGCUUGGGAUUGGUUUGGUUAAUCUUGAUUUUGAUGAUAACAAAACAAGGUUUAGAACUAAUAAUCAUAUUUCAAGUGUGAUUAGGCAAGAUGAUUUCCAAAGUGGCAAUCACAAAGACAAAUUAAGCCAAGGAGAAAUCAUGAAGAAGAAGACCACCUCAAAGAGAAGAGUUUUUCAAGACCAAAGCUUUUUAAGAUCUCUUUGUAAGGUUGUUGGUGCACUAGGACUUUCAUGCAUUUCAUUAUUUAUUUAUGCACCAAAAUCAUCCAAGAGUAAUAUUGUUUUAAAUAUCUUAAAAAUUGGAUGAUUUCAUAUUUUCAACUAAAACCUUGUGUUAAAUGAUUUUCAAACUUGUGUUAAAAGGUUUUAAGUUGAAAAAGGUUGUGUUGAGCUAAAAAAAUGGCUCAACAGAUUCAACCGAUCGAGGAUCGGUUGAGGGAGGCCAAAAAGUUUCUCUCUCUCCCAGUGACCUUCUCUUCCCGGUCAAGGUUGAACCUCAACCGGUUAAGGUCCGGUCAAGGUUCGGUUGAGGUCCGGUUGAGACCCAACGGUCACUUUUCCUAACGGUUAGUCAACCGGUCGAACCCUUAACGGCUAGUUUGACUUUUUUCUUCUAUAAAAAGGCUCCAAUCUUCAUUGUUUCAUGAACUUAACCUUCCCAAAUCAUUCUUGAUUAUAUUUGAGCCUUGGAAGAGUGUUUUUGAGUGCACCAUUGUUUCAUAACUUGCAUAUCUUUAGUGUACCAUUCAAUCAUAGUUUUUCUUUUAUCUUUGAGCCUAAAAUUCUAUUACUAGGAUUUUUGUGAGAUCAUUAUUUGUAUAUCUUUGUGAGGAAAUUUCUCAAGUGAGGGGUAUCACUUGAGAGGUUAUUCAAGAGAGAGAUAUCUCUUGAAGAAGUGUAAAGAGUGCUUGGAGCCAAAAGUCCAAGAUGGUGAAUUGGAACCAUAAUCCAAUUGUAAAGAGAUUGGAAGUUUGGUUGAAGCUUCAAGAUAGUGGAACCCUUACUCAGUUAGGAGGUUGAGGAGAGUGGAUGUAGGCAAGGAAGUGUCGAACCACUAUAAAUUCUCGUGUUUGCACUCUCUCUUCCCUAACUCUUUUAAAUUAUAUGCAAUUGUGUUUAUUUUGUUUAUUAUAUAUUUGCAUAUAAUUUUCUCUUAUUUUUGCAUAAUUUAAAUUUGUGAAAAAGAGACCAUCACCCUAUUUACCCCCCCAGGGUGAUUACCAUAGUUUGGAUUUGCCUCAAAUUCCUAACAUAUAUAUAUAUAUAUAUAUUUUCUUUAGAAAACAAAAAAGAAUAAUAAUUUUUAUAUAAAAUAUUUGAUGAACUUAAAAUAAUUUUUAGAAGCCAUUAAAAAUUCUUAUAUUUUAUAAGAGUUACUAUUAUUUUUAAACAAAAUCUUAAUUAUUAAGUUCAUUUUGAAAAAUGAAUUACAUGUGAUGUGAUGAAGGUUGUUGAUAUCUCGCGCUCCUGGUGCUCCACGUAGUUGCCAAAUGGAAAGACACGCGACCUCAACACACAAAGGUUCUUGAUUCAGUCGUUAUACCUGCAAAAGGCAUCCGGACAGGGUGUCCAAACGCACCCUCCGAUGGUUUUGUUAGCCAUGGUUAGAGAGGGAGAUAUAAAUCAGUUGGCCUUUUGCUAGCUCUUAGGAGAUUACCUUCCUCUUCGUGUGAAGGUUUAUAUAUAGUGCCAGGAAUACUAUUCCUCUUAUUAAUGGUGGGGAGAUAUUUUAUGUUGUCAUGAUGACAUUAGAUGGCAGCAUGGCCAUCAUCACCCUACAGGUGGCUGAUAGGGAUCGUGGCAGGUGAUGCGGCUGUUAGAGAUCGUGGGAAGUGACCAUGCGGAAUGAUCAUAGGAAGUGACUUGUUGUCACUUCAUCUUGUCCUCUCACCCUGCAGGCGCCGGAAUGUGGGCCAUGACAGGCUGUUGUGGUAACGUGUGAGACUUGCUUACUUCAGUCAAUGAUCCGGACCACUUUAUCCGGAUGACAUAUGUUGAUCAUCCGGAUGUAUUGUGUGAGUCGUCCGGAUGAUAUAUUUAUAAGUGUCGUUUGAUCUUCCUUGAGGUAGUCCGGAAAAGCAUGCCAUGUGUGUUUUAUAGGAAGAUCCGGAUGAGGGUGACCCGAAUGACAAUGCGUGCCAUGUGUCACUGUAAGAUGCGUGCCACGUGCUGUCGGAGGGAGGGGUCCCUACAAUGCCCCCCUUUUUAACUUGCCUAUUUUGCCCGAGCAAAAAUGGGCGGGUUAAAAAAUAAUUGGUUUUUGAAACCGAAAUCGACUUUUUGUCUGGUUGGGCCACGUGGCGAGUGGGGGUGCAGGAGCCAAAAAGGCAUUUAUGAUGAGCCGCCGACUCUGGGUAUUCCCAGGCAGCAUGUCGUUUUAAUGAUGGCGUUUGUUGGGCGUUUGGCUUUCCGAGGGGCUGUCUCCUUAUAAAUAGCAUACUGUGCCCACUGUUGCUUUUUUCCUACUGCGUUUUUUCUGAGAUUGCUUUCUUCUUCAACCUUGUGCGUACCUUUGCUUCUUAUUCCUUCUGCUUUUUCUGAGUGAAACCCUAGAAUUUCCUGACGGUGAUUUGUUGCGUUUUGACGGUGUUUGCCUUGCGAUUUGCAACCCUUGCUUUUCUCUUACAUUCGGUACGUAUUCCUCGUGCCUUGUUCUUCUCUUUUCUGCACUUUGGUGUUGUUGGUUUGUUGCUGGUUUGUUUUAAGGGUUUCGAUUGCCCCCCUGCGUUUCUUGUGGGUUGGGGGUUUCUUGUUGGGGUAAAGUCAAGGAUUUUGGGAUGGGUACAUUGGUGGUGCGAGGUUUUCUGAGUGUUGGUAUUGUUUAGGGUUUGCGAGUUUUUGGAUUGCUGUGUUUGACUGUUGCACUUUUUGCAUGUAGGUUUCGAUUCAACCUCGGGCUAAAAAAUGUCUUCAAAGCAGAAAACUACUUCAUCUGUCCGCGCCGGCGACGCUCAUGAGAAAUCUACAGACAAACUGAGCGUAAAGGAGUUUCGGGAUCGAUUCUGUAUCCCAAAUGGCGUAAUCGUGGAAUUUCUGAAUGAGGGGGAGGAUGUCGUCUCUAUUGAGAAAGCUGAACAAGAUGCCAUCAUCUUCUCAAAGGAACAAUUCAACGCGGGGCUCCGGUUCCCUCUGCCGGUGUUGUUAAAGGAAUUCCUCCAUUUCACCCAGAUUCCCCCCGCCCUCAUUCAUCCCAACAUCGUGCGGGUGCUGAUGGGAUGCAGCAUCAUAAACAUGCUAUACAACCUCGACCUCACGCUGCUGGAGGUGUUUUUUGUUUAUUCUCUGAAGAAGGUAAAAAAUGACAUCUUCAGCAUGUCCGCUCACCUGCCCUCCCUUCAAUUGGUGACGGAGCUGCCGGACUCCACGAAGAGAGGGGCGAAGGGACUCGUGGUAGUCCGGGGUGCAUGGGCGGGGUCGAAGCACCCGGCGAGGCCUUUCUCUCCAAACUACUCCUCAGUGAUUCCGGGUAAGUUUGCUUUGCCAUUUUUGUCCGGCUUUUACUUUGUUGUCUUUUGUUGAUUUUUUCGGACGAUAUUCUCAUCCUUUGUUGCUGCCAAUGCAGGUCCGGAAAAAAUGGGUCACAUCGUGGAUUGGGUGGAAAAGGCGUCUUUUGCCUGUCUCAACAAAUUAUUUGAGAUAGACGCCAAGGAGAGGCACUACAAGACGCUGCUUUCUGCGCGGAAUCUAAUGGCGGUCGUCCAGGAGUCUCAGGAAUAUGUCAUCAAUAUUCUCCCCAGGAAGCUGCCAUAGGAGGUAGUGCCUGGGGAGCAUUAUACUGUGAAGGAUCUUCCUAUCUAUCAGAAGGUGAAAGAAGCCGAUGCUGAGAAACGUCGAGCCCUCCUUGAUGAUAGGGAGAAGAGAAAAAACGAGGGGACUUUUCGGAAGGCUCCCGGACAGAAGCGCAGCCUCCCCUCCACUGAAAGCUCCAACGAAAAAGAGGAAGCUGGUGAAGAAUGGGAAGGGAGUGAAAGAGCCCACUCCUCCCAAGGAAUUUGUUCCUCCGCCUAUUACUCAUGCGGCGGAGGUAAUAAUAGAGGAGCCAGUGAACCCUGCCCCCCACUCUAUUUCAAGUGGCCCCGGACACGUCGUGGGGCUGAACCAUUCGGGGCCCUCCAUGUCGGUGGAUGCUCGCCUGGCUAUUGUGGCCAAGGAAGCUGUGUCUAUAAACAUUCCCGGUUCUCCCCAUCAGGAUGCUGCUGCAACUGAGGCCGUUUGUGCGACCCCGAUGGAGGAAGCAGGGGCAGAAAGUCAGAGUCAGCCCUCUGACGAUCCGGACCGUCUGGCUCUUGUUCUGGUGAAGGGGCCACCUUCAAAGAGGCCCCGUUCGGCGCGCAAUCUGAGAUCCGGACUCAUCGGGCGGCUUCAAGAUCGUCAGCAAGAGAUUGAAGUUAGUUGUUCAUCCGCCCACGACACUCAUCCGGAGGAGGGCGAAGUAGAGAUAGCAACUGAGACGUCAGCCGCCCCGGUGAUGGUCCCGGAUGAGGUUGCACCCGGGGAGAACCAUCCGGCCGUAAAUGUUGAGGCCCCGAAUCCGGAACAAGAGUCGCCUUCUAUCGUCUCAUCAGGUGGGAAUCUUGUUAAUGACGCGACUUGUACAUCCGCUAGCCCUUUUAGCUACGCGGAGUUGGAAGAUAAGCUGAAACAGAUUCCACCCGGCUUGACUACUAUAAUACCCUCAGCCAAGAUGUUCGAGAUGGUGGAAACGAUAUACUGUUUUUGCGCUUCUAGGUUCUUUGUCAUUCUGAUAACUUUGUGGUGUGAUUUAUAACUUUGUUUUUCUUGCUUGUGUGCUUGGAUGCAGUUGGUGAGUGGUCUCCGCGGCAUGGCCCAACAACAUGAUCUUUUCACUGACCUGCUGCGGACCAUUGAUUAUAUGAAGACCUUUGCCUCUUGGCGCAAAGAUAGUGAAAACCAAUUGCGCCUUAGACUGGAGGAGGCUGAAGCCAGCUUAUCCACUGUUCGAGAGGACAAUGAAGCCCUUCGGGCGGAUUUGGCUGAGGCUACGAUCCGGGAGGAAUCAACGAUUGCCCGCCUGCAUGAGGCAGAGGAUGAGAUGGCCCGGCUGAGGGGGGAGGUGAGGCAACUCCGGACUGAGGCUUCAAUUGAAAAGAAGCAGAAAGAAGAUUUGCAGCUGCGCUUAACAGCGCAAAAAGAAGAGCUAGAGCGAGAGUUUGCUGCAGAGAGGGAGGAGCUUGAAGCGGACUAUAAAAAACAAGUGGAUGAUACGUUCAUCUUCGGCUAUUGCUGCUGUAUGAAGAAGAACGGCAUAAAACGAAUUGUCCCUUCAAUUCCUCCAGGUGAAGAGAAGAAACUUUAAACCUGCUCCCUGAUAGUUUUUUUCUUUUUGCAAUUUUUCUUGUAAUCUUCUUUCUGUAUUUCUUGUGGUCCGGAGACCUCCUUGUACAUACAUUUACAUAUAUCAAUAAAAUACUUCUUUUUUCCAUUUGUACUUGUCUUGCUUUUCAUUGGUAGUACUGUUUUAAAUUGGACACAUUCCAUGGUCUAAGUAACGGAGUUCCGUCUAACUUUUGUAAAUGAUAGGCUCCACUUUCACUUGCCUUAGAUACUAUAUAGGGUCCUUCCCAGUUAGCUUGAAACUUCCCUGCGCCCACUUCAGCAGUGUUUUCAAAAAAAUUUCUAAAGACUAGCGUACCAUUUUUGAAGCUUCUGGGCUUUACUUUGCGAUUGUAAUGGGCGGAUGCUCUUUGUUGAUAGUCUGCCAUCCGGAUGGCUGCACUUUCUCUUACUUCAUCCGUCCAAUCCAAGUUUCUUCCUAAUUCCGUGUUUGCAUCAUCCUGCUUUGCUGCGUCAGUCCGGAUAGUAGGAAGACCUAUUUCAGUAGGAAUGACUGCGUCCAUUCCAUAUGCGAGGGCGAAAUGAGUGUUUCCUGUUGGUCGUCCGGGUGUGGUUCGAUAGGCCCAUAGGACGCCGGGUAGCUCCUCUACCCACUUCCCUUUGGCUUGUUCAAGCCUUUUCUUUAGGGCAGUGAUUAGGGUUUUGUUUGUGGCUUCUGCUUGCCCAUUACUUUGAGGAUAUCGUGGUGUGGAGUAUGAAUUCCGGAUGUUCAGCUCCGAACAGAAAUUCCUGAAUGCAAUACUGUCAAAUUGUGGACCAUUGUCAGCUAUGAUGGUUUGGGGGAUUCCAAAACGACAAACAAUGUUUUUCCAUACGAACUUUGUGACAUCUUUGUCUUUGAUGCUAGCAUAUGCUUCAGCUUUCACCCACUUACUGAAAUAAUCAGUGGCGACAAGGAAGAACUUUUUCUGGGCAGGCGCUGCCGGGAGGGGUCCCACUAUGUCCAUGCCCCAUUGCGCAAAGGGUCAUGGGCCUGAGAUUGAUUUCAACGUUGCUGAUGGCAUAUGUGGAAUGAGAGCAUACCUUUGACAUUUAUCGCAUUUUUUGACAUAGGCUGCCGCGUCUUGCUUCAUUGUUGGCCAAUAGUAUCCUUGCGAAUGGGCUCUAUGUGCCAGAGAUCGUCCUCCGGAAUGAUUCCCGCAUAUUCCCUCAUGCAACUCAGCUAACACAUACUGGGCCUCUGGAUGCCCUAGGCACUGAAGGUAAGGUCCUAUGAAGGAUCGCUUGUACAUGUGCCCCCCAAUCAGGGUGAAACGGGCAGCUUGCACCCGGAUUUUGUGUGCCUGUUUGGGAUCUCCGGGUAGAGUGCCUGUCCGGAGAUAUUCUGCAAUAUUGUCCGUCCACUCUUGGUUGCUUACUUGGGUUGCCUCAAUGGUAUUGCAAGUGGAGUUCCCUGUGACAGAGGGGUUGGUUUGCACAUGUAUAGGCAACAUAAUGGCUUCUUUGAUAGGGAGGGAGGCAGCUAUGCCGGCCAAGGCGUCAGCGCGCCUAUUGUCAGCUCGCUUGAUUUUUUCGAUUGUCCAUUCGGUGAAUUGCUGCAAGGUGUUUCUUACUUUAGCUAAGUAUCGCGCCAUGCGUGCUUCCUUAGCCUCAUAUUCCUUCUGGACAUGCCCUACCACGAGUUGUGAGUCGCUGUAUAUCCGGAGUCUGGAGACGGAUAGAGCAAGGGCGAGGUCCAAUCCGGACAAGAUGACCUCAUAUUCUGCUUCAUUGUUAGAGGCAGAGAAUCCCAGCCGGAUGGCUUGCUCCAAAUGUUCCCCAGUUGGGGACUAUAGUAGGAGCCCAACUCCAGAGCCUGAUGAGCGUGAGGCUCCGUCCACUCGCAGAGUCCACCACUCUUGUUUACUUGAUUCGUGGUGUUGGCUGGGUUUUCGGGAAUAUUCUAGCACGAAGUCAGCCAUUACUUGGCCUUUCAUGGACAAUCUGGGUUGGAAUUCGAUUCCAAACUCGCUCAAUUCAAUGGCCCAUUGUAGCAUUCUCCCGGUCAAAUCUGGCUUGUGCAGAAUGUUGCGAAAGGGCUGGUCAGUUAGUACGAUCACUAGAUAAGCUUGGAAAUAAGGGCGGAGCUUCUGGGCAGCGCUUCGAAGGGCUAAGGCUGUUAGCUCCAUUUUUGAGUAUCUGGUUUCUACGUUUGCCAAUGCCCUGCUGACGUAAUAGAUAGGUUUCUGCUCCUUGGGUGAGGGGCAGCGGAAUAGAACGGCGCUGAUUGCCCAUUCUGAUACCGCCAAAUACAUGUACAAUUUCUCCUUUGGGAUGAGGCUGCUCAAGUUGGGUGGUUGCAUAAGACAAUGCUUAAUCUUUUCGAAAGUGUUUUGGCAACUGUUCGUCCAUUCGUGCGCUCCAGCUUUUUGUAUUGCCAAGAAGAAGGGUCGCAAUUCAUCAGUGAAGCGGGCUAUAAAACGCCCUAGUGCGACGAGCUUGCCUGUGAGCCGUUGUAGCUCCUUCUUGUUCCUGGGAGGGGGUGUUUCCAUGACUGCCUUGACUUGAUCUGGGCUGACUUCUAUGCCCCUUUGGUUGACCAUAAAUCCUAGAAAUUUGCCAGCACUUACGCCAAAGGCGCAUUUAGAAGGAUUUAGCUUCAUGUCAUACUUUCGUAAGAGGUGAAAAACUUCUUGUAAGUGAAGGACAUGCUGCUCUCGGGUUUCGCUUUUAACCACGAUAUCAUCAAUAUAUACCUCUACGGUGUGGCCUAUAAGAGGUUUGAAGAUUUUAGUCAUCAAUCUCUGGUAAGUGGCGCCAGCAUUUUUGAGUCCGAAUGACAUGACUUUGUAGCAAUAGAGGUCGUGUGGCGUUAUGAAUGCUGUCUUUUCUUCGUCAUCCGAGGACAUGGGAAUCUAGUGAUAUCCAGAGAAGGCAUCCAAGAAAGAGAGCAUCCCUUGCCCGGAAGUGGAAUCCACAAUUUGAUCUAUUCGCGACAAGGGAAAACUGUCUUUUGGACAUGCAUUGUUGAGAUUGGUGUAAUCUACACAAACUCACCAUUUUCCUUCUUUUUUGGGUACCACCACUACGUUUGCCAACCAAUCCGGAUAAGCCACUUCUCUGAUGAAUCCGGCUUCCAGCAAUUUGUCAAUCUCAUUCCGGAUGACUUUUUGUCUAUCGGGGUGAAAGCGUCUAAUUUUCUGUCGGACGGGUCUGGCAGUUGAAAAGACGUUAAGCCUGUGAGAUGCAAUAGAAGGAUGAAUUCCCUCUAUAUCAGAAUGUGCCCAUGCGAAGAUGUCACGGUUCUGUCUGAGAAUGUUUUGCAUGCUCUGAGUUUCUUCGAUUGUCUUGAGGGAACUGAUGUUCGUGAGGUGAGUGGUUUCCUCCGAAAUUUGGAUUGUUUGUAAGGGAUCUGCUGCCGGGGGAUCUUUGUCCGCCGGACCCAAUAAUUGCUAUUGGUCAUGUGCAUGGCUGGGUUCAGGGGGAGAUGCAUCCUCCUGGUUGGCCCCUGCUUCUUGUGCUAUCUGAUAGCACUGGCGAGCGGCCAGCUAGCUGCCAUAUAAGUCAAUUUGCCCAUUGUUGGUGAGGAAACUCACCAUUUGAUGAUAUGUAGAGGGGAUGGCUUUCAUGUAAUGUAGCCAUGUGCGCCCCAAGAUGAUAUUGAAGGGUGAUAACUCUUGUACCACUGAGAAUUGUACGUUGAGAGUGACUGGGCCUGCUUGGACCGGCAGUACAAUGUCUCCCAAGGACAUAGUUGAUGACCCGUUGAAUCCGGACAGGAUUCGUCCGGGGUUUUCAAGACCUAUGAGAGUGUGUCCCAUGUGGAUGACGACCGACGCUUGUAUAAGAUCGGCCGAGCUGCCUGGGUCAACCAAGAUGCGUCUCACCUCGAAGUCCCCUAUUUCUAGGGACAAGAUGAGGGCAUCGCGAUGUGGCUGCAGUGUCCGGGUGGGGUCAACUGGUGGGAAAAUAAUUGUCCCAUCUAUGGGGUGAGGACCCCCUCCGGUGAGCCCAGGGCGGAUGGAGUUGAUGCGUUCGCGUGUUGAUGCGGCACGCAACAACCUCUGUCUUUUUCGCCUAGAGUUAUAUUCCUUGUUAGAUGGACCCCCGUUAAUAUAGUUUAUAACGACCUUGGGGGCAGCUGGGGCCCUGGGGGCUCCAGAGUUGCGAUUUUGGGGAACGUCUCUUCCCCCAGCAUCUGAGCGGAGGUAUUGCUUUAGAUGUCCUGCCUUGAUGAGCUUCUCGACCAAGAAAUGGAGGCACCUGCAUGUCUCUGUCGUGUGACCGUGUUCCUUGUGGAAGGCACAUCUCUUGCUAUGAUCCCUUGUAGAUGGGUCUGUUCCUUGGGGUCUUGGCCACCUAAAGUCAGACAAGCCUUGGAUCAUAGGGAGAAGUUUUUCAUAUGAUAUGAAGAGAGGUGUGAGAGGCGGCCUUUUCGGGCGACUUGGCCCUUCGUGCCUUCGGUCAGACGGUUUUGGCCGAUCCGGCGGUUUAGUAUUUCUCUCCCAUCACCUCUAGAUGGCCGUCCGGCAACCAAAACUUGCUGGGUGGCUGCACGUACGUCAUCUUUGAGCAUUGAAUAUUUGUUGGCUCGUCUGAACAAGUCGUCCAUCGUCGUAAGAGGCUUUUUGGCCAGUGAUUCGAAAAAUGGAGUGCCUGGACAGAUGCUUCGCUUGAAGAUCUGCAGAACAACAUCCAUGCUGCAAGCCUCUACUUGAAGUACGGCUUGGCCAAAUCGCUUCACAAAUUCCCUCAAGGAUUCGUUAUCUUGCAUUUUUAUGUUCUGUAGGGUGCUGAUAUUUUGCUUGUGUCGAGCGGAGCACAAGUAUUGUCCCACGAAAGCUUCGGACAAGUCCCUGAAAUUGCCAACAGAAUCAGGAGGUAGGCGAUGAAACCAUGAGAGGGCCUGCCCCUGUAGGCUGGCGGGGAACACCUUGCAUAGUAGUGCAUCGUUGCCAAUAUCGAGCGUCAUGAGCUGUCGAUAAUGCAUGAUGUGAUUGAAGGGAUCGUUGGUUCCAUCGUAUGUGGAAAAUUUUGGUACGAGGAAUCCCCUUAGGGGCUCGUAAUGGAUGAUGUGAGAGUAGAAAGGCGUGGAGAGUAUGUCAUCCAACCUCUUGCUGAUGGAGCCAAUGGGUGGCUCAUUUGGGAGGUUUCUCCCAGCUUGUUGUACCGCUAGGUGCGGGUGAACGUUCCGCAUCACGGGGGUGACGAUGAGGUCACGAUGCAGGUGUACGUUCUGCACCAUGGGGGUGACUAUAGGGUCAGGGCGUGGUGCCCAGGUUGUGGCUACUGGUGGCCUUGAUCUUCCAGGCUCUUGGGGGCCUAGUCUUGCGCGCAUUGAAUUUGACAACUGAGAUCUUCUAUCGCGUUGUCUUUUCGCCGAAAAGUGAGUAGAGUCUGAGCUUUCCUCACGGGGAGCUCGGGGCAUAGGCGUGUGUGGCUCAUGAGGCCUUACGUUGCAUGCUCCUGGGAUGGCUCCUGUUGUCCCAGGAUAUAUUGACUCUGGUUCUUGUUGAGGCCUUGAGUUUGCUACUUGGCCUCUUGAACGCUGACGUCGAGGAGGCCCUGAUGUUGAAGCCUGGAUGCGUAACACAACGUUUUCUUCUCUCAAUCUUUCUGUCUCCUGGAGGAGAGCUUUUAGUUGUCGUUCGCUUGCCAACUGUCUCUUUUCGAUGGUUUGACGCCAUUCAAAAUCAUCUUCCUCUCCCCUACCAGAUGAAUGGCUUCGGGAAGGUGUGGCCAUCUUCGCUAGUGACUGAAUCAAAAUAAAAAAGUUUUCCCACAGACGGCGCCAAUGUUGAUACCUCGCACUCCUGGUGCUCCACGUAGUUGCCAAAUGGAAAGACACGCGACCUCAACACACAAAAGUUCUUGAUUCAGUCGUUAUACCUACAAAAGGCAUCCGGACAGGGUGUCCGGAUGCACCCUCCGAUGGUUUUGUUAGCCAUGGUUAGAGAGGGAGAUAUAAAUCAGUUGGCCUUUUGCUAGCUCUUAGGAGAUUACCUUCCUCUUCGUGUGAAGGUUUAUAUAUAGUGCCAGGAAUACUGUUCCUCUCAUUAAUGGUGGGGAGAUAUUUUAUGUUGUCAUGAUGACAUUAGGUGGCAGCAUGGCCAUCAUCACCCUACAGGCGGCUGACAGGGAUCGUGGCAGGUGAUGCGACUGUCAGAGAUCGUGGGAAGUGACCAUGCGGAAUGAUCAUAGGAAGUGACUUGUUGUCACUUCAUCUUGUCCUCUCACCCUGCAGACGGCGGAACGUGGGCCAUGACAGGCUGUUGUGGUAACGUGUGAGACUUGCUUACUUCAGUCAAUGAUCCGGACCACUUUAUCCGGAUGGCAUAUGUUGAUCAUUCGGAUGUAUUGUGUGAGUCGUCUGGAUGAUAUAUUUAUAAGUGUCGUUUGAUCUUCCUUGAGGUAGUCCGGAAAAGCAUGCCAUGUGUGUUUUAUAGGAAGAUCCGGAUGAGGGUGACCCGGAUGACAAUGCGUGCCAUGUGUCACUGUAAGAUGCGUGCCACGUGCUGUCGGAGGGAGGGGUCCCUACAAAGGUGGCAUUUUAGAAUAUUAGACUUUGUCAAUACAUAUGUUGGUGGUUUUUCUUGGAAUUUUUAACUCAAUGUCACUAUGUAUUAUGAACAAAUUUUCACGCCAAUUAUCACCUACUUCUAUGGCUUUUUGCUCCAAGGAACCUUGCACCAAAAUUGUAGGCUUGUUUGCCAAAGAAAAACAUGAUUUUAGGUAUGUUUCGAAAAGGUUAUUAAGAAUAGAAUUUUAUUUGAGAAUUUAAAUAUGAAAAAUAGUUUUUUCAAAUUAUUUUUUGUAAAGGCAUUAUAUAACUUUUUAUAAUAUAAAAGUCUUUAAAGUAUUUUUCAUGCUUUUUGUUAAUUACUUAAAACAUUUUAUAAAAAAAAUAAAAAUAAUUCAAUAAAAAUAACUUAUUUUAGAAUAAAUUCUCAAAACAUUCAAAUAUAUUUUUUAAAAUAGAAAAUUGGUUUUUAUACUACAAAACAAAAAAUAGUUUUCAAAAACAAUUUAUGAAUAAGCUUUAAAGAUUAGUUUGAUUUAGAAAAAAUUGAAGAAAAAAAUAUAAGGAAAUAAAAUGUGUUUCUCUUAUCUAGAUGUUUAUGAAAAAACCUAAGAAAGAAAAUUAAAGUCUUGUUUGGUAAUUAUUUUUAAAAACGGUUCUAAAAAAUAGUUUUUAAAAAUUGGUUUUUAAUGUUUUGUAAAACAAAAGUUUGUUUGAGAGUCUGAAAUAUUUUUAAUUUAUUUUUAAUAUUUUUAAAAAUAAUUUUUAUCAUGUAUAGUUAUUUUUUAAAACAACUUUAAAAAAAAUGAAAACAACUAAAAAUAAUUAAAAAUAUUAUUUAAAAAUACUAUAUUUUCUGAUUGUUAAACGUGUUUUCUAUUUUUUUUUUUUCAAAUAGAAAACUAUUUUUGAAAAUAAUUAUCAAACAUGUCCUAAAUCAUUAAAGAAUGUGUUUUCUUUAAUUUUUUUUAUUCAUUCUUAUAUAAGAAAAAUAAGGACAGAAAUCUUUUGAGUAUUUUUCUUUUUUUCUUUUUGAAAUAUUGUUUAAUCUGUUUGUUUUUUGUUUUUUUUUUUUUUUGUUUGAAUGAAACAAUCAAGUAUUAGAUUUUUUUUUUUUUUGUUACUUUUCAAGAACCAAAUAUAACACACCGUUAGAAGAGAUUUUUGUCUAUUAAAAUAAUCAGAUACUAUUGUUAGUAUGAAUACAUUUAAAUAUGUUUGAAAUCUGUAUAAAAGUUGAUCUAGAAUAAGACUAUAAUGCAAACUUUGAAUUUCAAUAUUUUUUUAAAAAAAAUUCUUAUGUAAACAUAAUAUUAAAAUAAGACUUAAUAUAAAAAAACAUCUAGCAAGACUUUAGAAAAGAAGAAGAAUGUUUGUCUAAGUAUAAAUCUACUUCUUUGGGAUAUGUAGGAAAUAAUAUACCAAAGAGUCAAUGAAUAAUAUUGUUCAUACUUCAUGCCCAAGGAGUCAAUCAAUAAUUCAUAACUCAUGGUAGUCAAAAUCUCCCCCUACCUCUCACCAGACUACUACUGAAAUGUGUGCCAUACAAAAAUGUCUAUAUCUUCAUUAUCUGAAAUUAGAUCUCUUUUCCAUUUGACAAUAAAAUCGACUCUUUCAAAAAAUCAGAAGAGGGAGAUUUUAAUUCAAAACGCAAAAACGGACAUAUUUAUGGUGUUAGGUGAAACAUUAACUUUUGAUAUUGAGAUUGGAAAUAGACAAGUUUUAAUUUCAAGAUGAAGAGUUGGGUGUAUUUUUUGUAGAAUUAGAGUGGGUAUGUUAGAGAAAUAGAGAUGAUGUGCUUCAAAUAAUAAUGAUAGGAUAUACUAGUCAAUAUGAGGACACGUUUUAAUUUAAAUUGAAAGAAAAAUAUUAUAAGUUAUAUAUAUAUAUAUAUAUAUAUAUAUAGUGUAAUUUGGACCAACAAACCUUAAAUAUUAUUAAAGAUAUGAAAAUAACAUUGAAAAAAAAAAUGAGACCCAAAUAUAAAGAAAUCAGAUUUAAAUAAUGUCCUUUUUUUUUAUUACAUUUUGAUAAUAAUACCUUCUUUUUUUUCUUAUAAAAAUAACUAUUUAUUUUAAAACUUAUAUAUAAAUAUUUGAAAUAAUUAAGGGUAUUUAUGUCAAAAAUAAGUUGUUUUUAAAAAAAUAUAUAAAAGAUGUUAAAUUCACAAAUAUGAGGAUUAUUUCAUCCAUUUUAAUCAAUUAAUUCAUUUAAAUUCAAGUAAAUAAGAUUUUGAUAUAAGUAAAUGAAACUUAAGAUAACAAUAUAUGAAUAGACGAGAUUGUUUUUAUUAUGCGACUAAUAUUGAUUUACUAUCAUUCUUUAUUAUGUAAUGACUUAAAUUGAAAACUUCUGACAUGUAGGAGAAAUAGAUGAUCUAAUACUGAGAAUUUUUUUUUUUUUUUUGUAUAUUACUUAAUUUUUUUAGCUUAUUAAUCAUGUUGGUUUGAAAAUGGAGAUUGUAAUUUGAAGGACAAUUUUGAAUAUAUUUGCUAUGUUAAUAAGAGAAUUAGAGAUAUUUUACUUCAAAUAUGAGAAAACAUUGGCCACAAGCAAUUUUUAUAAUGAAGAGAAUAGAAGUCAAAAAGAGACUUUUCCUCCAAUAUUUUUAUGUUGUUUUAAAGGAAAAAAAUGAUGAAAACAUUAUAAAUUUUAAAUUUUUUUAUUAUUUUUUUUAAUAAAGUUGAAGGACCUAAUAAAAUUUGAAUAUGAUUAUUUUAUGUUUGAUUAAGAAUACCAUAAAAGUUUUAAAAAAAGUAUGAAAUAAACUCAAAAUUGAACAAAAUUUUAAGGUUUAUUUGGUGAAAAUUUUAAGAUUUAUUCUAUCAAAUAAACCAACUCCAAAAUCCUUUGGAAUUAGAUUAUACUUACAUUGUAAAAAUAUAUUUAUUAAGGUUACGUUUGGUUGGUGGAAUAAAAUAGGAUGGUGUAUAUAUACAUAUACACUAUCUUAAAAUAUAAUAUCUUAAGAUAUACAUAUACACUAUCUUAAAAUAUUAUGUUUGAUAAGAAAUUAUAUCUUAAGAUAUGUAUUUUCUAUCUGAUAUCUUAAGAUAUAAUUUCUUAUAAAACAUAAUAUUCUAAGAUAUGUAUAUGUAUAUCUUAAGAUAUCAUAUCUUAUUAGAUAAGAAAUACUAUUUUAAGAUAUGAUUUCUUAUAAGAUAUGAUAGAUAUUUUAAGAUCAUAUAUCUAAUGAGAUAUGUUAUGUUAUAUUUAUAUUUGAUUUGUGUAAUGAAUAAAAAAUAAUAUGAAAUAUAUACAGUAAUAUUAUUUUAUGACAUAUUUUAUAAAUAUUUUUUUAGUUUUUAAUGUUUUGAGAUUAAUUAAGUCUAUUUUUUUUUCAUUUUUUAAAAUAGCAUGUGAAUGAUAGACUUCAAAUGGUCUUUUUUACUUUUAGAGAGAGAGAGAGAGAGAGAGAAAUGUGUAUACAUUAGAUAUGGAAGUCCUAAUCUACUAAGCUUAUCCUUCUACCUUAUAUUAAAAUAAAUGUCAUAGUCCACAGUGCCACCCAUGGUCAACUGUGAUGUACUUAUUUGGUGCCUACCUUUUUUUUCAGCUAACCAAUCUAAAAUUAAUAGUGUGUCAUCACCUAGCAAUUUAAUUUGGACUGUGAUCCAAGUGGGCCAUGUGGCAUGUGCCAUGGUACAUAAAGUGGGUCUUUCUUCACAUGAUGAAUUUAUUUAUGUAUUUAAUUUUUUUUUAAUGACGGAUUAGAUCAAAUGUUUGUAACUUUUUUUUUGUCUUUUAAUAUUCUUUCUAUAAUUAAAAAAUUUGAGCCAAUCAAAUAUUGUCGCAUGCCAAAUUAUGUCAUAGGCCGUUUUAGGUUAUUAUAGAAAAUUAUUGAACGGAUUUUCAUUCAUUCUUUAAUUAAUUAGGAUCACAUGCACCUGAAAUUAUUGGAUAACAUGUAUUAAUUAUAAUAGUAAACUACCUACCAAAUUCAUUAUCUAUCUAUCCCUCUUUAUGAAUUAGCUUUUUAUCUUAUGAAAUAAUUUCCUUCAUUCUCUCUAUGUUACAUUUUAUUUGGGUGGUUAAAAUGAAAAUGAAAAAAUAAAUUUUUUAGGACCUAUUUGAUCAUUGUUUUUGAAAAAUAGUUUUUGAGAACAGUUUCUGAAAAUUGUUUUUUGAUUUUUGUAGAACAAAAUUUUGUUUGGAAACCUAAAAUAUUUUUAAAUAUGUUUUAAGAAUAAUUUUUAUAUUUAGUCUUUUAUUUUUAAGUAUUCUAUAUGUUUGUAAAAAUAACUAAAAGAUAUUUUUAAAAACAUCGUGGUUUCUAUUCUUAAGAACAAAAAACAAAAAACAAUUUUAGUUAUCAAAUGUGUUUUUUGUUUUAUAGAACAAAAAAUUAUUCUAAAAAACAGUUUUCAAACAAACUGUUAGGUUCUAUUUUCAUAUUUUUAUAUAUUCAUGUUAAAUUUUCUUUUCUAGUUUUAAAGGGUAUACGUUUUUUUUUUUCACAUUUUUUACGAAAAACAAUUUACUUUUGAAUUUUAAUUUAUUUGUUUUUCUACUUUUUUAAGACUUAUUAUAAAUUUUUGGUCGAAUAAAAAAAAACCAAAAUAUUUUAUUUUUUUAAGUAGAAAAAAUAAUAUAUUGGUUUUUCUUUAUUUUUUUAAUACUUAAUAUAAAUAAAAUAUUAUAAAAACAAAAAAACUUAAUGCUUAAUAUUAUUUAGUUUUAAGUUCUAUUUAAAAUUAAAAAAAAAAAAACCAAACACCAUUUUAAUUUCAAACUCUUUGCAUUUGAUUUUUAACUUUCGCCUCAAUAUCAAUAUUUUUAUAUAAACUUACUUUUUUGAAAUAUACUUAAUAUAAUAUAUAAAUAUAUCCUUAAUUUUAGAAGUUAAGAGUAAAAAUUUAUUUUACAACUAUCACUUCAUUUCCUAUCUAAUUAAGAAUGAGUUGCUUGCUAAUAGAAUAACUUAGAUGACAUUUAUUUUUCGAACUUAAUACUAAAUGCAAUUUAUUUUCAGAUUUCAACUAAUUAUUUUUAAUUUUUUUUAUAGAUUUUUCACUUAUUUAUCUAUAUUUUAAUCAAAUAUAAAAUAUUAAAACACGUGACUUUUUACUUAAUAUAAAAAGUUAGCUGAUUCGCACUUCUAACUCAACCCUUACACCUAACUCUCAUUGUGAAAAAACAAAUAAUUUAAUAAUAUUAAAUUAUACUUAAAAUUAAGUUAAAUCAAAUUCUAUUUAGAUUUAAGUAAAAAAAACAAAUGCCAUCUUAAUUUCUUGUCAAAGAUGUUAAUUUUUCCUACAUUAUGUUGAUGUAUGAAUAUGUUUACACUUCUUUUCUAUACUUAUACACAUACUAGAUUUUUAUUAUCAUUUUAUUCAUAAUAUUGAUCACAUGAGCUAUUUCAAGAUAUAUCUUAUCUUAUUAUAAUUUGGAUAUAAUACUUAACUUUAUCCUUCUUCCAAAUUUUAAGCUUUUAAUAUAUGCUCUUUCCAAAAAAGAAAGGUUAAAAAAAAAAGAAAAGAAAAGAAAAAAACCCCUUUCAAUAUUGAAGCCCUUUUCAAAGAUGAGUUCCAAAAGGCUAGCUCAUGAGUCAAAGAGAUGGGGUUUCUUGUUUUUUUUUUUCUUCCAUUAAUGGAAUGAUGAAGUUUGCAUAUUUCAAUACGAACAUGCCUAUAGAUUAACUUAGUUUUCAUUCAUGUAGAUGCCCUUCAUUGAUGGCAAUAUGCUAGUUGACUCUAGACUCUAGAGCAAUGCAUAAAAAAUUCAAAGUUAAUACCCAUGGAAACUAGUAGGGCCACUAAACAAUAUGUAACAUAAUUUAGUUAUAAUUUAUGAAAAUGAAAAAAAAAAAAAAUUCUUUUUGUCAAACUUGGUGAAACAUAUUUGUUUAUAUUCAAUUUAAUUUUGAUUAAGGGUAUUUUUGACAUUUAUAUGAAAUUGAAUUGAAUUAAUACUUACUUUUGUUAUUUAUUGUCUUAGUACAAUACAUGUGUUGUGCAUCCAUUUUAUAUGAUUGUAUAAUGAUUAAAAAUCAAAUAUAAUUAUUAAAAUUAAUAGGAAUACUAAUAUAAUUGAAUUAAAAUGAAAAUUAGAGGAUUUGUUUUUGUAUGAGUGUAAUAAAUGUCAUAUAUGCAUUUUGUGGUGGAUUGCAAGUUGAUGGAACAUCAAGUCUAAUUAUUUAAAUUUAAUAAUUGAAAGGAGUUUUUAAAAUAGGUUGAAAAUUAAUUUUAAGAAUUAAAAAUUUAAUAAUCAAGAUUGAUUUUGAAAUGUGUUGAAUAAAUGGAGGAUUUUAAUUUUUAACCCAAAAAAAAAAAGAAAAAGGAAAAAUAAAAGAAAGCAAAAGAUGGUUGGGCUUGAUUUGGGGAGGUACAUGGUUGUUUCCUUAAGACAGAAAAAAAAAAACAUUAAAAAGAAUUGUGUGAAAAGACUUCCAAGUCAUCCAAAGUCACCACCCAACCACCACCACCAGUCCAGAUGCUGACGUGGCCCACCGGGAUGAUGGUGUCAUCGGGACAGCAAUGGGUGGUUUGCUGUUUCCAGGAACCACCCUCUGUGGUGGUCUUCCUUCCAGAAACCCACACAACAUGCCAAACAUUUCCCACGUGACAUGUCACGUGCCAUCUUACCUUUCCCCUUUGGAAUCGCUCGCUCGGAAAUCAACGGCCCUGAUCUCAUGCCAAAAGUCUUAACUUUGACCGGACUGCAGCCCUUCGAUUUAUAUAAAUACCACCAACCGCUCCUCUAUUAUUUCCUCUAAAACCCUAACCCUUGCGCUUAUCCUCCACCAUGUCCACCCCUACAGACUGGGUUCAAUUCUACCCCAAUUCUAGCCACUUGGCACCUCCUGGCCGUGCCACGUCAUCCACCCAGUCCCCCGACGCCGCCGUCGGCACCACUUCUUCUUCCCCCCCUGCUGGGGCAGCGGCUGGCGCCGCUGCUACUCAUGGUGGUGGUGCUCACCUGACGCCGGAGGGCCGGGUGGCAAAGCCCAUCAGGCGGCGGUCCAGGGCGUCCCGGCGCACCCCGACAACCCUGCUCAACACGGACACGUCCAACUUCCGAGCCAUGGUUCAGCAGUUCACCGGCGGCCCCAGUGCGCCCUUUGCAGGAGGCAACCAGCACCACCACGGCGCUAUGCCGGGGUUCGCUUUCGGCCAGAGGGUUAACCCCAGCACUGCCGUCAUGGUGCAGCCGUCCAUGUACCAUCUACAGUAUCACCAUCAACCGCAGCAGCAGCCGCAACAGCCGCAGUAUCAGCAUCAAAACUACAUGUUUACAUUGAAUAAUUCCAGCAAUACUAAUAACAAUACUGCCGUAGCUUCCGGUGGAGGAGGCGGCGCAGGUGGCGGAGAUAUGUUUUUUCAGAGGCUGAGCAGCUCAAGAGCUCCAAUCAUGGAGGUUUCAAACGGGUAUGUGAUGGAUGUGGGUUCACGGCAAGCUGCUUCUUCUUCUUCCAAUGAGAACAAUAGGAGUAACAGUUACAUAUUCUGAGAGGGACAUAAAGAAGAAAAAAAAAACAAAAAACCCCAAAAAAAAAGAAAAAAAAGAGUUAGGUACUGACUUGUCUUAGGGGAGAAAAGAUUGACCAAAGCUUGUUGUAUAUAUCACCCUUAUCACACUCUUGAAUAUCACCCAACCCUAGCCACAUAGAUGAUGAUGAUAUAAUAUAUGGUAUUAAUUAGGUUAAAUUAUAUAUAUAUAUAUUUUUUGUCUUUUGAUUUUUUUUUCCCUUAAUUUUGUUGCAGAUUCAUGUUUUGAUCAGGACCUGCACCUAUGAAGGUUGUUGUUGUUCUUGAUGUUUGAGGCCCAAAUUUGGAGACUUAAUUUCCAAAUUCUAAUGGAAAAGUGAUGCUUGGUCUUUUGGUUUUGGAAAUGAUCACUUUGUUUUACAUGGGUUGCCUUUCCAUGACUUGUACCUUGUUUCUUUAUUGUAUUUAUGAAAGGAAUUAACUUUAAGAAUUAUUUACAUUUUUAUAAAAUUAAGAAUAUUUACUGUAUUAUAUCUGAUUUAUCGAUAAUUUAAUACAUAAUUCUAAAAUACAUAAUUCUAAAAUAAAGGGUGGGACAAAUCAUUUGGAUUUGAAUAGCAUAUAUCAUACACGACUCAAUGAAUAAAUUUCAAACUUGUGAAUUGGAAUAAAAAUGGUAUUUGGCAAGUCAUUUUGUUCACAUGGAAAAUAUAGAAUUAUACACGUGUGGGAUGAUGAUGAAGGUGGGGAAUAUGAGUUUUGGGCAAGUUGGGGACGGUGGGUUUGGCACUUUAGUCAUUAAAAAUUAGUAUUGAAAAGGAUUGAUAUGAGUGGGAAAUGGGGUGGGAAGAGGGGAUGAAUGGGAGCCUGCAUUGGGGCCCAAGGAGCAUCAAAAGGAGAAAAUUACUCUCACAAAGUCAAUUCUAUACUAAUCUUUCAUAUGUUUCAACUAAUGUAGGUGCCUUUUGAUUCACUAAGAUUAUAUCAAUCUUUUUUUGGUUUUCUAAGAACAUUAUUAGGGUUUCCUUAUUUUCAACCUUAUUAAGGAAAUUAGGCCUUCAAACACGUGAUUUUUUUUUCUUAAAUCAGUAUCCACAUUUCAUAGUGUGAAUUAAGGUUUUAGUUCAAAGCACUAAUAAAUGAAUCCUUGGAAGCCACUUUUGCUUUUGAUGAAUACGUAAGUCUUGUUUGGUAACUAUUUUUUAAAACAGUUUUGAAAAAUAAUUUUUGAGAACAGUUUUUGAUAAUUGUUCUUUGAUGUUUUGUAAAAUAAAAAUUUAUUUGCAAAAUUAAAACGUUUUUAAUAUAUUUUUAAUAUUUUUAAAAAUAAUUUUUAUGUCAAGUACUUCAUGUUUAAUCACUUUACAUGUUUAUAUAAUUAUUAUUUUUUAAAUAGCCCUUAAAAAAAAUUGAAAAUAACUAAAAGAUAUUAUUUGAAAAUAUCAUAUUUUUCAAUUUUUUAGAAGAGAAAAUAGAAAACAAUUUUUGAUUGUCAAUUGUGUUUUUCUAUUUUUUUUUUUUUUUGAAGAACAAAAAACUGUUCUCGAAAAUAGUUUUCAAACAGGACCUUAAAGGCUGUUUUUGGGAUUUUGAAAAGUUUCGAUGAGUGCAAGGUGUAAGAUUUAUUAAAAAGAGAUUUUGUAACAUGUUUUAAGUUAUAAAUAUUUUAUUUAGAUACACAAAUUAAUUCUCUUUUUGGAUGAAUAUUUUCUAGAAGACGUAUGACAGGAGUUACAAUCGACUCAAAUUGACACCUAAUAUCGAGACUCCUUUGAAAAGCACCACGGUUCAAAAUUCCUUUCAAGAAAUUAAUGUGUAUAAGAGAGCGGUUAUCCAAUUUAACACAUAGUAAAUGUAGAGUUAGGUUAAAAAAAUUUGUAUUUUUUCAACAAAACAAUAUAUAUACUAUUAGUUUAAGAUAGAUAAUUUAAUUAAAAUGAAGAUGACUAGGAAGGAUGGUGACAGAUGAAAAGUAAAUAUAGUUUGUUGGACAAUUCAACUUAUUACCAUCCUAAAUAUCAUUACUCUAAAUGAUGGUCUACUUUAUUGGUCCUAAGAAACCUCUAGCUAAUUAUUUUCAACUAUAUCAUCAUGUUCAUUCUUAAUAUCGUCAUUGUUGACGUCAUAGUAGUGAAUAGUAUCCCCUUUGAAAGUUUAUAAUAAAUCAUAAAAUCAAUAUUUUCUAUCAUGAAUUUACAAAUAAUUUAAUCAAUGUUUUCUAUCAUGAAUUUACAAACAAUUUAAAAGUCUUUUUAUGCUAUGCCUUUAUUGAAAAACUUAAAGAUUAGAUAGUCGAUAUUGAUUACGAUGUAGUUAUCAUAAUAGACUAUUGCUCCAUAUAUAUAUAUAUAUAAAAUGAUGAAUAUCUUUCAAUCAUGAAUUUAUAGAAAUUUCAAAAUUCUUAUAAUUUACAUUUUUUUUAAAGUGAAGAUUAGGUGUUUGAUCAUGUUUUCACCAAACUAGUCUUACCAAAUUCAAUCAUUUGAACCAAUUUUACAAAUCUUUGGGGACCAAAAGCUUCCAAUACCACAUCAAAAUUGCCAAAUUAUUUUUUGAAUUUUUCAAUAUAAUUUUGGGUUUUUUUUUUUUUGAUCCAACUACAAACUUUUUAUCCAUUCUUAUCACAAUUCAAUUGCUGUCUCAAUUGGAAUCUGAAUGAUUAUGCAAAAUGGAAUCCAAAUGAUUAUUUCUCAUAAUUUUGUAGCCAAUAAUGUUAAAAAUGUACAAAUUUCAUUUCAAAAUCCAAAUAAUUAUAUACCUCUCAACAUCAUCAAACACCCAUGUGGAUUUUCGUUGGUCUGGCGCCAACUCAUACAUUUACGGCACGCGUGGCACGUGGUACAAUGACUCAUAAUCACAAUUAUAUUUUUGUCAAUAUUGGAUUGGAAUGAGAAAAAAAAGAAAAAGAAAAAAGAAAAAUCUCACCGUUUAUGCAUUUGGGCUUGAAACUUAAUGGGCCUUUUCCAGACAACUGGGCCUCAACUCUUCCAACAAAGACCACCUCUCCAAGGCCCAUUAAAUACAUGUGAGUUAGGAAGCAACAAUAGUACUUCACGCUGAAGUUUGAUCUCCUCUCAUCAGACUUUGCAGCUAAACCCAAUCCUAAUUACCCAUUAAUGGGGGCAACUAAUAGCGCAAAAUCAAAGACUCUGGUUUGGCAAAGACCGAGUUUAAGCUUUAGUUUGAACACUCAACUUAAUAUACAUUGUUUGUCUAUUAUCUAAAUGGUCAAACUUUUAAGUCAUAAUUGAUAGUUCAAUAUGAUAUCAAAGUGUCAGUUUAAUAUACAUUAAAUACGCAAAUUUGUUGAAGUUUUUUGUUAACACGCAUGAACAGUAUAGAAAAGGACUAAUUCCCAACGGAAGAUUCCCUUCUCUCUUGAAGUAUCACCCCAUUUAAGUUUGGUAGGUUGGGGAUUUUUUGGAAGGAAAAUAAAGGGCUAUGGAGAUUUAUCUAACGGUUUAUGCUUCUAAGUCAAUUGGUAGCUUAUCACGAUAUCAAAAUUUAUGUGCAUUUUUUGUAUAUAAUUUGGAGGGACACAAUGGUUUUAUCAUUGCAAGUAUCGCCCAUAUUAAGGGUCGUGUUGAUUUAUCUAGUAGGUUAAGUUUUUGAGUCAAUUGGUAGCUUAAUAAGGUAUCAAAGUUUUUAAGUAAAUUUGAGUAAUAUUUUUUUUUUAAUAUAGAAAAGGACUUCCAAAUGGUUGCCUUUUCAUUGCAAGCAUCACCAUGAUAAGGUUGGUAGGUUAGAGAUUUUUCUCAAGAAAUAUAAAGGGACAGGGUGGUUUGCAAGGCAUGCCAACAGACCCUUGCACUUCAAGUGCAUUUCUCUCGUGUAUCCUCCCAAUUCAAAUACCCCAUCUCCUCUCAACUCUUCCCUCCACGACCAUACUCAAAAAUGAGUCUCAAAGCCAUCUCUCUCCCCCUUCUCUUUGCCAUAUUUGCAUCUUUGGCCAUGUACACGCAUCUCUCUCUUCCAAACAACCCUAAAUUUGUUAAACACCUCAUUGAUCUUAGCCUCAAAACCUUCUCAUCAUCACCCUUUGUUUCAACUCCCAUGGUGUACUCCGCCCUAGACUGCGGCCUCCACCGCCAUAAACAUCACCAGGACAGCACCACAGGAUCCCUUUGCGACGAUUUUCCGCCAGAUUUCCCCCCUCCAGACACCAACACUACCUCAAUUUUAUGCGUCGAUCGCAACGGUUGCUGCAACUUCACUAUGGUGCAGUCUGCAGUCGAUGCAGUCAGUGUUCUUAGCCAGAAAAGAACCAUAAUAUGGAUCAACUCUGGAGUUUACUAGUGAGUUUAUGCUCUUUUCCACCAUUUUUUUUCUCUUCGUUUUCAAUAGUAUAGCUGUAUACAUAAGCACCUUCAUGACUGCAGUGAAAAGGUCAUUAUUCCAAAAAACAAGCCAAACAUCACAUUUCAAGGACAAGGGUUUGCUUCAACUGCAAUUGUGUGGAAUGACACAGCCAAUUCUUCACAUGGCACAUUUUACAGUGGCUCAGUUCAAGUUUUUGCUGCCAACUUCAUUGCUAAGAACAUUAGCUUCAUGGUGAGAUACAGUCAAACAGUACCAUGUAUUCAUCUGGUUAUGUUAGAGUUUAUUUGACAGUGAUUUUAGGAAGCCUUUAUAAUCUUUCUAGGACUUCAUCACAAUUUUUUUCUUAAAUAUUUUUAAUACUAGAAAGAUUAGAACCACUUCCUAGUAUUACUGUCACACGGAUUCUUAAAAAUGUUGAUAUCUACUAGGAAAUAUGUGUUGAUUCUUGUGGGGAUAUGGUAGAAUGUAGCUCCAAUUCCGAAGCCAGGUGAUGUUGGAGCACAGGCAGUGGCCAUUAGGGUGGCAGGAGACCAGGCGGCGUUCUGGGGUUGUGGGUUCUUUGGAUCCCAAGACACGCUUCAUGACGACAGGGGUCGACAUUACUUCAGGGACUGCUACAUCCAGGGUUCCAUUGAUUUUAUUUUCGGAGAUGCAAGGUCAUUCUACGAGGUAAUUUUAUGCUGUGUUUGAUUCUAGAAAAGUUUAGAGGAAAGAAAAAAAUUAUGUUAAAGAAAAUAAUUUUUUUAUAUUUUAUUUUAUUAUGAAAAAUAUAAAAAAAUAAACAUAAUUAAAAUUAAUUAAUAACUUACAUAUAUUUUUAAAUUAUCUAAUUUUUAAUGUAAUAGUUAAAAUAAAAUAAAUAAGUUUAAAUUAGAAUAAAAUAUUAAUUUAUUGAUUUUAAAUCUAUUUUUUUCUCCAAUUUUUUUUUUCUAUUUUCUUUUCUUAGUAUUUUUCCUUAAUUUUUUUGGAAAUCAAAUAAAGCAUUAAGCUCACAAGCCACUUAAUUUAUACUUGUUAAUGAUCAAAAUAUGAAGGAGCAUAGAUAAAAAUGAGUCAAUUUUCAUUGAAGAAUCACUCAGACUCAUAACAGCAUUUAAAACCAAUUAAUAGAGUUAGUAAUUAAAUUAUGCUUGUUAAUGAUCAUACGUGAUGCAUGAAAAACAAUUUAAACUUAGGUUUUUUUUAGCUUAUUGUUAUUGUUACAAGCCUAUUGAUCCUUUCAAGAUUGAUCUAUUAAUGCAGAACUGCCAGUUGAUUUCCAUGGCUAACCCAGUGCCAGUAGGAUCAAAGGUGAUAAAUGGUGCAAUCACAGCACACGGCAGAACUUCCAUGGACGAGAACACCGGGUAUGCAUUUGUGGCCUGCACUGUGGGUGGGACUGGAAGAGUGUGGCUUGGUCGAGCAUGGAGGCCCUUUUCUCGUGUUGUUUUUGCUUACACAUCCUUGUCUGAUAUCAUCGCCUCUGAGGGUUGGAAUGACUUCAAUGACCCGACCAGAGACCAGUAAGUUCUGAUUUAAUUUUCUUGACAUUCCGUUUCAAUUGCAAUCUCCUUUUGGUUGCAUACGAGUCUUUAAAACCAUGCUAAAUUAAUAAUUCUGUUUAGAAAUCUUUCUUGAAAAUAUUUUUGUAACUUUUGACAACAUGUUUGACAAACUUUUGAUGGAAUAAUAUUUUAAUAAUUUAUUUUGAAAAUGGAUUAUUUAAAUUUUGGAACAAAUUUAAGAUGGUUUAGAACAAAUCUAUUCUUACUGAUCGUGAGACUUUGAUAUAAUGUUAAACUACUAAUUUAAUUGGAAAACCUAAACCCGCUAUUUAAAUACAAAUAUAUAUGUGACUUGUGUCGUUAUUUUCUACUUUAAUUUGCAUGAGACAAUGAUACUAAUUCACCAGAAAACUUAAACUCUAUUUAGACAAAAAGAAAAUGAGAACUGAGUGGUGUUGUUUGUGAUGAACAGGAGUAUUUUUUAUGGGGAGUACAUGUGCAAAGGUCCAGGAGCCAAUACAAGUACGAGGGUGCCUUAUGCUCAGAAACUCAAUGACACACAAGCUUCUAUCUUUCUUAAUGUGUCUUUCAUUGAUGCAGACCAAUGGUUACAACCUUAUGCAUAAUGGCCUCCUUUAUUUCUAUGUAAUAUGACAAGUAAUUCAUUUCUUCAUUCUUUGAUCUUAUGUUAACCAUUUAAUUUAUUCAAAUAUUAAUGCAAAUUCAAAGUGGCAAAUAGAUACUGCAUUCUUUUAUCUGUAUCACUUAAUUUAUUGUAUUGUAAUGAUAUUCUAUUGGCUCUAUGAAAAAGAAAAAAUUAAUUGAUUGAAAUGGUUGAAAUGAUCCCAAAUUUGUAAAUUUAAUCCCUCUCAUGUUUGAAUUUAAAAAUUAACUCAUUUUUUAUAUAUAAAAGUUAUUCAACAUUUUUGAUUAAUUACACAAAAGUUUUAAGAUUUUUUUACAAGAAAAAAAGUGAAGACACUUUUGUAAAAAAUGGACUUUUUUAGGUUGAAAAAAUGUGGAGGGUUAGAGCCUAUUUGAUUAUGUGAUUAAAAAUAAUUUUAAAAAUUCAUAACACUAUUUGAUCAUCAUUCUCUGUUUUCAGUUUUUAAAAAUAAAGUGAAAUGGAGAAUAAUUUUUAAAAAACAAAUAGAAAUUGUUUUCAUGAGUUUUAAAAAAUGAAAGGAAAACAUUGAGACCUUAGAUUUGGCCGUAAUAUUCAUAACAAUUGUUUCAAAUUUUGGUCCUAGUCCACUUUGAAUAUAAAUAAUUAAAUCUUCAUCUGGUAUGGUUUCUUUGAGGUAGAGAGCAUAAUUGCUAUACUUCUCAUUUUUAACACAUAGUUAUUGAUGCUCAGAGCACCUUUCUUUAAUGACUGUAGCAUGAAACGUAAUUGAAGAGUUCUUACCUUUGAAUUUGAGAAUUUUUAUUUUUCAAGAACACCACAUACUUCGGUUGAUGUUUGGCAAGGAACCACAUGACCAUACAUAGCCUCAGAUAUUGAAGCAAAAAUCCAACUUAGCAAGAAUUGAUUUGAAAUUACUUGUUGAUCAUAAUUUGGAUUAGAUGUAGGUUGUCGAUUGAGAUAAUCUUGUGCGUUUUGGUGAGAAUUUGAUCUAGUCAGUGUGCUCUUGCCGCUAGUAAUACUUGAGAUUGCCAUAUUGUGUAAUUGCUCAUUUCUAGUUUCACCGAGAUCAGAUGAAGCGUAGAAGAAAUUUGUCUUGUAAAUAUUAAGGAAAUUGUUGAUGAGUUUCUUGUCAGAGAUUGGAGUCCUUGUAAGGAUGUUUCUGAUGCAGAAGGAUUGUUGUGAUGAGUCACCAUUUUGGACAUGAGUCAAUGGAGCUUUGAUACCAUGUUUGAGAGAUAAUCUGUGACAAGUUUGAGAAUUCUUUUAGAAACUUUCUCCGCACAUAUUAAAUUGAGUUUGAAAGAGAUCUAAGCUAGUUAGGGGUGAGUUUGAGAAUUCUUUUUAAACUCAAGUCAAGUUUAGGAUAGGUUCAUGUAUUACCCACCUUGCUCUAAUUAUAUAUAAGAUUAAAUAAAAAAUAAAAUUAUUUAUUUUUUUAAUUUCAUUUUUAAACAUAUUUAAAAUAAAAAUUUAACUUUAGUUCCUAUAAAAAUCAAAUAUAAAAAUUUAGUACUCCAUAUACUUAUGUUUUUUUUUUUAAAAAAAAAUGAUAAAUUCUAUAUUAAAUAUAGUAACUUUUAUAUAACAAGAGUAGAGUUACUUAAAAAUUACUUUUAAAAUUUUGAUAUAACAAUUUUUUUUUAAUUCUUUAAUUUUUUUUAAUAGGUUUUAAAUAUCAUUACAUGAAUUUGAAAAUGUAAGUAUAAUUUAUCUGAGAGUUACUUUUUGCGCUUUUUGAAAAAUGGUAAACAAAAAGUGCAUCCAAACGCACUUUAUUUAUUUAUUUAUUUAUAAAUUAAAUUUAUUCUAAUGCAAUUCAAAUCCAGAAAAAUAAAAAUGUUUAUUUAUUUUUGUAUAUAUUUUUUUAAAUGAUUGAAAUGUUAUUAUCUUUUUGAAUAUAUAUAUAUAUAUAUAUAUUUAGGCUUAUUGGAAGGUCUUAUUGGUAUGCAUCUAAUAGGAAUUAAACCUACAAAUUUGCCAAUUAUAAGUUAGGUACUUCAACCAUUCAACGAUGUGGGCAUCACAAGUAUAAGUGGAUCUAUCUCACAACAACAAUAUCUACAUUUUUUUUUUCUUUCAAAACAUAUUACAUAAAAAUUUUAGGAAUAAACCACAUGACAAAAAAUCGAGAAUCUAACUGUUAACUUUGAAAUUGAACACCAUAAUAACAUUCUUCACAUAAAAUAAAAUACCCUCCUAGAAUUUCACAUGAAAUAAACUACUUUUGGUUUGUCAAUUGGCACUCUGAAGACCUAGAUGUGGUGAACUAAUGUGAAGUACCUCGGGUCACCGUCUUCCGCCAAUGCAAAAUUAGCGAUCAACCUUUCUUGAUGGGUGAUUUUAGGAAAUUAUGUAAGACAUUGAGACACAAAGGGGGAUUUGAAAAUGGCUGCAAGCUUGACAAUCCUUUUCGCUAUCCGUUUAUAUCUUUGCUUAGAGGUAGGAAUAACAAGUUUGCUUCCAUUGCCUUCUUCAGCGUCAAUCCCACCUCUUCAAGUGAAUCAAAGUCAGCACCAUAAUUGGAAGGUGUAGCAGAGUGUGGGCCAAGUAGUGGGGAAGCAUCUACUACUGUAGUGGUGUCCUUUUCCAUUGGAGAAUGUGUCAUGGGUGAACCGGUAGAGUGUUCCAUAAAUUGAUCAGUAAAAGGAUGAACGUCGGUGUUGUCCUCAUCAUUGUGUGCUUCAACAUUUGCUAGUGGUUGUGGUGGAGGGACUGCACAACUAGUUUUCACUCCAUUGGAUCGAGAAAGCAAGGUGGCAAUGUCUUGUGCCAAUGACGAAGCGAGGGUCACAAGUUGUUCCGAUUUUAGAAUUACACGUGUUUCAAAACAACUAACAAGGUCGACACAAAUAAUCAUGGUACUCAUGCUUGUGUGUGCACUUAAAAAAUUCUAAGGACAUGGAGUACCUCAGUUGGUUCAUCGGAAUGUGAGCAUGUUGCUUCGUGUGGAGGUGCAACCAUAUGCGUAAUUGGAUGUUUUUGUUCUAGAACUUGCCCAUACAUCAAUGGUUUUCUAAGGACAGUUUAGGGGUUAAACUCAAUUCAACCAUUUUCUUCAUAUAUGAAAAGUUCACAUGUCCUAGUCUACCAUGCCAAAUAUCACAAGAAUCAACUAUGUAAGCAAAAGAAGAAGAUGUAUUAUUAUUGAUAAUAUCAGAAACAUUCAACAUAAAUAAACCCUGAUUACAAUAGCCAUUUCCCACAAAUGCAUCAUUCUUGGUUAAAACUAUUAUAUCAGAGUCAAACAAGAUCCUCACUCCUGUUUUUCCAAGCAGAGAUACUGACACCAAGUUCCAACGGAUAUCUGGCACAUGAAGAACAUCAUAGAGGGCAAACACUUUUCCAGAGGUUAGCUUGAGGAGAACUUUCCAUUUGCCAAUCACCGGAGUAGAUCUAGAAUCACCCAUGAACACUUGUUCCUCUCCUUCCUUUACAGUGGUAUAGGAAAUAAAUGCACAAAUUCCCACAUAUGUGACUAGUAGCCCCAGAGUCUACCACCCAGUCCUUCAUAUUGGUGACCAUGCUCACCUCAGAGGAGAUUACUAUUGUGAUCACCUCUGCCUCUGCCAAAUUUGCCUUUGAAUUGGUUUUCUCAGUUCUCUUCCUGUGGCGACAUGGAGCCGCAUGGUGUCCAGACUUGCCACAGACAAAGCAAUUACCCCGUUUUUUAAUAGUUGAGUUCUGGACCUUGUUUGAUGCAUUGGGCUUGGUCCUAAAGUUUUGUUUCCUGGACCUAUUGUUUUUGGGUUUAGAUUUUUCUUCUACUACAUUAGCUUUAGAAGAUAAUUCCUUAGCUUUCUCAAUAUUGUCCCUAUUUCGGUUUUGUUUCUCAAUCCUAAUAUGGAUUAUGACAUCCUCUAGGGACAUUUGUUUCCUUUUAUGUUUCAUGUUGUUUUUAUAGUCUUUCCAAGACUCUGGAAGAGUCUCUACUAAAUAACCAGCCACAAAAGGUUCGGGUAAUUUAAUGUCUUUAAUAGCUAAGUCAUUAAUCAACAAGUUGUAGUCAUGGAUUUGAGAUGAUACAUCUCUAUCCUCAAUCAUUUGGAAAUUUCUAAAAUUCCCUAUGGCAUAUUUCUGAGUUUCCGCAUCUUCUAAAAUAUAUUUUUUAUUCAUUGCAUCCCAAAUUUCUUUUGCAAUUUUAAAUAUAUAAUAAAUAUAAAAAAGUUCAUUAGAAAGGUACUCAGAAUAGCAUGCCUAAUUUGUUUAUUUCCAGUUUCCCAGGUUGGUAACAUAUGAAAACCAUCUUCUGGUUUUGGGUCAGUUAAAAUAUGUCCCAAGUUCACCACAUCAAUUGCAGAUAAAACCCUUUCCUGCCAUAUCUUAAAGAAUGUCCCAUUGAAGGGAUUAAUUUUAGAGGUGUCAAGACGGGUGUGAACUAGGGAAGCUUCCAUUUGGAUAUAUUUCAAGAUUGUUGGAAUUUAAGGGUAUGGAAACAAAAAAACUAGCCCAAAAGACACGAACAAAUAACAGAAUGAAUAAAAACAAAAACUUAUUGGCUAAGGUGUGACAAACACUGUCCUUGAAAUAAAUCCACCAUCCUCGAAGAUGAACUCGGUGCACUAGGGUACCAGUGGUCUACCUCCAAGAUUCAACAACCAGAUCUCGCCUUGGGUGCACUCUGAAAGCGAGAUGUGUACAACUCGAGUUUUUGAAUAAAUUCCUCCAAAUAGAUGUAUGAAAAUAUUCCCUGAAAAACUCUAUGAAAAAUUCUCUGGAAAAUUGGUAUAUAAGUAUAGAGAGGGGUGACCUGCUUUUAUAGGCCACUAACAUAGUCCCAAUGGGAAUCUACUUGUAAUUAGAAGAUGACACAAAGUGGAAGGUGAUUCUACUUAUAAAAGAAAUGAGACUCCACUAGCACAAUCCCAAUAGGACUUUUCCCAAAAAUAUAACACUAAUAGAAUAAAAUAAAAUAUAAUAAAAUAAAAAAUAAUUCUCAAUAGGACACUUCCCAAAAAAUAUAACUCAUAGAAUAAAAUAAAAUAAAAUAAAAUUAAUUUCCAAAAAUAAAAAUAGAAAUUAUUUACACUCUUCCUACACUACUAUCUUAGCAUUUGAUGUCAAAGUGAUCCCUGAGGCUCGAGAACUUGCAAAUGAUAUGGGCAUAAAGAUAUUUAUUGCUGAUAAUCUAUCACUUGUUUGAUCAGUUUAAGGCUCAUAUCGAUAAUCUCAAGGAGGAAAAGAAGAGGGAAACAACUGAUGAAGUAGUCUUUCCUUGUGUUCUUAAGAUUCAACCCAAGGGCUCUUUCAACAAUAAGGAUCCAAUUAUCUUGGGAGUUGAUGUUCUUGAAGGGAUUGUGAAGGUAGAUUUUUCCCUUUUAUUUUUUGUUUUUGUUUUUGGGUUCUGGAUUAAGUUUACUUCAUCCUUUUUCACAUGUCCAAUUUAUGAGAAUUUAUGUUCGAGCAAUCUUUAGGUUCUAGAUUUUGAAUAUAACCCAAAUUUCAAGUUUUUUUUUGUUUGAAUAUGCAUAAGGCACAUUCAUAUAUGUGCCUUAUGCCAAAAAGGCCUCUGAUGCCAUCUGAACUGCAUUUUACACAGGUGGGAACUCCAAUUUGUAUUCCUCAUAGGGAUUUUAUUGAUAUUGGCCACAUUGCGUCCAUUCAGAAAAACCGGAGUCCAGUUGAUAUUGCCAGGAAAGGCCAAGAGGUGGCCAUUAUGGUACGAGAUUUUUAUCUAAUGGAAGAUAAAACGGUUUGUUGAAUCCAGUUUUAUUCUUAGAAGAGGCCUUACUGAAUGAGAUUUUGCAGAUAGUUGGCACGAAUCCGGAAGAGAAGCAAAAGAUGCAUGGCAGACAUUUUGGGGAUGAAGAUGAGCUUGUCAACCGUAUUAGCAGAAAGUCGAUUGAUGUGCAUAAAGCUAAUUACCAAGUAACUACGACUUAUUGAAUUUUGUAAUCCUCAUUUUUAUGUUUGUUUACCAAAAUAUUAAAGAAAGAAAACAUAAAAAGUUAAAAUUAGUUAAAAUAUAUAUAUAUAUAUAUAUAUAUAUAUAUAUAUAUAUAUAUAUAUAUAUAUAUAUAUAUAUAUUUAAAAUUAUUUAAUUUUUACACAGAAGAGUAAAAAUAAGUUAAAUAAGUAUGAAGAAAAACAUUAAAAUAAUUUAUUGAUUUUUAAUUUAUUUUUUAUUUUUUUCUUAGUUUUCAUUUUCUUUCAUUUUUCUUUAUUUUUUUUCUUAGAUUUUUGUUCAAAUUUUCUAAGAAUCAAACACAACCCGAUAUGUUUGUGACGAUUUCUUUUAUGUUAAAGUGAAAUAAGCAUGGUGUAUAUAAGUGUUGUAGGCGUUUGAAGUUAUUUCUAAUUUAAGAAUUAAUAUGGAUAAAAGCAAGAUCAUUCUAGUGGAGAUGAUGGAGAAUCUGGAGGUGCUAGCACUUGAGCUUGGGUGUAAGGUGGGAAAGCUCCAAUCCUUAUAUUUAGGGUUGCCUUUGGGUGCACCUCACAAAUCAGUGGCGGUGUGGGAUGGGAUGGAGGAGAUUAGCAUUAUGGAAGAGACAAUAUAUAUCUAAAGGAGGGAGACUCAUUCUCAUUCGAAACACUUUGUUUAACAUAUCUAUUUACCAUAUGUCAAUUUUGUGUAUGCCUAGAUCAGUUAGAUUGAGACUUAAGCAAAUCCAAAGGGAUUUCCUUUGGGGUGGGAGGGCUUUGGAGAGGAAGAUUCAUCUUGUUAAAUGAUCAGUUGUUUGCUUGGAUAAAAGUAAAGGAGGUUUGGGUGUAAAAUGCCUCUUUACUCUUAAUAGAGCUCUUUUGGGUAAAUGGGGUUAGCGCUUUAUGGUAGAAAAUGAGGCUCUUUGGAAUCAAGUUAUUAGUAGGAAGUAUGGAGUGGAAGAAGGGGAGUGGUAUACCCGGGAAUGUAGAGAGGGUUUUGGUGUGGGGUUGUGGAAGGAGAUUAGAAAGGAAGGUUCUUGGUUGAGCAACUACAUUGUGUUUUCCGUGGAUAAUGGAAGAAGAAACAGAUUUUGAUUGGACUCUUGGUGUGGUGAUGAGGCUUUGUGUAACUCUUUCCCCUCUUUGUUUGCUUUGGCGGUUUCUAAAGAGGGGGUGAGUGGCAGAGGUGUGGGACCUUUCGAUUGAGGGGGGAGUUGGAGUCCUCGUUUUUUGAGGGCUUUCAAUGAUUGGGAGAUAGUCUUGGUGGAGCAGUUGGUCAUGACAAUUCAAGGAAAGAGAGUUAGUGCAAAAAUGGAGGAUAGGAUGAUUUGGAAAAAGACAAAAAAAUGGUUUUUCAUUAAGUCUCUUUAUAAUGCUAAGGAGUCGGGAAAUAUAGUCUAGUUGUCAAGAAAAAUAAUUCGGAGCCCUUAUGUUCCUCUAAGAGUGGUGUUUUUCUUGUUUUUUGGGAAGCCUCAUGGGAGGAAAUUUCAACUUUGGAUCAACUCAAAAGGAAAGGAUGGUCCCUUGCAAAUAGAUGUUUAUUUUGUCUAGCCGAAGAGGAGUCUACUAAUCACAUUUUAAUUCACUGCACAAAGACUAGAGUUUUGUGGGAGUUAUUAUUUCGCUCUCCUCGUGUUAACUUGGGUUCUCCCUUGUUUGUUAAAUGAGACUUUUCUUGGUUGGGUUUGGUCAUUUGUGGGCAAGAAGCAUAAAAAAGCUUGGAAGCUAACUCCUUUAUCCUUUUUUUGGGUGGUGUGGAAAGAAAGAAAUAAGAUAGUAUUUGACAAUGAAGAGUUUUCAGUACAAAGGUUGAAGUAUUCUUUUGUGUGUAGUUUAUGAUCUUAGACAAAGUUGUAUAUAGAUGUUGACCCUUUAUCUUUAAUCGACUUUUUUGAUUGGUUGGGCUCUUAGUGAGGGCAAGUGAGGUUUUUGUUUUCCUUAUUAUUUUGCUCUUUUUUGUCUUUUAGCAUCUACCGUAUACUUCUUAUAUAUCUUGGGUUGCCUGCCAGGCUUCUUUUGUCUAAUUAAUAUAUCUCUUAUGUGUUUACCCAUAAAAAAAUAAUAAUAUUAAGUGUUGUUGGUGUAAAAUAGGAUGAUCUAUCUCUUGAAGAGUGGAAGUUGGUUGUGAAACUAAAGAGCCUCUUCAAGAUACAAUGAGUGUCGAGUCGACGAAGUGGAUGAAGGAAUUGUUCGAGGAUCUGAGCUGGUGGGGGUGCAGGUCCCAGUCUUUCUUACAUGAGAGGGCAUUUGUCUAGGGAAAAUAGUUGUAGAUUGUUUUGCUUUAUGCUUCUUAAACGAUGCCACAGAGUAAUAUUCGAAGGUGUACUAAAUCAUAUCGUAAAUUUUGGGAUCUGAAUUGCAUGCAUGACAUCGACAUCAUGUAUUUGAUAGUAUUCUUUUUCAAGGGAGAAUUGGUUUAAGAUGUAGCAGAAUAAAAGCAUUUGAAAAAAUAUGACUAAUUUUUUAGUUAAGAUGAAUAUUUUUUCACACAAAAAGAUCGAGUAACCAAUAUUUUCAAGUUGAUCACCAUAGUAUUGACUCCGACCAUGAAUUUGAAGUUGAUAAAAUAUUUUGUUCAAAUUUAUCUCCUUUGUUUUUGUGUUCCCAUAUCAAAAGUUAUUGUCCCUUGUACUAUUUUAGAAGAAUAAUUGCUAUCAACUAAUUUCUUAAUACUAUCAUCAAUAUAAAUAAAAAGAUAAAAAAUCACUAUCUAAAAAGCCAAUUCAAAACAAUUUUUUUUAAAGAAUAUAUUGAUUAAAGUAAAAUAAAAUAGCAAAUUGAAGUGAUUUUAGUAUAAAAUAGUAAAUGAAAACAAAAAAAAAAAAUUAUAACAAAAAUAAAAUGUAGUUUAGAGGUGAAUGCUACAUUAAUUCUCAUUAUUGAUAUUGAAGAUUGAUAACAACCGUUGAUUAAUUACUUAGGACUUGGGAAGCUAUUCGACAAAUUCAGGCAUAAAACAUGAAUAUAACGUUGAGUUCCACAUUCAUUUAUUAUAAAAAAAAAAACACUUUCAUUAAAAAUAUUUUAAGUAAAAACACUGUCAAAUGCAAUGUUAGAGUGUAGUUGAUAGUAAUUAAAUGCUUCUAGUCUUUCUAAUUCUUAAAAGAAUGUUUUUUUUUAAAGCCUUACAAAAGUUAUAAAUACUUUCUAAAAUUACUGUUAAAUGCAUUUUUAUAAUAUGUGAUUUUGCUAAAAAUAUGUUUAGAGGAAAUACUUUUACUAAAAAUAAUUUGAAGUUUGGUAGUGUUAUUUGAAAGUUUUUCACUACAAGGAAAAAGAUAUAUGGUGACAUUUAUAACUAGUCACCAUAAACAUAGGGUGUCACUACAACAUAGCGUCACCUUCUCCACUGAAACCAUAGAGGGUACCAAUUGGUGAUGUAUUUGGAAGUGAUACCAAAGUAGAUAAAUGGUGACCCAUUUGGAAGUGACACCAUAUAUUUCUAGUGAUGAUAGGGUGUCGCAUUAAAUGCAUCAUCUUUGAGUUAUGAUGUCAUAUUAAAUGCAUCACCUUUGAGUAAUGGUGUCACAUCAUUGUAAAUUAUUGUGGAAGAUAUGAUUGCUUUUAGUUAUAGAUUUUUGUAAUGCUUAUGAAUUAAUAAGUAAGAUUAACUUGUUUAUAUUUUGUCCAUAAAUAUAACAAUCAUAUUAUAUUUAACUCAUUUUUCUGUAAUGUUUUUGGAAUAACUCAUAAUACAUUGAUCAUUUAAUAAUAUUUGUAUAUCAAAUGUUCACAAAAAGAUAGUACAUCCAACAUAUCAAACCCAUCAAAACUAAAAAAAGAAGAGUGAAUACAUACCAAAACAUGAUUUAGAAAUGUUAAAGAUCCCAAGAUUCAUGUAUACCUCCAUUUCAUAAGCAUAAAACCGGCUAACUAUAAAAUGACAUAAAAGUCCCAUCUAAAAAUCUAAAUUUCUCAAUACUAAUUAAAGUAACAUUUAUGUCCUACAACGUAUGACAUAAGAGUUGCAUUUAAAAACCCAAAAUGUUGUUGCCUUCUUCUUUCUUUUUAUUCUCCAUUCCACCAUCCCAAAAGUGUAUACCUGCAUUUCAUAGUUUAAUGAGUUUUAUAGAUUUUUAUUGAAGAAAAUAAACAUGGAUCGAUGUUAUCAUAAAUGAAAAAAUCUAAGAACUAUUUUUUUUUCAUUUUUUUUUCAAAUAGAAACAUUAUUCAAAGAACCUAUGGAAAAAUUCAUGUAGUAGCUAAAGGACUCACCAUGCAUGGUGAUCAUGAUGCAUCAACAUGAUUCAUGAUUAGUUGUAGCACAAAAAUAGCCCAUUCUCCUCUAAUUUCAUCGAAUUCUACUUGAGAAUAUGUUUUUUUAUCACCAAAUUGAAAUCAAAUAAGAAAAUAACAUUAAAAUGCAUAACAUUUGGAAGCCUAAAACUAUGUACAAUUCAUUAAAUUUGUAAUACCUUUGAAGCAAUAAUUGUAGGAUAAAAAAUUAUAUUUUUUAUGAAUCUCAUAACAAAGUAGCCACAUUCGAACCUUCCUUCUUGUCUUGGACACUAAUCGAUCAAUUAUAAAAUAACAUAAGUACUCAUAUAUAUAAAUGGUGCAAAUGCAUAAGCUAAUGUGUAAAGAAAAUUUUUUGGAUGUCACAUGCACUAGUUGCCAAGAUGGCUCCCUUUUAGAUGUUUUCUUUGUAGAUAUUCGAAGAGCCCUAUGUAAAUAAGUUCAAUGGGUACAUUUUUAAAAUAGGUAAAUGUUAUAUGUUUUAACAUAUAUAUAAAUAAUAAUAAAAAUGUGUUUGAGAUGAAUGUAUUUUUUUUUAAAAAAAAUAAUACUAUGAAAAAUAAUAGGAAGAACUUACAUGUUUACGAUAUCCUUUAAGUCCUCACAUGGUUUGUGAUGCAUAGGGUCAAGAUAGUGGACUAUCAUUUUCCUUGGCUCAAUCACUACUAAGACCCAAUGAAAGCUAAAACAUUAAAAACAAAAGUAGCAUCUAAUUAGAAAUAUAAAUCAAUCAUAAAACCUCAAAUUAAAGUAUAAUAUUUGUCACUUACUCGGGGUUGUAAGGUAUGAAAACAUAUUUAGCAUCUUGGCACUCCAUUAAGCGUUUUGACAACAAUGGUGCUUUUUUCUCUGUUUGAGGAGUACUAAGGCCUGCUCGUGAUAUUGUAAAAGGAUUAACAAAUAUAAAUUGUGAUUCCUUUUUGGCAAGAUUUAGUUUCUUAUCCCCAUUAGGAGUCUUUUCAUGUCAAGAGUCCCUUUUUCUUCCUGCAUCAGGUCUCAAUCUCCCACUUUGACUAGAAGUCUCAUGUGAUAGGAGUAUGUCUCAUGCAAUAGGAGUCUUGCUCAUAUGAUGCAUCAGUUCACCAUGCUUCCUAUUGUAAGAGACUACACCUUGCUCAAGCCAUCCUAAUGCCAAGAUGUGUCUACUCAAAUCUACCUGCACAUGACUCAUACUGUUGCAUCUGUUCAUGUUGGGCUCACACAUCAAGGCACAAGAACAACAAUGAAUUCCAUUAACUCUGAUGGAUGACCUUUGGACCCAUUCCUUAGGGUCUGAUUGGAACCCACCCAGACAAACAAUUGACUCCGAUAUUAAUAGUAACAGCUUUCCGUCACUAACAGUAACAAAUUUCCGUCACUAACAGUAACAGAUUUCUGUCACUAACAGUAACAGAUUUCCUCAAAAUCCUCAUGCAGAUUAAUCCAAAGAAUGGAUUUGAAGAUUUUGUGACAACCCCAAACGGCCUCUUAAAUCUAAUGGAACAAAAGUAGCCCCCCCAAAACAGUGUGGCUGUCGUUAAGGGCUGAUUUGGUCUAGCAUGGCAGUAUGAGAUAAAAUUAAUGCGUCUGCAUAAGAAGGUGUCGUCUUUGUUUCGCUACUGCGCAAGUGAUGACACCUUGGAUAUUGUCUUCCCAGAUUGGUCCUUUUGGGGUUGGAUACUCUCAACGAAAUUCUAUAUCUCAUUCUCACUUAGAUAUAAACAGAAAAAUCAUUUUUUUUUUCUCUUUCUCAUUUUUGAGAAGGGAUGAAGAUUAUGUGGCAGUAUAUCUAAAAAAAAAUCUAUACCUAUCGUUCUCACACAAAUACAUAUUAAAAAUCAUUCCUUUUUUCUUGUUUUCCACUUGUUUUUAUGGAGUCGAUUGUGUGUUUGGUUCAGAUUAAAAAAUCAAUUAAUCUAUAGGUUUUUUCUUCUAUGCUAGAACUUUAAACCUAAGUUUUUCUUCCUUACAACUCAAAAGAACGCAGUUCAUAAAAACCAUAAUACAAAAAUGUUGAAACAAUCAAUAUAAUGACAUUAAUAAAAGAAAAAAGAUGAUAGAUCUAAGAGAUUUUGGCUUACAUGGGAGUCCACAAAGAGAAGAAUGUCGGUUGUGAGCGUGUUGACUAUGGGUGAGAGAAAAAGUAGAAGAAGAUUAUGAUUUUUAUUAUAUAUAGGGUUUGUAUACUGAGAUUUUUUGGAUUGUGGGUGUCAUGUGGAAACAAUGGGCUUUUUAUAUAUUGGCCCUCAUUAUUAAUUUUAAAAGUGGGCUCAAGUAGGCUCAUUAAGUUAUAAUACUUAAAAAAAUUAUUUUAUAUGAUGUCACUUCCCGAAAAAUGACACUAUUAAUAUAAAACUAACAGCAUCUAACUACCUCAAUUGAAGAUUUUUAAUAUGAUGUGUCACCUUUAUUAAUUAUAAACCUUAUGGUGUCAUUAUUUUAAAAGUGACACCAUAAAUUAUUUUUGUAGUAGUGUUUGUGCUUUUGGAAGUGUUUUUCUACAAAACAUUAUAAAUGAUUUUUUCAAAAUUUUAAAAGUACUAGGCUAGUUGCAUGUACUAGCUACUGAUGUAUUUUUAAAAUUUAAAUUUAAUUAUUUAAUUAAUUUUUAAAAAAAAUUAAUGUUAAUCUAUUUUAUGGUUGUAUUUGAAUAUAUUUUAUUUUAAAAUAUUUAUAUUUAUUAAAUGAUUAUAUUAAUAGGUUAGAUUAUAUCUAUGAGAGAAGAUAAGAUUGAAUUUUACCUAUGAUUUAAAAAAAAAAUAAUAUUUCAAAAUGUAAUUCAACUAUAUACCAUCUAUAUUAAAAUUGGAAAUAAAUUUUAUAAUAUAUAAAAUCUUUAUUUAUUUUCUAUAUUUUAUAUUGUUUUUUAAUAGAAAAUUUCAAUAUUAAAUAAAAAAUAAUUAAUUAUUUUUUAAUUAAAUUGAUUAAUUAGAAUGAAUAAAUUAUAAUUAAUUUAAUUUAUUUAAUAAACAAACAUAUUUUAUUAUUUAUUGAAUUUUAAAAACUAAAAUAAUAAUUGAAUAACAUUUAUAACUCUUAUAAAACUAAAAAAAUAUAUAUAUGCUUUUCUCUUGUGCAUUUCUUUGUUAAUAGUUUGAUAUUGGUAUGAAAAUGGGGACAUUUACAAAUAUUGAAAAAAAAAUGUAUUAAUGUCAUGACACCUAUUAUAAUUAGAAAAUAAAUAUGUUUUAAAUUAAAAAGUUAAAUUUUAAAUUUGAUAAAUCUCAAUUUUACCAUCAUUAUUAUUUGUCUAUGAUCAAUAUUUUUUUUAUUUUAAUUAAAAAUAAAAAUGAAAAAAAAAGUAUGUUAUUGAUAUUUUUUUUUAAAAUAUAUGUAUUAUUUUAUUCGAAUAAGUGUUAUUAUUUUAUAUUAUAAUUCUUUAUUUUCCAUUUUUCCAAUGUGAGAAAAUUCUAAUUUUGGGAAAAAAAUUGAAUUUUUAUAAGCAUUCACUUAAAAAUUAAUUCAAAAACGAUCAUCUAGGAGUGGUGUUUGGACAGAAUGGAUACAAAUAAAGUUGUAAAUCUCUACUCUACUCCAUGCAGUGGGGAAGAUAGACGGAGAUACAGAAGGCGACAGUUCUCCCUCCUAGGUUUCCAGUUUCGCCAUUCUUCUGCUUGUUCGUGCUCUCAUUCAUGUCCAGUUUGUGACGCAUUCAACGGAUCGACUCUAGAUUGGUUCAAAUUCCCUAGUUCCGUCAUUUUCUCAUUGUUGUUGUCGAUCAAGUUUUUUUAUAGGAAUAAAAUUGGUUCGACGAAUUGUCUAUGUCCAUUGGAAUAGGGAAGAAGACUUUCAGGGGAUGUUUGGUACGUCGGAAUAGGGAAUGGAAAUUAAUAUUUUGUUUCCAUUCCUAUUUCUUAGUGGAUAGAAAUGAAUUUGAUAAUUCCAUUUUUAGCAUUUGGAUGAACUUAGGAAUGCAAGAUUGGAAUGAUUAUUUGUUUCCAUUCCAAUGUUUGAUAAUAAUAGGAAUGGAAAUGAAAAAUAAAUAAAUUUACAAUAAUAUCCUUCCAUAUAAUUUAAACUAAUUUUUUAUUUUUUAUUUUUUAUUUUUAUUUAAAAUAAAUAAAUUUUGAGAGUUUUUUUUGUUAUUAAAUAAUAAGACUAAAAAAAUACAUAUACUCAAUGAAUAAAAAAUUAACCAUAAAAAAUCAUAUAACCCUAAUGUACAAAUAUUCAAUUAUUAUUUUUAUUAAAAAUUUGAAUAAUUUGUCAUGCUUAAGUAGUUAUAAAAUUAUAUUUUACCAAAAAAAAAAAGAAAAAAAAUAUAUUUAUUAUAAUAUUUAAAUUCUCAAAGUUAGCAAAUGUUUUUCCUAUUUUCAAAAGAGGAAAUAAAAGAAUUCAAAUUUCAGUCUAAUUUUCAACAAGUAUCAUAUCCGAUAAAAUCCAUAACCUUGAAAAAUUUUAAAUAUUCGGUUUUUCUUUUAUCAAAAUUUUAAAUAAUUUGUCAUGCAAAAAAGCUAUAGAAUUAUAUUUUACAAAGAAAAAAAAAGAGAAAAAAAAAUAUAAGAACAUAUAAAUUGUCAAAGCUACCAAAUACUUAUUUCUUAUUUGCAAAAAAAGGAAAUAAAAAAAAACACAAACUUCAUUCUAGUUCUCAAUAUAAGUACCAUAUCUACUAAAAUCCACAACUAGUGUAUCCUCCAAAAUUAAGCCAACAAAUCAAUAAAAAGUUCAUAGGAAAUUGAUGAAACAAAAUCCAAUCUAAAAUUUCUAUCAAUCCAACCUAAAGACAAUAAAUCAACAAGGAUGCAACAUGGAGAUUCAUGUGGUUUGAAGAAGUUGUUUCACCCAUUCAACCUUGAGAUCUUCAUCUAAAUUGAACAAAAGUUUGACUUUCAUCAAGUCAUUCAUAAUAAUUUGACUUAACUUCAAUAUGUCUAACCUAUUAAGAUUAGGAAGUUUCUCCAAUUCACCAACCACUCUAUUUUCCCUUUCUGUCUGUUGGUUGAAGUUACCAACAAGGCUCUUUAAUGCAUUGCAUGUUCUUGUCAUCACAUUAAUUAAAGUUGUGUCAUCAUUCUUUGCUUUUUUCCUAUGAGAUUGUGAUGAACAUUCCAUUCUACUUGGAGUGGAUGCAACUAUAUUAGUACGAGAGGCAUCGACUUUGGCUUCUAAGUCAUCAACUCCAAUGUCAUUGCUUGCUUCACCUUGGUCUAACUCCUCCAAAAUAUCAACAACUGACAUUGCUCCUUUUCCAUUAGCACGAUUUUUACCAAAAACAAGACUUAGAUCAUCAAAAUGUGGAAGUGGUUUGAGUCUCAAACCAUUAGCAUCUUUAUGCCCCUGUAAAAUAUACAAAAAAUAAUUAGCAUCUUUAAAAUAAAAGUUACUAACUUAAAGAAAUAUUAAUAUCAUGCCGCAUUGGUUUGAAGAUAAGAUAAAUGAUUAAGAAUAUAUAUCAUUUCUUUCCUUUGAUGAAAUGAAUUAUAGAAUAGGGUCUAUUUGAAUUUUUAUAAUCACUUCCAACUAUAACUCCUGAUUAUUUUCCUAAAAGCAUCAAUGGUAGAUACUAAAAAAGAAAGAAUAUAUCAUGCAUUAAAAUGUAAUUCAUAUAAAAUACAUAAUAUAUUGAAAGCAAAAGAAUAUACCAAUGUAUCAAAUAAAUUAACAAGAUGUUGUGGAAUAAAAAUACAAAAUAGGAAGUAUUGUAAAUAUAUUUACCUUGACCCAACCUUCAAAUACAUCUUGAUCACAUAAAACCAUUUUCUUUGCAUUGUCCCAAGACAACCCGCUACCAUGGGUUAACAUAUCCAUUAUGGCAUUGAAUUGUUUUUUUAAAGUCUUCACACGCGAUUCAAUAUGUGGACUUGCUUUAAGUUCGCUGUUUGGAAGCUUUUUCUCUAACAUCUUCUCCACUUGUAAAAAUGUUCCUGGUUUAAACCCAUUAUCACAUUUUACCUUCCCUAAAACACACAACUCAACAAGACACUCAACCAAUUUUACAUCCUCACUGGGAGUCCACACUCGUUUGUUUCUUCCACGCCCCCUUGUUUGACCACUUGAUGUAGAAUCCAUCCUAUGUUUCAAAAAUAUCAAAUUAUAUAACUAUAUUUUAAGAACAAAUGUAAUAUGAAGACAAUUAUAAUAAACACAUGUCUAACUAUAUCUCAAAUUUAACAACAGAAAAACAUUAUCAAAUUCAAUUCAAACUAGUUCAUCAUAUAAUAAUUCGUACAAACCAUUCAAAAUUUGCAAAUGAUAAGUCUAAAACAUCAAACAUAAUUUUUCUCCUAAAAUAAACAACAUACUAUAAUGUCCUCCAUUCAUUAAACAUUUGAAUUGCUAAAUUUCUUCGCCAAGCGCUCCAUUGAUCCGAUGGUUCAAUUAUAGUUAUUGGUUCACCUACAACUUGGUGGUCUUGCACAUCCAACUCUUGUUCCAAUGGAUCCACAGGCAUCUUUUUUUUUUAUGAGAUUAUGAAGAAGACAACAAGCAAGAAUGAUCUUGCAUUGUGUCUUUAUUGGAUAGAAACAAGGGCUCCUAAGUAUAGCCCAACGUAGUUUAAACAAACCAAAACAUCUCUCGAUAACAUUUCUUGCUGUAGAAUGCUUCAUGUUGAAAAAAUCUUCAUGGGUUGUUGGCAUGUGUCCCUCUCUCCAAUCAUUGAGAUGAUAUCUUUGCCCUCUAUAUGGGGCAAGAAACCCUUUUCCAUUUGUAUAGCCAACAUCAACAAGAUAGUAAUAACCUAAAAUGAAUAUUCCAAAACAUAUUUUAAAAAAUAUAUCAUAUAUUAAAAAUAUAUCAAUUGUUUCUAAAAACCACAUAUUUACCAUGUGGAACUAUCAGUCCAUUUCUCCUACUAACUGCAUCUUGAAACACUCGAGAAUCAGAGGUUGAUCCCUCCCAACCUGGCAAUACAUAAAUAAACUGCAUGUCUUAAGAACAAACUCUUAAGACAUUUGUUGCAAUUUCAUUUCUUCUUGUUCGAUAUCUAAACUUGUCUCCCUUAGGUACAUUCACUCUAAUGUAAGUUCCAUAUAAAGUUCCUAGACAAUUCUAUUUAAAUAAAAGCAUUAAUAUUGCUAUAAUAUGAAUUAAUUAAACCUAUAAAAACUUAAUUUAUAAUUUAUAUACCUUAAACCAUUUCUAUCUCUCAUCUGUGGAGUUCUCAAAGAUUGGUUCUGGUUUUUUGAGUAAUACUCCUUGUAGGCGAAUGAUUGUAUUCAAUACUGCAUUAAAAUGUCUACUAACAGUUUCUCCAAACCUUAAGAAUCGAAAUUUUAUAACUUGAUUCUUUACAUGAUGUGCAAGAAUAUGCAAGAAUAAUGCAACCAUUUCUUCUACAUCAACAUAUUUUGAAUCCUUUAGUUUACCAAUAGUACGAAGCAUAGACCAUAACAUGGUGAAAGCAUGUCUAUCCAUCCUAAGUUGCUCCAUACAUGCUAUAUCACUCCCAUAAAUAAAUCGAUUAAGAUUUUCAACUCGUAAAAAUUCUCUAUUUGCAGGUCUUUCCAUCAAUGUUGGCCUCUAAUAAUGUUUCCUUGUAGUCAUACAAAGUGUAGUAAGCAUAUUAAGUAUGUUUACUAUAAUAUAUAGAAUUAGGAUAAGUUGUUCUCUUCUGUCCAUCUCAAUGAGGUCCAUGGCUGUGCAAGAGUCCUAAUCAUAAAGGACGAAAAAAAAAAAAGCAAAGAAAGUUUUGGAAUAUUCUAUGUUUUUAAUAGGAACAACAAAAGAUUAAAUAUUCUAUGUUUGACCUCAUUAUUAAUUUUCUAUAAGCAAAGAAAAAUUAAUAUAUGCAAAUUCAUUUGUGCCAAACUAAUACUAAUUUUCAUACCUUUUAGAAAGUUAGUAGCUUAAUAGAAUAAAAAAACUAAUUUAAAUAUAAAAAGACACUAGGUUCAAGGUAAGGAUGUGAUGUUAUAACAAUAUCCUUCUAGUGCAAGUGGGGCACAUACAAAUAAGCAAAAUUUAUCAUUACAAUACUCUUGCAUGGGAAAUCUAGCAAAAAUUAAAUUAAUCUGCUGAACAUAACCAUCUGUUCUGUUGACAUUUUUGUACAUGGUCAGAAUAUGUUAAAUAACUCUAAACACCCCUACACUCUAAAUGGAUCAAAACAUCAAAUACAAGAUCCACACUACCACAAAUUUUAACUGCCCUGAGUUGACAAUUUUUAGGGUUAUUCCAAAUGGAAUAAUUCCAUCAAGGAUUAGAGCAGUGGAAAUUAGUUUUGAAUCGAAUGAUAAAAAUUAUAUGUUCUGUUGUAAUUUUUAAGAGAUGUUUCUCAGGUGCAAUCUGAAGGGCCAAACUAAAUCUUAAGUUGAAAGGUUGAGAUGUUGAGAAUUCAAGCUAGAUGUAAUAUAGUAUGUUGAAUUAUAAGUACAAAUAUAACAUUUUGAUGUUCCUCUUUUUACAGAAAGCAAAGAAAAUGUAUUAAUAAAAAUAAAUAUGGGAAUAGGUUGAGGAAUGAUAAGUUAUCAUUCAACCAAUUAAAAAAGGAAAAUGAGAGAAAAGGACAACCGUCUGUGUAGUAGAAAUAUAUCCACAAUACACCUAACAUAUAGCCCAAAUGAUGUUGCCAAACCUCAGGGAGGAAGGGAAUUCCCAACAGAAGUGUGCAAAGAAAAGGCUUUUGCUAGGCCAACAUGUCAGCUACUUGGUUUAUGGAAGUAACCUUCCAAUGGAAGGAGCAUUACAAGUCUCUAGAAAAGUCAAUACUCUUGUGAAUCCAAAAAUCCAGUUUCCAAUCCAAACUGAGAGGAACACCUAAAGACUCUCCUAGCCAUUGACUCACAAUGAGAGAAAAGGCAUUGAAAAAAAUCCUAUAACAGGUAUAAUAGGGAUGAAGCCUAAAAAGUUUCACAUGACAGACCCACAAAACUCCUGCAUACCCAAAUUCCCAAAUCAAACACUUGUGAUCCAUUGGAUCAAAGAUGCUCUAUGCUUUAAAGAACCUAAGAAAAGAAUGAAACAAGAAAAAUCAAAGAAAAGAAAAAACAAAUAUGAUAGUUCAAGCAAACACGAUUGAACCAAACACCCCUUAAGUCUGUAAAAAAAAAAAAAACCUCAAGAUUCCAAACACAAAUCAAUAAAAAAAACAAUCGAUUUAUAGAGAAGAAGAAAGAGAGAAGAAGGUAAACUUGAUCGGAGAUGUAGAAGGAGUUUUUAUAACCUAGUUGUAGCAAACAAUGACGAAUCCUGAAUCCAACAAUCAAAAUGAAUAUCUAAAACCCUAGAAAUUAGAAAUUGAAUUUUUUUUUUCUAAAUGUCGUGGAAGGUUUGAUUGAUUCAGUUUGGGAGAAUCACUUGUUGCAGAGAAGUGGAUGAUGAAUGGGUCUCUAGCUUUACAAAGAAGAUAGAAGCAUUGGGCUUGAAGAAUGAGAUAAGAGGAUGAAAUAGUAAAUUUAAGUUAUUUUAUAUUAUCAAAUAGGUUUAAUGAAUCAGAAUACCACAUACUUUUGAUGAAUUAAAAUCCGACUUAUAAGUUGAAUUUGAUUUUUGCUUGAAUAAUUUUUUAUUUAAUUUCUGCCUUCUUAACAUUUAUCCAAACAUAUGAAUAAGGGAGAAAAGAAAUGAGAUGUAUAUUUUCACUCCCUAUUCCCGUGUACCAAACACCCCCUCACUAUAUCUCAAUUAAGGUUACAUAAAAUGGUAUUUAUACUAAUCUUCAGGUAUUGAAAUUUCAAAAAUACCCUUGCAUUGUAUUGCGGGGCCCCUACACCCACCUAUCAUUCGUCCUUAACGAUAAAAAUACAAGCUUGAAUGACAAAUGUCAUCGUUCCACUCUACUUUACUCCAGCAUUUGUCCAUUUUUCUCCAUAUGUCUUUCACUCAAUAUAAGCCACAUAUAACAACAUUUUCAUUUGGGAGACCUAAAAAGUGCUUUAGAAAUGGUGAUGAAGGAGUCGGAAUGUUGUCUAUUUUUCUCCGAUUCUAUUGAUGCUUGGAAGUAGUGGUGCUUUUGGUUUUCGAUGCCAGUAAAUAUUGAACAUCCCUUGUGUUUUGUAAGAGUAUUUCCAUCAUUUUUCUUGUUUCUUUUCCUAAUUCGGAAUGGUUACACUACUUGAUCGCCAUUUUGUUUUGUUUUCUGAACAUAUUGUUAUUUUCUGAGAAAAUAUCCGUGACAGGCCCAUUUGUGGGAAAGAAGGAGAAAAUUUUGAUUAAAGAAUUCUUGUGGUGUGGACGAAUGGAAUGGUAGUUCGGUAAAUAUUUGAACAAAAUAUGGCCGAAAAACAGUCACAACAAAACUUCUCCAAUACACCUCUUCUCGCCUUUUAUUACUUAGUAUAGAUUUUCUAAAUUUUAUACAACACAUGAUUUUUCUUAAAAAAAACAUCUUUUAGUUACAAGCCAUUUUUAAUAACACUGGCAAAGAGAAUGUAAAUUAUGGGGAAUAGGCUUAGGGUGUAUAAGAAAUCAGCUGACAUCCAGCCCAAUAAUCCAAAAAUUAGGCCGGAUUAGGCCCAGCCCACUAUCACAACUAAGGCUAUAGACGCUUUAGGUUUCAUGGCAGCAGAAGGAACCCCAUCUCUGUCCACGAAAGCAUUCGAUGAUUCCUUCAAGGUACUCUUCCAAACGAUAUUCCCGAUUAGUCCAACCGACUUCCAGUUCCAGAUUAUUUAUCGUCGUUUGGGUGCUGAGAAAUUAACGAGAAAAUGAAAGAAAAGUUUGAAUCCUAAAAUAGUAAGCAGAUAGCAUCCCAAAAUGACGUGGGUCCUAAAGGCGAGUCCUUGACAACCUAAUUUCAGGCCCACAACUUUUUUCUCCUCAAUUUUAGGCCUGAGCCCAUCAUGCUCCAAGCCCAGAUGAUGUUUUAUAAUGUUAUGACGGGCGUUGACAUUGGGCCUAACGCCGUUAGGGACCGGAGGGAAACCAAUUGUUCAAAUGAAACUCGUUUUUACCGCAUUUUCUCGCCCUCUUUCCACAAAGCCAAACAGAGGCUAGGGCAUUGUGACAAGUUCUAGCCUUUUUUCCUUUACAUUUUUUCAGGAAUUCAACUCCAUCGAGGUAAUAUGUUUUCCUGUAAACCUCAUUGGUUCUGAAACUAUUAAGUUUUUGAAGUUUCCGAUUUGAAGUCUGUUCUAGCGAUCGAAUCUUUACAGUCUAUUGCAUAGAUUGGAGAUAUUGUGAAUGUGGUCGCCUGGGCUCUGUUUGAUUAGUCAUAAACUAGAUUGUGGGAGAAUUGUCUUGCGAGAAUGAUUUUAUUAUGUCCUUGUAUGCUAAGGAAGUGUAGGGAGAUGGAAAAAACUAAGAUUUAAGUUUAGGGUUUUAGACGCAAAACAAGAUAUAGAUGGGAUAGGGAAUGUUAAGGGCCUUUUGCUUUGCUGAAAUGAAAACAGUGUUUGGAGAGAGAAUUUCAUUUCCAUGUGUCGAGGCUUGUUGUUUUUUUUGAUAGUUUUCGGUUGUUAACUAUGCUAAUUUUUGGAUUUUUUUAAAAAUGAUUUUGGAAAUACCUUGCUUACUAUGUCUCCAUGCGACUUUCAUUUUUUCUCUUUUUGGAAAAAAAAAAAAAAGUUAAAAUUUCCAUUGCUUUCCUCCCUUUUCUCUGGUUUUGGUGGUAAUCAAAGGGAGAUGGUUGUGGAUGUACUUGUUCUGAUGAAUUUUUGUAUCAUUAAGUUUGGCUGGGAAUUAUGAGCUAUUUAUGGCUGAAAUUCAUUUUUUUUUUGUUCUGGGAAGAAUUUUCCUGGAAACAUUUUCCAUUGGUGAAUUGAAUGGUGGCUUUUCCAAUUGAAACCUGUAGUGAUUUAAAAGAAUGGAUUUCAAGAAUGCACAAUUUCGUCUGUAAAAAAUAAGUAGAGUUUGUACAAAAUAUCUGACUGUUUUUAUAUCAUAUAAAAUUUUAGUUUAGGAUCUUGAAGAAUUUGAUUGUUUUUUAGUAAAUAUUUUCUUUUAAUGAUAAUUUUUUUCGUACUUUCCUUUUGAAAUGUUAAUAGCACAGUUUAUAGAUAUGCUUGUAGGAAUAGAAUUGAUUGUAUGAGGACUUAUUGUCUUAGUAUUUCAGACUAGUAUGGCGAAGGUUGCUACAGCUGGUCCUUUAUCUUCCAACUCUAUUCGUUUUGGUGGGGUUUCUGGGAAGGUGGAGGCAGGAGUUAAAAGGAAGACACCAUCGGAAUUGAGAGUAAGUUUCUGAAUUCAUGGUCUUGCUCUGUUCUCUCUAUUCUCUGCAUUAUUAGAUGAUAAAUUGGGCAUAAAAUGAGUUUCUUUAGCCUUCUACAUGGAAGAUCUUGGCAGGUAGUGUCUUCUUUUUUAAUUGUUAAUUUGUUAAUUUGCAAGUUUUAUGAGAUGAAGGAACAUAGCUGUUGCUCUGCAUGUUUGCUUCACAUACAAGGAAAGGAAGAUUACUCUGAUUAUCUACUUCUACACUCUCCUGGUGCAACAAAGAAAGGAAAAAAAUUGAAUGGCUCUGAGCAUUUUUUAUUUGACAUAUUGUAGCCUUUUCAUGAAUCUAUGUCUGUUCUCUUGCAAGGAAAGAGCCCUCAUGGGGAUGCCGGGCAGUUUUCUAAGAGAAGUAGCACUUAUUUGCACUUGACUAUAUUGAGAAGUAGGACUCCUUGUUCCAACACAAUUGGGACUACCAACAUUUAAGACAAGUGCUGUAUUUGCAAUUCACAGACAACACUGUCUCUUUUUCUAAGGCCAAUGCAGAAGAGUUGCAAAAUCUUGAGAUCAUUUUGUUGAUUUUUGGCCACAUUUCCAGACUUCAUAUCAAUCUAGACAAGAGCACGUUGUCAAGAAUCAAUAUGAGUCGAGAUCAAAUUGCUAGAUUGGUUUCGUUCUUAGAAUUUAAAGUUUCCAAUUAACCUUUAACUUAUUUGGGUCUUCCAAUGGGGGGAAUCCCAAGGCUAGAGUCUUUUGAGAUCCGACCAUAGAAUUUCAAGACUGGAUGGGUGGAAAAAAGCCUUUUUGUCUAUAGGUGGAAAAAUAGUUCUAAUUUAGUCUUGUUUUUCUCACAUCCCUAGCAACUUCCUUUUGUUCUAUAAUAUUCCAUUCUUAGUGACAACAAAAAUUAAGAACAUGUAAAAGGAUUUUCUUUGGUUAGGGUUUGGGGAGGGAAAGAGAUAGUAUCUUAUAAGCUGGAUCUAAGUGUGCAAGCCUAAGGAGGAAGGUAGCUUUGGGUUUAGGAGCAUAUCUUCAAGAAAUAAGGCCUUCUUAGGGAAGUGGUUGUGGAGGUAUCCUAGGGAGAGUAUUGCUUUAUGGCACAAGGUCAUCUUGGGCAUGUAUGAGACACAUCCAAACGAUUGAGAUGCCAACAUUUUAGUGGAAAAUGGGUUAAAAAUCCGUUUGGGGAAGAUUUGUGUUAGGGGAAUUAACCUUUGGUUGCACAAUUUCUAAGUCUUUACAAGCUUUUAUUAGUUCAAAAUUCUUCUAUUUCAUUUGUCCAUGGUCUAUCUUCUCCUCUUACUUGAAACUUUGACUUUCAGCGAAACCUUAUGGAUUCAAAGACAGAGGAUCUUGAAAGACUCAUGUCCAUUCCCAAUGGUGUUAAUCUAACACUGUCAUCCCUAGAUAUGAAACCUUGGCCAUUAUCACCUUUCAACUUAUUUUUGGUCAAAUCUUUUUUCUUGACCUCAUUUAAUCAUUUAACUUUAGUUUUCUUUUCUCUUGCUAAUUUCAUAUGGGAAUCAAAAGCUUGGCCAAAGGUCAAGGCAUUUGCUUCUAUAGCGGCUAACAAGAAGGUUAAUACCAAUGACUUGCUUUAGGUGAGAAGACUGUUCAAAGCCUUAAGAUCGGAUUAUUGAACUUUGUGUAUGGAUAGUUGAGAAUCAAUGGAUCACCUUUUUUACACUGUUCGACAACUUUGGAGUUAUGACAUGAGCUAUUCAAACUAGUCGGUAGGUUGGAUUAGGUUCCUUCUAGAAUUGCUAGAGACAUGUUCACCAUUUCUUUUAGGGGUUUGGGUAGCACUAGCUGGGGUAAAGUCAAAUAGCUUGUUUUACAUUGAUUGGAUAGUAUGAUGGGAAAGAAAUGUAAGGAUCUUUGAAGACAAGUGGAGGACUUUCGAAAUGAUAUGAGACCUAGUCUACCUCUAUUCAUCAUUUUGGGCCUCUACUACUAUAGUUUUCAAGGGAAUUCCUCUCAACAUUAUUUAACUUGAUUGACUUUCAAUAUGUAGAUCGAAAGGGUUAAAAUAGCAGUGUUGAAACAUUUCAAUGUCUUUUGGAUUUCUUUUUUCCUUUCUUUUGAUCAAGUUUUAUAAUUAGGGAAAGAUUUCUUAUCCUUCUCUUGUUUACUUUUUCAAUGAAAAUGUUUUUUGUUUCUAAUAAAGAAAGUUGCAAGUUUUAUUUAUUUUUAUCAACCAUGAAAGUCAUGCUGAAUAUGGAAAAAUGCACAUUUCCUGGGAAAUACUGCAAUGCUUUUGUCUUUUGGUUUUGUUUUAUGGAAGUUAUUAAUGAUUUUUUGGUGGGUAAUUUAUUUGGUUUCACAUUAAUAGAAGUCUCUUGGGAAUUACAGCAGUGUUUUCAUCUUUUGGUUUCAUCUUCCUAAGUUACUAAUGAUUUUUUUUGGUGGGUAUUAUAUUUGUUGCCACACUAGAAUGCAUUUUAAAAAAAAAAAAUCUGUGGUUGGAUUUCUUACUGUCAUGGCCUGCAAUUUAAUGGGUUGACUCAUGGAACAAACAUAAAAACAGGCUGGACCCUGAUCAAAGUCGGAUGCUGUGAUAUCCAGUUGCUGUGGUGUACAGCAUCUUCCAACUUUUCAUGUGAUGUAAAAUGGAACUGUUGCAUUUUACUUUAGCUUUAUAGACUUCAAAUAUUAUCCUUAAUUGGCAACAAAUCUUACCACAUUUCUUUGCAAUUUGGUUUCUGAGGAGCUUUCUGCAUGAUCUUUGCAAAUGUUUCUGGAGGAAAAUUCUUAAGAUUUUCUGUGUCUAUUAUAGGGAGAGCAGUUAAAGCGAAGGAAUGUUAUAGAGCUUGUAGAUGAAUCUCCAGCUCCUUUGCUUGGUUCUACAAGGUAAGCUUUGUUGUAUUUCUUUAAAUUACCUUGAUUUAUAUUUCACUAAGUUCUUGCUUGCUUCUCUCAGGAACACCAAUGAGCUCAAGAAACAAGAUGUUUUCAAAGUUCCAAGAUACAUUGACACCCGUAUGGAUGAAGUUUUUCCUGCCAGAAAGUCUAGGUUUAGGAUGCUUCCUGGAAAAGAAAAUGCUAAGGUACUAUACAUUUUCAUUUAAAAUUGAUUUAGUAUCAAGUAUGUUUACUGUAACAUGUUAGAACUGUCAAAUCAUUAAUCUGUCAAGAUAUUGAAUAUGCCAUGCAAUUUACCAUGCAUUAUUACUGUCUUAAUUUAUUCAAAUUUUUUAAUAUGUGCAGGAAGAUAUUUCAACUGAGCCGGCUGGCUGCGUGAAGAAUAUGCGUGUUUCUUCAAAUUCAGUUGUCAAGAGUCAUCCACAACUUUCAUGGUAUGCAUUUCCAGGACAGUGUACUUUUUUUAUAAUUAAUAAGUCGUUUGCUUUUUUCAUAUUUAUUCUAUUUCUUAUUUCUAUCAGUCCAGAGAAUACUGUGGCUUCAGCUGCAGUUUCCAAAGAUGGUACAAGGCAAGAUUGUGAAUAUGCUGAAAAGUGCAGUCAAAGCACAUUUCGUAGUGUGGCUGAAUUAUCACUUGGUAGUGAGAGGAUAUCUGAAAUAGUUUCUGUUGAUAUGGUAUUUUUGUUAGCAUUUUCCCCUUUUAUUUACCUGAAGAAAGUUCUGUGUCAAAAAAUAAAUCUAUUUAUUUUCACAGGAUAGAGCAUUAAAAGGACUGGUUGCCCGUGAACCCCCUGCUUUUUCUGGUUUAGCUGCUGAUUCUUCUGAAAAGUUUGGCAAUCUUACUUCAAUCUCUUCUGGCAAUUUCUGCUCUGAAUUUCAUAUUCCUGGGCAAAAGGCCCCACUGGAUUUUACGUUAAAAACUAAUAUGCAGAUAGUGUCUUCUUCCUCUGUGAACUGGUGAGUCUGCUGAUAUGUUCUGUGUGGUUGGUUCUCAUUAUAGUUACAUAUCUCACCUAUUUCUAGAGAUUAUUUUGUUUACUUUAAGGGUGAAAAAUAAUGCUUCCUCAUCUUUACUCUAGUUUCAUCUGGAAUUUGUUUUUUUGGAUGUGAUCUGAUGCAUGAAACUGGUGUUGAACUUAAGCUAUUAACUUGAGAAGCCUAGAUAAGGGUUUUUGGUGGUUUAGGAUGACUACCAUAAAAUAUGUUCUAUGAAAAACAAUGUAGCAUCAACAAGUCUGUUGUAUUUUUGGGAGGAUUCCUCAUCCUUCUUUUGUGUUUCUUUAUCCUUAAUUUAACACAUUUGUUGUUUUUGAUAAAAUAUAUAUAUAUAUAUAUCCUCAAAAGGUAGGAUACAAACGCAAGGACCUAAUAACAUAUUAAUAUAUAUUUUUAUAUAAAUUAUAUAAUAUCUGAAAAUUAUGAGUGUGGUUUGUUCAUCUAUUUUUUAUACUAAAUUGCAUAGCUUAGAAGAAGCAGCUCGUUCGCUUGUAUCCAUGCUUAGAGCAUCUCUAAUGCAAUACCAAAGUAGUUUGCUAUUGCCAAAAAACAACAUAGUUUUUAAAUAUUGGCACUCCAAUGGCAGCUGCCAUUAUUUGGCUUUCCUUUUAGCAUUGCCAAAUGCAAUGCGAUCUUUGGCAUUUGGUUGGAGAAUGGUGGUUGAUUGCAUUGUGGUCCAGCACUAAAAUUUGGCAUUGUUAGUUUAAUAUUUAAGUUGGAGAGUAAUUACCAAUGCCAAAAAAUAAGUUUGGCAUUUGUUGUUUUAGCAAUUUGCAUUGAAGAUGCUCUCACUGUGUAAUAUUUUUUUUCAAAAAAAUGCUCUCACUGUGCGCAUUCUUAUCAUGUUGAAUUUUUUAUUUUUUUUAUUUAUUUUAUUUUUUAUUUAUUUUCUUUUGUAAGAUUUAAGGUUUUAUCAAAAUUAUACCAGGCUUAACUGCAGGUAAAUAAUAUGUUGUUACUGUGACUUAUUUAAAUCAGGUUCCUUCAUUGGAUAAGGUUUUCAGAAACAUGUAACACAAUAAGUGGUGCAUAUAAAUUUUUUUAACAAUGCAGUCACAAAUACAAAAACAAAAUUACUAAUUGGACUACUACAUAAAUUGAUUGAGGAUAUAGCCUUCAAAUAUGUAAUUGUACUUGAGUGGUUUGGAGAAUGAUGACUGGCUAUCUGUCCAUUUGUUUGUAUAAGAUUUGACCAACUUGUGUGCCUAAACUUGAUUACUUAUUUAUAUUGGUUAUUCCCUUGAAGUUAAAUGGCAUGCCCAGUUAGUCUCAUGCUUACUCUGUUCUUGAAAAUUAUCUAUACCAUACCAAUUUACUGAAAAACUGGACUGAUGCAUUAUUGAGAGAAAUACAAUUCAACAUAACUUUUGGUUUUUCUGAUUUUCAGGGAUAUGAAGAUAAGAUAAUGGGUUCAUUUUAUUGUUUAGGUGGUUGGUAGUGCACUUUGUUUAAUGCUAUAUGAUGGAAACUUUAACCAUAAUGAAUUUGUCAGUGCAAUUCUUUGAGAAUCUGUAGUAUUCAAAGGAAUUGGUUAUCUGUGUAUAGAAGAUGCUGUGGAAGAAAGAAGUAAUCUAAAAUUUUUAUUUAUGAACAAAAUUUUAUGAGGGAAAAAUUUACGCAAUAAAAGAGAAUUGUUACUUCAAUGGCACAACCUUAGUUAUUCUUCAAUUGCAACUUCCUUUUUUCAUAACUGUCUGGGGCAUAGGCAUGUUAUUGUUUGCCCAUUGGGAAUGAUUCAGGCAUGAGAGUGAUUUACAUUCAAAUUACUGUUGAUCUUUUCUAAAUAUCCUGUUUCACUUGUCCAGAUGUCUUUCCCAUGAAACUAUAAUUUUGUUGCUUGAAAUUUUGAGAGAAUAUCAUAAUUGCCAGUUAAGUGGUGAUGGUGUGAGAUUUAGAUGCUUUACUAAUUUUCUUUUGUAUUAUUUUGAUGCUCUUUUGCUGUAGUAUUUGGAUCUUAUUUUUUCUGUUAAAUCAAAUUUUAAAAAUUCAUACUUUGGUGCUAACAUUUAAUUAACCCACAUAUAUUUCUGCUUUGGGAUACAUUUGCUAUUUUUCCUUGAAGAAUAAAUUUUUGUACUCAUAUUUGACUAGAAGAAAUAUCAUUGAAUUAUGUCUAGCCUAUGCUGAUUCAUUUGAUAUCAUAUAUUCUUUUUAUAUUUAUUCCUAGAUCAUUGGUUCUAUAUUGUGUUGGUAUUCGUAAGCAUUACUAGUUUAUGCAUUAAUAAAAUAUUCAUCUUGCCAUAUAUAUGGGUUACGUGUAUGCAGAUUGUUGCAUAAUCUAUGUAUGCACUACUAAUGUAUAUUCCACGACACUCACCAUUAGAUUGCUAGUAGGAGGUGAUUUUAGGUAAUUAACCUUAUCUCGAAUUGCCAUUUCCUAGGUUUCAUAGAUUGAACAUGUCUGCUACUUACAAUGGUACGACCCUAUUCACACCUCAAUUUGGUUGUUCCAAAGAUCAAAAUAUUAGCUGCUCCUCUGGGCUCACUUCCACUGCCCAAAUAUUCAAUUAUAGAGCUUUGCACUCCUGGGUACACCCUCAAUCUUCUCUACCACCAUCUGUCAUAUCAGCAUUGACCUUAUCUGCUGCAGAGGGAGGUUUGUGAGCCAAAUAUUUUAUUAGUAUGAAAUUUAAGUUUUUCUUUUCCUUUCUUCUCCUCAAUUUUUCUUAUAACAAAUUUUCUUGGUCAAUUCUGUGGAAGCAGAUUUCUUAAUCAAACGACAACUAGCAUGGGAGGACUCAUUUCGAAGUCUCUAUUACAUGCUUAGAAAGAAUAUCUGUAAUAUCUUCUAUGGUAAUUACCUUCUUCCAUGCUUCAUAGUAGUUUUCAAUUGUACGUAAGUUCUUGUAAGAUUUCAUAUCUUGUUCAUAUGGAACUACUUUCAGAUUAAUAGAAUACCUUUUUAAUCCCUUAUGGUGAAUGAUCUUUUCCUGUGUUACCUUCUUCCAUGCUUCAUAUUAGUUUUCAAUUGUGCCUAAAGUAAUACUUAUUAAAAAAAAAGUAUUAGUUUAUGUUUUGGGCUCACUUAAUUGCUUUAGCCAGUUUCUGUUUCGUUUUUGGAAUCCCAUGGUCUUUGUCAUUGUGAUGAAAUUUCUGAGUAUUUAUGUUCUCUUUGUUCUUCCUGGGCAUUGCAAUUAUUUGGUGUACUAAUUCUUAUAAAAAAGGAAAAGAUAGUAUUAUAUGGAGAAAAAUAAGCUGUUUGUUACUUUGUGCAUUAAUGCUUUUUUUUUUCUUCCUCUUGUUGGAGUCACAAUAAAAGAUAAUAUUACACGGAAAAAAAUAAGCUGUUUGUUACUUUGUGUAUUUGUUCCCUUUUUUCCCUCUAUUGUGGGAGGAAUCACAACAAUAUUGAUUAUUUUAUGAAUUUGAAGCAAAAUGCUUAUAGUUUUGAAAUUUAAUAAUUUGUUAGUGUUGAACUCAAGGCUACAAAUGUUGGUUUUAGUGGACAUUUCAUGGUGUUUUAGUUGACAUUUCAUUGGUCCUAGGUAUAAUAAUGUUAAUAUAUCUAUGUUUAUGCCAAUGUCAUCAUUGAGAAAAAUUUUUGGUGAUUUGCAUUAAAAAAAGUAUACUUUCAGUUAAACCUCAAAAUUUAUAAUAAUUUAGAAGUUAAUCCAAAUUCUAUAUUCUUAGAAAAUUUGAAGAAUUAAUUGCAUUGAUUAAACAAAAUCGGGUUUCAAUAGAUUACCAAAUAACUGUGACGAUUAUUUCAUAAAGUGUGAGAAUUUGUAUGGAAAGGAAAAUCUGUGUGUUGUUAAAUAAUAGUGACCUAAAAGCCUUAAAGAGUCACAAUCCAUAUUCUUAGCUCAGAAAAUUUGGAAAUUAAAUUGCAUUCAUGUUGACCAAAACUGGGUUUAGAUAGAUGACAAGAUAACACACUGAAGACUAUAUCAUAAAAAAAUCAGAGUCUAUUCUAGUCUGUAAUUCUAACACAGAAUCUUGUGGAAUAUUAUGAUAGUCAUUCACAUGAAAUAACAUAGUCUGGCACAAUAGACCACAUUACAUGUGAUAGUCCUGAUGUUAUGUCUUCCCAAAUUUACUUCUCUUAGUCUUAGUGUCUCCAACAUUGAUAAUACAUAAACAAUACCUUAUUAUAAAAGAUUGACAUAUUACAAGUUCAACAUGCUUAUGGAGUAAAGUAUCUUUUUGAGAGCUUUUACUAACAUUGGUAUUUUCCCUUUUGUUGAUCAAAAUACCAUGCUGGAAACAAAUGAACAACAAAAUUAAAUGAAGGACAAUGCAUUCUUGCUUAAUGCAACACAAAAUCUGUGUCAUGAUUGAGUUGGUGUAGUACCACUCCAUGUAUUCUUUUAUGCCCAUUGCUCAGUAUAAAGACAGCUAGUUGUCAUUUAUCAUUCUUUUUUUUUUUUUUUAUAUUAGAAACAACAGAUGUAUUAAUUAAAAGUUUAUAAAAACAUGAGAAGGAUGAGAAUCCUCCUCAUAAUAUACAAACUUGAUCAAAAGACUUGAAGAAAUCUUCACAUACAAGGAAGGCUAUACUAAAAGAACAAAAAGGCCUAUACAAGUAUACCAUCUCCUGAAGCUCAUUUAGGAACCUCACCCUGUAGGCCCAACCUUAGGGUGUACAUAUUGAAAGCCAACUCAAGUGAAUUACACUCAAGGGAAAGGGUUUAAAAAUGUUAGUACAAUAGACCCAAAAAGAAACAUAGAAGUGAAGCAAGUCUCACAUCAUCUCGUGUCUUCCAAGUAUCCUAAAAAAUCCUAGCAUUCCUUUUUCUCCACUUAGUCCACAACAAAGCGAGACAAAUGAUCUGCUAUAGAGUCUUUGCCUUUGGUAGAGUUCCCAAAACACUUGAAAGAAAUAGUCAUCAUAUUGCGAAUACUGCUUGGUUAAACCCACACCAUCCCAACUUGUGAGAAUAUCCUAUGCUAUAACCCCAAAGUAAUUGGACAAUGUAGGAAAAGAUGAUCAGUUGUCUCUCCACUCCUACAUAGGAUACACCAAUCAGGGUUAAGGGCUUUGAACGACCUUCUCACAUAUAGCAUGUCAUUGGUAUUUACCUUCUUAUGUACCACUAACUAGGCAAAGGCCAUGACCUUAGAAGGGACUCUUGAUUUCCACAUAAAUUUAGCUGGUUGGAAAGGAACUGAAUUUGAAAAAUUGGACAAGGCUAAGAAAAAAGAUUUUAUUGAAAAUACACCUAAAGAAGAAGGUGCUCAAGCUUUCGCAUUUGGAACAAAAGGAGACAAAUGUACAUGGGAAAGUAAAAUCAUUAGUUUUUCAAGAUCCUCAAUCUCCACACUAGUUAGAUUCCAACAGAAAAUAAGAUCCCAAGACAAAGAGGUGUCAUUACCCAAGAUGGCUGAAAUGGAUGGAUGACAAAGAGGUGUCAUCUAUCAUUCUCACAUCUUUCAUACAUGAUCGUUUUCACAUGUUCCCUUACUUCUAGCAUGAAGGUCUAUCUUCGAUUCUUGAUGGUUUUGAAUAUCCAUAAUGAUCUUGUCCAUAUAAUCAUAUGGUAGGGGCUGACAAUUCAUCACUGGUUUGCAUACUGUAGUGUUAUGACACUGUAACUAAAUUUGCUGCUUCAUAACCACAACAAUUUCUUUGGCAAAUUGGCUUGCCUAGGCCAUACUUUUGCAAUGGCUGGUUUCUUUCCUAUCGAAAAUGGAGUUUUUUCUUUAGGAAUUUUCAAUACAUAAUUGCAUAUAAAGCAAUUUGAAUUAUGUGAUGCUUUCAUCAUAUUGUUUUUGGUUGUGUCUACUAUAGAGUUUAUUUAUUAUUCUCUGGAAGCUCUAAUUAUAACAUUGAAAUUGAAAGAAACUUCUUUCUUUCUCCUUAUAAUCCCUACACCAUGACUUAUGUGGACCAUAAUGUUUGAGCCUUUUUGGUUGUUCAGGUUGUAAUAGGAGCAAAAUGUGCAUGAUCUGUUCAUUUUGGAUUUUUAUGCCUGGAUUUUUUUUUUUUUUUUUUUGGGUUUUUUUAUUAGUUAAAUUUAUUUUGUAUGUCACACUGUACACUGAUUUUUCUGUUUUAUCGGAAACUUUCUAGUUUGUACUUCACAGUUUGUGGUGGUGUUUGCUGGUGGUGACGGCUCAGGAGGAAAGAAACAGUCCUGUAAUGCUUAUAUCUCCCAGUCAACAAGAGGCUUAAGGUCAUUGCUGAGAGAGCAUGUAAGAUGUAUCUCUUUUAUCUUUUAAAAUUUGAAUGGAUAGGAAGUUUAUUUUGCUCUUUAUGGAACAUGUUCAUAAGCAAUUUUCAUGUGGAAAAUAUGUUAUAUCUCACUCAAAAAUACUGAUUCGAGUUUUUUCUGCUUGAAUAUAAAAAUUAGUUCCUGAAAUAAGAUAUUACUUUUUUUUUUGGCACUUGGUAUUAACUGAGAUAGUGGCAUUGAAAUAGAAAUCAUGGGGCUGCUUAUUUUGACUUAAAAACCUGGAAAUAGUGGCUGCUUCUUUAUUAGAGGUUUAAAUACGAGGUUUAUAAAAUUGUGACAGAAAUGAGUGCAGUGACAAUAUUUUUGUGUUCUUUCUGCAAACUUCUAAGCUAAUCUUGGAGUAACAAUUUUAAACCAUUCUUGUGAAAUUAAGAGGAUUACCAAAUUUAUUGAUUUUGAGAAUAGUUGAUAUUUAUUAAGGAACUUGAUCUGCCGACCAAGUGGCUAACUGUUAGAUCAUGAGAGAUAAUAAUUUAUCAGGGACCUUGAUUGGCUGGCCGAGGGUUUACUGUGUUUGACUUUUACCUACUAAAAAAACUGUCAUCCUUGAUUUUAUUGAGGCAUUGGCUGCUCUAUAUUUUUGGUUUUUUUCUCAUUGCUGAGCAAUCAUUUUGCUUUUUCAGAAAAUUCUUGUAAUUUUGUCUUAUAUAGUAGGCCAACAAUGUAUAUCGAGUUAAGUUGACUUAGGCUAAAGCCUUAACGUUCCACCUGACAUGCAACCUUCUCUUGCUUGUAUUUGGCUCAAUAAUGGGGAUUAAGCAAGCAAUGAGGUUCGAACUUAUGGCCUGUUAGAAACCAAAGCUCUUGUACCAUGUUAAGCCCCAAAACUUAACUGUUGGAUAAUCGACUGAUGAUGUAUAUUAUGCUGACUUGGAGGAAAACCCUAAUUGUCUUCUCAUUUUUUUAUUUUUUAAGUUCUCAAUUCAUAUAAGAAAAUGAAAGAAAAUUUGAAUCAAUGAAGAAGUGGCCAUAUUUAGGUAAGGAUGCAUGAGACUAUGUGUGACAGACGUGAUACCUGGAUUGUCAAUUUUGCUGAAAGUAACCAUGUUGACAAAAAUUGCAUGGAUAUUGUUGUGGGAUCCUCAUGGGAUAUAUUAUUUGUUUUUUUACUUGGGACUGGCUAAUUGGUCAAUAAUUUUUAAAGUGAAAUUUUUGGAACUUGGUCUUUAUGAGAUGAAUUAAGACUAAAAAAAGGAAUUGGGUUUUGUUGAGGAUAUUCAAGGAUAGGAGGAAAGAAAAAGGGCUUUUAUGAGGAUAUUUAAAGAUAAAAAAAAUUGGGUUUUUCUGGGCAGGUGGGGUGAUAGAAAACAGGUCCCUUGGUACUUCAUUAGCAUAAAUUUUUUACUUUUAGGAUAAUAACAUUUAAAGAGAUGAUAAAUCAAAACAAAGGUAAUAAAAUAAAGGUAAAGGGAUAGAUAUGGAUAAAUGAUAAAAAAUAUAUAGAUAUAAAAUAAAAUUAGUGAAAGAAAUAUGUAUCCAAAUUGUAUAUUAACAAAAUUUGCAAUUUCCAAAGACAACAUGACAGACAAUAUAAAUUAAAUUUUUUAGCUCAUUUCCUUCAUGCCUUGGAGUAAUAUGACUUGGAUUACUAAAGGGUGAUUUUAUGGAUUCCAUGAUGAAUAAAGUAGACAUAGAUCUAAGUAAGCACUCAUAAAUAUUUGACUUUUAACCAUGUCCAAGUAUCUGUACCCAUUGUAAGUUCCUUUCAGCAAAGUCCUUGUAUCUUAGAGUUUGUGAAUUUGAAUGAUUAGAUGUGUAACACAUACCUGUAUCUAAUACUUGCAACUAAAUCCCUGUAACAUAUGUGGCAAACAGACAUAAUUUGUGAUUGUUUCCAUCUGUUGCAUGUGCGAUCAGGGGUUGCUUGGAUUGUUUUAGGGCAGCGUAUCUGAUUUCAAUUUGAUAUAAUUGGGUUCAAAGAACUCAGAAAAAAAUAUGGAAGCUCAGAACUAUAAAUGAUUUUGUCAUUUUGAUUCAGCAUAACGAUGGGUUCAAAUGUGGAUCAAAGUUGAAAAUCUUGGUAACCUAGUGGGCAAACCCCAACUCUGCAACCAUGUAAUGAGUUAUAUGCUUAUGAAUUUGUGCCUGUCAUAUAAGCUGUCUUCUUUUCAGGAUGCUGGACCUCUGAGAUUAUGAUAUUAAGGGCUUGCAGUGCUAACCAUUUUAACUAAUUAAUCUCUGUUUUGGAUUAUAUAUAUAUAUUUUUUCCAUGUUUGUGAUUUUUUUUUUUAAUCCAAUGAGCUCUAACUUUUUCUUUUGUCUGUAUAUUAUGAAAACUAGGAUGUUUGUUUCUCUAUGCCUCUUUGCCAUUCUAAAGUAGAACAAGCCACCACUGAAGACCUGGUUGAGCUCUCAGAGAUUGAGAAAUGCAAUCUGGGCCAGGUUUUUGUCUAUGCUUUUAAUUUUGAUUGUCUUUUAUCUUUCACGUUGCUUAACUUACACCUGGAAUAGAACAUGGGAUGCCUUUCUCUGCCAUUUUUGGAACUUACAUGCUUGCUUAGACUACUUGCUUGUUACAGUUGCCUCAAUGGGAUUUUCUUAGGCAUUUAGUUUAUGACAAAUUUAUGAGCAGCAAGGGCAAAAUAUAAAGAGUGAUGUCUGUUGCUGUUUUUUUUUUUCCAAAAUUUGAUUAUGAAAACCUCCUUAGUUACAGAAGCAUGCCUACUUCUCCUGAUGUUCUUUGUGAUUUAUUACUCAUUGGUGAUUCUCAUUUCAAUUCAGACUCGACGUCUUGGUUCCAUAUCUGAUGUGGAUAACAGCCCACAGUCUUUGCUGUCUUUCAGUGGAAACAAGAAUGUGCAUGCUUUAUAUGACUUUAUGCUAAAUUAUAGGUAAAUACCUAGCUAAUGUCUGAAGAAUUACAUCUCUCUAGUAAGUUAGGUACUUUGUCUAUAUCUCUGUUCUCUUUUAUUGCCAGUGGUUCUUCAUUUCUUAUGGCUGUUUCCAGAUCUUUCUUGACGUCCUUGACAAGUGUGGAUGUUCCUCUUCUGUAUUCACCUGUUCCAUUUCAGAAUGCUGCUCUUUCUGCUCCAGAGGUAAGUGUAAUUUAAUUCAAAUUUAAUGGUUAUAGACCGGUGUUAGUGACCUUUGUAUCCCUUGGCCAAGAAUGCAUUUCCAAGAGCAAAUAUACGUCUCAGCCAGAUUCUCACAUAAACGGUGGCCAACAGUUGGAUGUUUAGACCACCAUAUUGAAAAUAUAUCCGAACCAUUUCUGUGCAUAUGGGUGGGGUGGUCCAAAAUUUUGAACCUUCUAAUGGCAAGUGCUUCCCUGCUACUGCUUUGUGUUCUCAAAGUGUCAUCAAAUAGGAUCACUGAACUUUGUUCUAACAUGAUUGAAGUAACUUUGACCAAUCCUUAUUCCACCUUUUCUUAUUGUUAUAAUCAUUUAUCAACCUUUCCUUGUAUCUGCAUCUGACACAAAGAGGUCCGAUGCAUGUAUUACCACCCUUGUCAUGUAAUAUAACCUACUCAGAUUCUCAGAAUACAUUGCUUUUCUUUUAUAGGAUUACCGAUUACCUUGGAAGGACAGUAGUCAUCCUUUGAAAUUAGAGCAAAAUGGUUCUUUAUAAAUUUUAUUACUUGUACAAAGAUAAAUAUUUAUUAUGAUUAAUUUUAGUUGCUUGGUUUUCCUUGCUAAUUCCUGCGGGGUAGAUGCUUGGAAUUUUUCAGUAGUGACUUCUUUUGCAGGUCAGUUGCAGGGAGUUGAAGAGAGCUGAUCAUGUUGCUUUUCCUCUUAAAGGAUCCAAAAUGAAAGACGAAGCAAUUGAAAGUGUUUCAGCUGGUCUCUCCUAUAGCAUUGAAAUCAAGGAUGCGUACAUUCCACCGUGGAUAAUAUCCAGUAUAUGUGCAACCAUGGGUUCUGAAGGGAGGAGCUUUGAGGCAAGGUAUGACAAUUGUGCCUGAUUAUUUUCUAUGACUAACCCUAAUCUCACCACAAAAAGCUGCAGUAGUGGUAGAAGAAUAAAUAUAUGUAGCUACGAGCUUUGGCUUUCAGUUAUUCAUCUUACUGGAAACCAUGUCAGUAGAUAUUAUUUUACACACAUUUGUUGGCAUGUUGUAUGGCCAUAUAUAGAUAGCAUUACCAGCUGGCUAACAAGAAUAAGCUAACUUUGUGUGUGUGUGUGCAGUUUUACAACAGAGCCUACUUCAAUUGGCCUAAAUGCUGCUGUUGAAACUGUUGGCCAGAAAUCUGAUACCCAAGCAGCAACAGGUGAAGCCAUACAAGAAAGCACAUAUGCAUUUGGGGUUCCGGAGGCUGUUGUAACUUCUUACAUGCAUUCGGCCUUUUUAAAAGGCUUGAAAUAUGCCAAUGGUUCUUAUACGGCUCGUCUUUCUCCUGUAUAACAGUUCUGUUUUCAUUUGUCGAGUGUUUCAACUAUAUGUUGCUGGUCAAUUGCCUGUUCCCCCUCAUUAAUUAUUUUCUCUGUGCUUCUGGGUUGUAUUAUCUUAUCUGAUUAACUUUACUUGACCAACAAUUUUUUUUUAAAUUGUUGGAACAAAUUUAGUGGUGAGUCUAGUUAAAAUAAACAGAUACUUGAGUAGCUCCUUUUCAGUUCUUCUGGUAUGAAGUGUGAGAAAGAUUAGUGACAUGGAUUGCAAGAGCACAAACCUUGUUUGAAACGAUGGAAUAAAAAACUUUUGAAAUCAGCUUGGUAGCUAUGUAGCAAGUUGUUCACUAUCCGAAUUGGUGUUCCAGCUUCCCGCCUGAUUAUCCCAAGUGGAAUGGCUAGCUUCUCACUAUGCCUGUAAACAAUGCAUCUGUAUUCCCCGUGUACUCUGCUGCUCUUAUCUUCAUAAGGAUCUCUUCCCACAUUUUCUCAAUCUUCUCUAUUUCAGGAUGUGAGCUUUCUCCAACUGUGAACUUGUGGAUAUUCUCUUCCGACUUUUGCUUUCAUCGUUUGCCUCAUCUUGGUGACUCCCCCCUGCUUUGCAUUUGCAUAAAUGUUUGACAGGAAAAUUUUGAUUGAUUCCAUCAUGAUCGACAAAAGAAUCAAUCUUGGAUUUAUUAUUUUCCAGCACUUGUGAGAGCCAGUCCAAGAUACUCUCGUAGAUAUCUGUUUACUCAGAUUUUAAAGGCGUAUAACGUGGAGUUGAGGGCUGAGAACGAUGUCCAGUGCCCCACAGCUUAUGGCAUAUAAUUGGAAAUCCAUGGAUCAGAUGUAGUUUGAGCGCCUUCCAAAUGGCUCUAGGAUUCGCAAGUAGGGUGGUAAGGAGUUUGCUGAUGAGCUUGUUGAAGAGCAAGCCGAGAUACUUGGCAUGGAGAGAGGAGAGUUUUAGCCAGACCCUGAUACUGAGGAGAUGCAUACUGAGAAGCCUCUCCAUUCCGAUUAGCUCGAGAUGCCAUUUCUGACUCAUCCAGUGCUAACUAUGUCUACUGAGGAGUCUCGUCUCUCACUAAGAUUCCUUAGCCCCCACCACCUCAUUGUUUGAGUUCACUGUGCCAUACACCAAUCCAUCCUCUGCUCAGCAGUACUGGGCAGAUAUCUCUGCUCAGAUUGGGUCCCUUGGCACUCGCAUUGAGGAGUUUGCUCUGUUUAGUGAUCCUCGCUUCUAGUCUAUUGAGGAGUGCAUGGACUCGUAUCAAACACAGAUGACUCUGUAGUUCCAGACUAAAUUUGAUAUUCUGUCGACUCAGGUUCACUCUCAGCACAACCAGAUGAUGGAUUACCUUCGCUCCAUCUUUCCACCUCCACCUCCCCAGCCUUGACUCCGAGCUAGUUUUGUUUUUCCCCUUGUUUUUUAUGCUGCCAAAAGGGGAGAUAUUUUCAUAUGGGCAUAUCUAAGCUAGAAGAUUUUCUGUUUUUUGGACAUGUUUUAAUAUAUACAUUUCAUACUCUGGAUUAUCUUUUAGACAUGCUUAGCUUUGUUAUGGUUAUUUUGUCUUGUUGGUAAUAUGAAUGACUAUUUUUAUCACCACUUGGAUAUUUUAUAUUCAUAGUUUCAGUAGAUAUUCUAUUACUUAUUUAUUUAUUAAUUUUGUUGAGUACUGCUUGGAUCUCUACAUAUGUUUGACCCCUGUAUAUUCCAUGGCUCACACAUGAUAUUUAUUGGUUCUUUAAUCUUCUUAGCUAGCUUUGGAUCUUUACUUAAUUGUCAUUAUAUGGAUGACCUCUCAUUUAUACAAAUUGUUCAUCAUUCAGCUGUUUUUAGAAUCCUUGGUUAGUUGCUUAUACAAAUCAUUAUCUUGAUGUAGACCUUCCAUUUUGUCCUAGCAUAUGUUAUUCUAUGUAUUUUCUUUCACUUUUCUUUGCCUUAUAACCGUCCCAUGGUGGUCCAUUGUCAUUCAUUUGGUACUAUUUUUUAGUCACCUUUGGAGAUUCAUUGUUAAAGGAUUUUUUUAUGGAUCCCAAAUGUGACCUUAGUUGCACUUUAAUUUAGCUCCCUUAGUUACAUUUUAUAUUUAACUCACUUAGUUGCAUUUUGGUUUAACUCACUUAAUUAAUUGCAUUUUAGGUUUAAUUCACUUAAUUGCAUUUUAGUUUAGUUCACUCGGUUACGUUUUAGGUUUAGUUCAUUUAGUUCACUUAGUUGCACUUUAACUUAGCUCACUUAGUAAUAUCUUGACUUAGUUUACUUAAUUGCAUUUUAGGUAUAACUCACUUAGUUGCACUUUAACUCAGCUCGCUUAACUUAAUUAUGUUUUAGGUUUCGUUCACUUAACCUAGCUUACUUAGUUGUAUUUUAGGAAAUUUCUUAGUUGCAUCUUAGUUUAGGUGCACUUUAUGAUGGUUCAUCUAAAUGCAUAUUUUAGUUCAUUACAUUUAGGGGGGUGUUUGGUACAUGGGAACGAGGAGUGAGAAUAAACAUCUCAUUCAUUCCCUUCCUCGUUCCCAUGUUUGGAUAAAUUUUAUGAAGAUAAGAAUGAAAUAAAAAAUGAUUCCGGUAGAAAUCAAAUCCCACUUAUAAGUAGGAUUUCAAUUCAUUACAAAUAAGUGGUAUUUUAAUUCAUUCAUUCCAUAAGAAAAUAUAAAAUUAUUAUUUUACUCUUAAAUUUCAUUCAUCAAGCCCCUGUCUUUCAUCAUAAUAAAACUAUUUUUUUAGUCUUAUUAUUUAGUUACAAAAAAAACUCUCAAAUUUUAUUUUUUUAAAAUAAAUAAAAAAUUAUUUUAAACUGUGUACGAGUAUUAUUGUUAAUUUAUUUCUCUAUCAUUCUUAUUCUUAUUACUACCAAACAUUAGAAUGGAAAAAAAUAAUCAUUCCAAUAUCAAAUUCUUAGUUUAUCAAAACACUAGAAAUGAAAUCACCAAAUUCAUUUUCAUUCACCAAAAAAUAGAAAUGAAAAUAAAAUAUUUAUUUUCAUUCUCUAUUACUUUGUACUUAAUACUCUCUUAAGUGCACUUUAAGAUAGUUCAUGUAAAUGUAUUUUAGGAUGACAUUUUAUAUCACAUUGCAUGACAUGUGCAUGAGGUUGUUUGGGAAAUCAAAAUUGGAGAUUGAAGAGGAUUUUUUAAGGUGUACACGGUUUGGAGAGUUGGAGUUUAGGAUUAAGAUUUUAAAUGGGAAAGGAAGACUCAUUCGAAGAUGGCUCAGGGAAUCCUAGGAAGGGUAGGACUCUUGGAGAUUCACGCGUGGGCAUUGGGAUCGGAAGACACCAAAUUGAUUUUGAUUUUGGUAGGACCCCCUUAGCCCACGACUGCCCAUUAGGACUCUUGAGGGUUUCACACGACUACAUGGAGAUUUUCAAGAAUAAGGACAGACUAGGAUUCGCUUGGGAUACACACGACAUUGAGGAGAUUUGAGACUAAAGGACGAGGUUUUGAUUUUUGCAGGAGUAGGAUUCCCUAUGAGAAGAUUAUCAUUCACGCAUAGGAGAUUUGGGAGAUGACUUUUUUUUGGAGAUGUAGAAGGAUAGGAGAUUUGGAAUAUAAAAUGUAAAAAUAAAGAUGGUAUAACUUCGAACAUAACUUUUUGUUAUAUGAAUUUUAUGUUGUUGUACAAAUUGUUAAUUAACAAUUUUAUUCUUUGUAACUUCUUUUCGUAACAAAAUGCAUAUUAGUAACUUUGACAUAACCUCUAGAUAGUGCAAAGAAUGUUGAUUUUUUUGUUUUCAUAAUUUUUGAUUUAAAAAAUAAAAUUACAUAGCUUUUCGUUAAACAUAAUUUUUUUAUAAUGGAACAUUUUUCAUAUAACUUCUCAUUGUAUGAAAUUUAUUUUUUAUUAAUUUACUAGCAUUUUCUAUGUAAGAUGGAUAAAUAAAAUUGAGUACCCUUGUAAAAAGUAAAACAAUUAACAAAUUAUAAUAAUUAUAUAAAAAUAAAAAUUAUAUUAUUAUAUGCCUUCCCAUGAAAUUUAAAUUAGGCAAAGUCUUCUCUAUUACACUUCAAUGGGGGAGUCACCGAUAGAAAAUCUUUUUCUAUUAUAUAGAAUAGCAAAGAAUUGAAAAACAAACUCCAGUGACCUCAUAAUGAUGCUAGAAAUAAAAUAAAAGAAUUAAAAAAAGAAAUGAUGUCUUGUAAAAUAAAAAAUUAUAAAAAGAAACGAGAAGAGAAUAAAUUGGAAUAUUUAAACAAAAAAUAGAAUGUUAUUUCAUUAGCAAGUCUCCCUUUAUAGAAAGUUAGGAAGAGGUUAUAUCAAUAAGGAUGAUUAUUCAUAAGUUUCUCUAUUUUCAUAAAAAUUCUUAUAUUUUAUAAUAAAUAUUAAUGUUAUAAUAAAUAUUUAAUGGGUAUAAUGUACAUAUAUUAACAUUUUAAAGGAAUAAUUGAUUUUUAUUAAAAAUAAAUAACGAUAAUUUUAGACAAUAAGGUUAACAAUAUUUUAUUUAAAAACAAACAAAAAGGUUUUUAAUACUAAAUGAGUCAAGUUUUCAUUACUUAUACAUAUUUAGUACUUGAUUACAAACUAAGUAUAAGUUUGUAAUCUAUAUAUGUAUUGGUAUACAUAUAUAGUGCAAUUGAUUGCAUUAUAUACAUGGAUAUUAAUAUUCAUAUUAUUUAUAUUAAUUUUAGUAACAAAUAAUUAUUUGAAAAUUUUAUUAAAUAGUAAUAAUAAUUAAUCAGAUGAUAAUCUCAAAGAAAAAAUAAUGAUUAAAAAAAAAGAUAAUUGAGGAGGAGAAAAUCUAAAAAUGAGGAAAGGAUAAAAGUUGGGCAUUUUUGUCUUGUCAUAUUUUGUAUCCUUUUAACCCUCCUCAAACCUAAUUCACCAUUUUAAAAACCAUGUCAUGAAAUUAAAGUCCCUAAGUGAUAAUUGAAUAUCAUGCAUUAAGGUCAUAUUUGGUUAGUCGAAUAUAACAUAAAAUAGGAUAAAAGAAGAGAUAUUAUAUCCAAUCACAUAUUUAAUUGUUAAUGAAAAAUUAAAAGUUAUUCUGCUUCUUAUCUUAUUAUAUGUUCAGCCAUGAGAUGAGAUAAAUGAUAAUAUAUAUUAUCCAAUUUUUUUAUUUAUAAUAUAUCUUACAUAUGUUAAUAAUAAUUUAAGAUGUAGAAUAUGAAUAUCUCAUCUAUCAUAAUUUUUUAAUAUUAAUUAUUUUGCGAAAUAAAAAAUUUUGAUUAAAAAAAUUAAAUUUGUGGUUAAAAAAGAACUAAAAACAUAUUUAUAAAAUAUACUAUAAAAUAAUACUAAUAUAUGUAUUAUUUGUAUAUAUAUAUAUAAAUAUAUAGAUAUUUUAUUUAUUUAUAAAUAUUUUAAUCAUAAAUAUUAUUAAAUGUAAGAGAAAUUUCAUAUUUUUUAAUAACAAAUAUGAGAAUAAAAUAUAAUUUUUAACAAAUAUCAAAUAUUAAAAAAAUAAUAUAUAUUCCAUUUUUAAAAAAAUUUAUUUUACAAACAUACAUAAACAUAACAUAUCUUAUAACAUAUAUUACAUUAAAUUAUCACGUUUAUUGGAUUAUAUCCAUGAAUAUGAUUUCCCAAAAUUAUAUUCUAAAAUAAGUUUGUCUUAUAAAUGAGAUGUGACAUUUUAGGAUAUACCUAUCAUUUCAUAUUCUAUUAUACUAGUCAAACAUAACUUUUAUUUUUAUAUCUAAGCGAUAAUUUCAUUUUUAACCAACAUACCUAAUGUCUAAUGUGAUAAAAAUAUGAAAAUUAGGAUUAAAUACAUUUUAUUCCUUAAUCUCGAUAUAUUUUAUGUUUUGUCCUCUUAUAUUUAAAAUUUAAUACUUUGUCCCUCAAACUUGUUAAAAAACAAUACUUUUUCUAUAAUAAAAACAAUACUUAUAAAAAAGAUCGUUUCUUUUAUACUAUGGUUUAAACAUUGGUUUGAAUUUAGGUAAAAUUGAUUUGAAAGUAAAAUUUUUCAAACGCUUUCGAAAUAUAAUUAUCAUUUGUAUUGAUUUUAAAAAUAUAUUCAUAUGAUUAUUUGUGAUUUUCGUAUGUAAUAGUGUAGUGUGAUAAUUUAAAAUUUGAAUAACAAGUCUUUUCCUUUGCAUUUCACUUUUAUUUUUUCAUUUAACAAGUUGUUAAUUGAUUUUUUAGUAUUUAGUUUUGAAUGUGAGGGGUGGUGUGUAAAAUAAGCUGAGGGAAUAGAGAUUAGAGAGUAUUUAGCCCUAAAAGUUGAGAUUUCACUCAAAAUAUCGUGAUAUAAAGAAUUGGACAUGCAAAAUAUCGUGAGGACGAGAAGGGACUUGGAUGUGAAGAUUUUAGACGGUUGAUACAGGGGAGACUAAAAGGGCGGAAAAGGGCGAGUAGCGUGAGCAUCGGGGGUGAGGAUGGCCACUGGUUUAAAAGAGGAAGGACGAAGCCAUUCACCAUGAGAGCUCCAAUGGAGACGAUGAAUAACACCGACUCCAGCACUCGUAAUUCCAAUUCCAAUUACGAUACGACGUCGUUGUCUGGAGACGACGGCCCCGUUCGUGUCUACGCUGAUGGGAUCUACGAUCUCUUUCACUUCGGCCACGCUCGCUCUCUCGAGCAAGCCAAAAAAUCGUCAGUUUUCUUCUCCUUGUCUCGCCUUUUGUUUUCUGGGUUUUGCUCAGAAGGUCAAAUUUAUUAUCAAUUUUCCCCGUUUUCCAAAAUAUUUCUCAAAUUCGUUAUUUAAGCAUUAACUUAGAACAAUUGUUGUGUAUCGUCUUUCUCUUCUGUUUCCUCCAUUUUCUUGCAUUUUUUUCAUCUGGGUUUUACUCAAAUGUGAAAUUUACGAUAGAUUUUCCCUAUUUUGCCAAGUAUUUCACUGGGAAAUUGGGUGUCGUUUCUCUUGUUCUCACAUUUUUUUUCCUUUUAAAUUCCAUUAGUUUCGCCUUAGGCUUUGUGGGUUUUAGUCAAACUGUAAAGCUUAUGAUCAAUUUUCCCAAAGAAUUCACUCGGGAAUUCGUUUUCUACGUGAAUUGUUAAGUAUUAUUUUUGUCGUCCUCCUUCUCAAAUUUAGCCUUUCGAUUGGUUGCCUAGAAAACUGAAGGAAAAAAAUGAAAGAAAUUGGAAUCCUGAAUCUAAUAUUUACAACCUCAAAUGAGCCAAUUAGUGUUAUUGGGGAUCUUUAUGUUUUGUCCCUUUCUCUCCUUCAUUUCUCGUUUUUUUCCUUUCUGGGUUUUUCGGAAUGUGAAAUUUUGACGAAAAUGUUAAGGUUUAGCAACUAAGUCAUGUGAAAUUUCUUGUGCGUGUUUGAGAAAUUUAUGCGUAGUUGUUAUCUCUCUUUUUUUUUUUCUCAAUUUAGCUCUUCAUUUGGUUUCUGAGAAAACUAAAGGGAAAAGGAAAGACAUUAGAGUUUGAACACGAUGUUUACAACUUCAACUAAUCCAAUUAGUAUUAUUAGAGAUCCUGAUCUUUUCUCACCAUGUCUAAGUUUCCAGCAUAUACUUUUCUUUUGUAAUCCUAUGUUUUUUCAGAGAUGAGUGGUGGAUUUUUGUGGUUUUUCUUGGUGGUUUUUGUCUCUUUUAUGUUGUUUUCAGUAUUUAUUUCAUGCAAAGGUUGAUUCUACGAAUUGUAAAUUCAGGUUUCCAAACACGUAUCUACUUGUUGGAUGUUGCAAUGAUGAAACCACUCACAAGUUUAAAGGCAAAACUGUUAUGAAUGAAGUGGAGCGUUAUGAAUCUCUUCGCCACUGCAAGUAUGUUUUUCUUAACUGUUUGAUCAUAUUUGUUAUUUUAUUCUUAUGACAAUUUUUUUCCCUUUUUUGAUUGGGUGAUGACAUGGAAUGUGUAUCCAGUUGGCUUUGCCUUUAAAACCUUAAAUUGGAUCUGUCUUGUUGAUAAUGUUUUAAUUAAUACCAUUUACUCGAGGGAGUCAUUAAACAAUGAUUUUUAUGCUUAUUUUGUACAGGUGGGUUGAUGAAGUUAUUCCUGAUGCACCAUGGGUACUCACUCAGGAAUUUCUUGACAAGCAUAAAAUUGACUAUGUGGCCCACGACUCUCUUCCGUAAGUAACCAAUCCAAGCACACACAUUUGUAGUCAAGAGUUGGGUUUUUUUAUGGGUGGAUUAUGUAAUGUAAAAUCACAUAGAAACUUCUAUUUAUGGCUUCCUUUUUUUCUAGCCUGUAAAUUCAUUUAUUUGGGAAAAAGGAAAAAAACUCAGUCUUUCUUGGAAAGCAUCAUAACCUUUUUCUUUUGUUGUAUGUAUGCUUUUCUCUCUCUUUUUUAUGCAUUCACAUAUAUAUAAUCAUUAUUCUUUGUGAUGAAUGCUUCAGUUAUGCCGAUGCCAGUGGAGCUGGAAACGAUGUUUAUGAAUUUGUAAGUUUGAGGGGAGCUUUGUGAUUUUUGGGAAUCAUAUAUUUGCAUUUAUUUCAACUGGUCCCCCCUCUUUUUUCCAUCGAUGUUCUUAAUUGUUAGAAUGUUGUUAUACGCUAACCAAGCUUCUUAUUGUAGGUUAAAUCCAUUGGAAAGUUUAAGGAAACAAAACGAACUGAUGGGAUUUCUACUUCAGACAUUAUAAUGAGGAUUGUUAAAGACUAUAACCAGUAUGUGAUGCGUAACUUGGAUCGUGGAUAUACGAGAAAAGAUCUUGGUGUUAGCUACGUUAAGGCAUGGUCUUUGUUCAUAUUUGAUUUUUAUAUGUGGUUCUUUUUUUAUUGGAUAAUCCUAUUUUAUGGAUAUUUUAUUUAUUUAAUUUUAAAAUUGACCUCUUCACUAAAAUCUUCCAGAGGUGGGACUGAUUGAUCUUUGUUUUUUGUUUUUGUUUUUCAUGUAAAAAGGAAAAGCGACUAAGGGUGAACAUGAGACUUAAGAAACUACAAGAAAAAGUGAAGGAACAACAAGAAAAAGUAGAACAAAAGGUAAGUAAGUCUUUCUAUAUAUGAUAUAUUAUUGCUAGCUUAAAAGAAAGUUCACAUCCAUUAGUUUUUGCUCUAUAUUUCCAAGUAAAAUAGCAAGGAAGUUGAAAUUAGAAAUAUAAGGUGGAUUUACUUGAUCAUUACCUUGGGUUAACUCCAGGGUUGGUGCUCACCACAGAGCUGUGCCAUGGUCAAGUUUCCUGUCAAAUGAACUUUGAUCAUUUCAUUACUCCUAUUUCUGGUUUCACAUUCUUGUUGGCCUUCCUCUUGGUCUUCUAGCUUCUGAAAAUUGAAUCGAGUCACUGCCCUUUACUAGCCUUCUGUCUGGUUCCUUGUUUUCAUUUCACAAGAUUAUCCAUUUUAGCCAAUAUUUCUUAUGUUUCCCUUACUUUGUGCUCCUACAAACUUCUGAGGAGCAUUCAGUCUUAUUCUUUCUUUCCUUUCCUGUUUCUUUGACUAUGAAAAUUAAACAUAUUCACAAAAUACUGACUGUAACAAUGUUUAUUUUAGUUCUAGUUUUGUAUCUAAUUUGUCUUUACUUUACUGGAGAUGCAUAAUGGCAUUUUUUUUAAUCAAUAUCAUGGUUGAGACUAAGGUAUUCAAGGUAUCUUUUUCUUACUUGAGAUGAAUUGGUUCUACAUCUAGCCAACACAAUUACUUGUAAAAUAGCUAAUGACUUGUGUGUAAAUUAUGCACUCCAUCUAGGUUGAUGUUCAUAUAAAUUGGUCAGGUUUCUUUUUAAGUUUGUUUCAUGUUUACCAUACUUGUAUAAAGGUUGAGAUCUGAUUCAUGUCUGUGAAUCAUCAGUUGAUGAAACCUCACUAUAUAAGGUGGCAUUUUAGGAGUCAGAGGUUGUCAAAACAGAUGUGUAGCAAAAAGUUUCUCGAGAACAGUUUUUGUUUCCAAGCAGACAAAUAGAUGUUUGUUCCGUAAUAUAUCGUCUUCUUAUGAUGAGACUGAUAGUUUGCACUACCAAAAUACAGUAUCUAACUUAGGGGUUUAGCAUAAAUUGAGAAAGCGGUGGAGAUUGGAUAUGUGAAAAUCAUCUGGUUUAUUUACUGUCAAGGAGGUUUGCAAAGGUGUCACUGAUUCUUAGAAAAUGGAAGAGGCCAUAAGAGUUAUAUCUUUUUAUGUACCCUGGUAAAUCUAUUUUUAUAAUGCAAAGUUGUUGGCUACAAAGAAAUAAGAGUAAUUGCAUGUAUCUUCAGGAUAGUGGGCAGUCAGGAGGUUUGGCCAAGCCUAGUUACCUAUCAAAAAAAAGAAAAAAAAAAGACUAAUGUUAAGCCUAGUUUCUAGGUGGAUGUGGAUAUUUUGGAGGCUCUGCCGCUUGCCUAAGGCGCAAAAUCAUCUUCUACACUGGAUUUUUGAUGUAUUCUAUGUGAAUGGAGAAAUUAGAUGAAAAUGCUCACAUUGAUGAUUUUUUAUUUUGUUUUUCUUAAGAUAGAUUUCCUUAUGACCUCCUGUGGCUCUUCCUUUACUUUGGUAGGCAAACAAGUGAAUAUAUUAAAAGCGGUAAAAGAACUAGUACACAAAAAUACAUGGGAUGUAUACAAUAGGUGCCAAGAGGCAAAACAAAAAAGAGGGAAAACAAAAAACUACUCCUUCCCUCAACAAAAACCCAUGGAAUCUAGAAAAUCAAUUAAAGGCAUAAAGUGUUCACCUAUGUACCCCUUAAGCCACAGCUAGAGAUUAUUGAGGAAAGUGCUUUUAAGUCUUUGGUUUGACUUCUUAUUUUCAAAUGAUCUUCAGUUUGUUUCCCUUCCAAAUAGUCCAGAAAAUGCAUAAGGAAGUGGCUCUCCAUGCCUUCUUUCGUCUUGUUCCCACAAAUGAGUAAUGCCACCUUAGGGAGUCUCCUUAACUAAGGCAGAAAUAACUCAUGAAAUAUGGAAUAAUGAGAACAACAACUGCCAUAAAAUCCUAGCCUUGCCACAAUGAAGAAGAAUGUGAUCAAUGAAUUUUGCCUUCUCCUUGCAAAAAGCACACCUGUUGACUAACGACUAACCGCUUCCUUGAAUCUACUCCAAAGUCAACACCUUACCCUAGCUGGCCUCCUAAGCAAAAAAAAGAACUCACCUUAGACUGAAUCUAGGGGUUCCAAAAUAUCUUUGAUGAAAAAGAAAUGGCACAAUAUGGCUUGAGAACAGAAUAAAUGGAUUUCACAGAAAAUCUGCUGUUGUGAUUGCGCUCCUUUGGUUCUCCUGUGGCAUUAAUGAUGCUGAUUGAACAAGGAACCUCUUUUUCCUUUCACCCUUGUGGUCAAGGCUCUAAAGACAGUAAGGAUGUUGAAAAAAGAGUGCAUAGAUUUGCCCCAAUCUGUUUACAGGUGGCCUUGACUUCUAGAAAUUACUUUUUCAAUCCAUAAAAUCUGGGUUUGUACUAUAUUAAAGAUUGCCCUUCUUCUAGGAACUUGUUAUCUAGAUUCUAGUCUAGUGUAAAUCAGAUGUAAAUAUAAAAAGCCUUAAAAAAGAAGUGGCACUGGAGAUAAGGCAUUGGAAGAUUUUAGCAUGAAAUAAUUUAAAUCAAAAUUUAUUAAUAUUGUCCACACAGUUUCUCUGCCCUUCUGCCAUUCCUGGACACAAACUCAGAGUGUAGUUAAGUGUUACAACAGGAAAGAUUUUAAGCUUAAUAAAAUAAGUUAGACCAAAAUUCGUUAAUGAUGUCUACUGAAUUUUUUCUGUCCCCUUGUGUUGUUCUUGGACAUGAACUUGAAGCAUAGUUAAGUGUUGCCACCGGAAAAGAAAAUAAGGAAGAAAUUUGAAGUGUUAAAAUGUGUCUUAGAGGCAUUGACUCCCUCUUCUUCUCAUUCUGGUAAAAAAAGGUUCAAUGCAUGUCAAUCAUGCCUCAAUGAGUCUUCAACUUUGAAUACCAAACAAAGUUUCAUAAACAAAAUCUCGAAGUACAUGGUAGUGGGAGGGCAGGUUCUACUGUCAAGGUGCAUAAAUUCUAUAAUUAGUAACCACUAACUUUCUUGUGUUAAGGAUGGCACCUUUGAUGGGGUGUAGAAAAUACAGACUUUUUAAGAAUUUUGAAUGACUAAGAAACUUUGAUGACUUUAAUGAGCCGAUGCAUUGUUUCUCACUGGUAAACUAUAUUCCCGACAAAUUAAUAGCAUGCUAGUGCUUAACUAUCUUCUAGAUUCCUCAAAUAUCAACUAUAAUUAAAAUAACCACUAUUUGAUUCUUUUUUACUGAAAACCUCUAAUUUAGUUUUAGAUGAGAAUAUUUGCAGAUUAUGACAUUUACUUUUGAAUCAACCUAUUUUCCUUUCUCUUGGAGUAUUUUCCAAAUCUCCAAUGUAUAUUGCUUGCAGCAAAGUCUUCUUCGAUCUUGCCUCUUCUGGGCUCUUAUCGACAAACCCUCACUGAUGGUGAUUUCUUGAGGGGGAUCUCUCUCAUUUUGGAGAGAUUCAAGUCAUGACCACUUCAUGUAGGGUGGUUUCUUACAAUAGUCCUGAUCCACUAUCAUUUUGGCUUUCUGUUGCCUUUGUAGAACAGACAGACUACAGGCCUCUUGAAUCUUCUCUUUUCCUAUCUCUAUUUAUUUGAUUUGAUUUUGAAUCUUUAACAAGAUCCAUAUAUUUGGAAAAGAUUCAGAAUUUAAUUGAAUAGAAUAGAUGUACUCCAGCAUUUAGAAAUUGGUUAAUCGGUGAAGAUACAUGUACUAGAUCUUUUGUAUGAUGCCUCUAGGUUAACAUUGCAGGCCACCAAAUCAUUUCAGCUAUAUAUAUUUUAAAAGAGGCCUCUCUCAUGGAUAGUUUCAAGUCCAUGCCCACUCUAUCUAGGGUCAUGCUCAUGGGAACCAUUGGCCAUCAAGUUUUGUCAUCCCCUCUUUCAACUCAAAAUUUACUGAAAGUAUUUUCCACAAGUUAUUGAUUCUUACUUGGUCUUUUAUGGCCGGUUUGUUCUCUAAAUCUAUAUAGUUGACUUGCAAUUUAUACCACGUAUUC